RNAcentral lists this long non-coding RNA (95356 nucleotides) under Triticum aestivum (bread wheat). RNAcentral's name for it is "long non-coding RNA (TAES_LNC000540)". Lineage: Eukaryota; Viridiplantae; Streptophyta; Magnoliopsida; Poales; Poaceae. The record is from RNAcentral.
GAGCAUGAUGCCAAGGACUUCGCUCGUAGCGCAUUAGCGUUGGAAGUUAUGCCCGUGGUUGAACGAUGUGGUUCCAAUUGUAUGUACGUUGCAACUGUAGCUUUUUAGAAGAUGUAUAGUACCAGUAGCCAGAAGUCAGAACAGUUUAGAGAUGUCGGGUCCGAUAAUUGUCGAUUUGUGGUUCUUAUUCUAGGGGAAAUUGUGAUUCUGAAUGCGAACGACAGAAACUUUUCCGUCGCUGAAUGCUUGGUGCCUUUGAUGGACAGAUAGCCUGUUUUACUCGUUCUGGUUUUCUCUACUGCAUGGUUUUCAUCCCUUCGUCUGCUCGAUCGACGCUACCCCCACAGAACGGAGGUGAUUGGAGAAGGAAAGGUGGCGUUGCUAGUCCCGGCUCCGGGACAGCAAGGUCGCCUGCUCGACAAAACAAAGUGUCAAAUUACCAGACUGAAACUCGGCGGCCGAACGGAACGCGGGACGCCAUGGCGUUGGGGCCGAGCCGAGCAUGAAUGACGCAUGCGCGGAGCUGCCGCCAAUUUAUCUGGAGGUGCCGCGGGCGUGACGCACUGUCACACCUCCGGUGCCAACUGCCAAGCAGUGAUGUGCCCGACUCGACGAAGCUGAUGAUGUUGCAGUGAUGUCGAAGGAAACCGGGGAAGUGCCCCACUGAUCGGCCAAAAUAGCCGACCUAGCCGGGCGCCUCAAAGCAGCGUCAAACAUUACUGUUCCGCAUCCCUCGUAUUCAACCCAAAUCUAAAAUGGAUAUAGGAGGUCCAAGCGCAUCCGGACUCGUCUGUCACUUCAGUCCCGCACAUGCAUGAUGUCCCAGUUCGACCCCACUUCGUCCACACUAAUUUCCCCACCCCGAAGAAAACCCUAGCUCACUUCACUCUCGCUCCGUUCUACGUCUCUUCUGCUCCCAAUCCUCAUUUGAUCUCCUCCUCCUCUCCGUCUACCAUGUCCAGCUCUGACAAUGGCAGAGCUUACAGAUACAGCGACGAUUGGGAUGCCUUCCUCCGCAUUGCGGAUGGCGACGAGGAUGAGCUGGCCCUCCGCACCGCGCUGCAGCGCUCACGGGUGGACACAAGCGUCAGCUCCAGCUUUGCUCUGUCCCAUGUUACCCGCCGCAGUGCUGAUGCCGGAGCAGGCCCGUAACGCACCGCGCACACCUCUGUGCGGUGCACCUGCUCUGCACCGCUCGCCCGCCGCCCUCCUAAACCUCCGAUCGCUGCUCCUCAAGGGCAAUGGUGGAUGUUAGUGUCCGCUCCGCUGGCAUUGUCGACGUGUACACCCAAAUCCAAGGGGGGCGCCACCCGCCGCGAGAGCAGCGGACUAGGGAGAGGGUGGCGACAUCGAAGGCGAUCAGACAGUCCUACCGUCGCCGCCGUGGGUUGCUGGCGGUGCCCAAUGAGGACGAGGGCUCCUUGCGGGUCUACCACCGCUCACUUACGACAACGGAGAUGGACACCUGCGGGCUCCGUGAAAAAAACACGAAGGCGCUCCGGCUAGGUUUGGAGCAGUCGGCGUGCAGGGCGAGGGCGGCGAGAGCGACGAAGCUCAAGAGGCAGUAGGACCACACGGUCUGGAGGAUGGUCAGCUUCAUCAACUCCUCUUCCUCCUCCUCAGACAUCAUCGACGGCACCGAUGAUGGCUCCAACGAUCCACCUCCUAUCGACGACGCCUACACGGACACCUACAGUUGCGCCGAUAACCGGAAGGGCAAAGGGUCGGCAAAGAAGUGGUGAAGAAGCUCGAUCCUCUCUCCGUGUUUAUUUAUGUUUUGAGUAAUCUUAGUUUAGAACUUGUCCGACGGCUGAACCGUGGUGCUCUUUUGGUUGAUGAUUAUGUGGAUUAUGUGUGUUUCUAUGUUCGUUUGCUAUCGCUUUCUAUGUCCACUCGUUGAAUGUCCGUAUGUUUCAUUGAUGAUCUAUGAAGUUUAGUUUCACGUUGCAUUGCUUACUAUAGAUAUAUGGUACCAGAUAUGAGGUACAUGGCUGUGGACAUGGUGAUUUGAGGAUUGACUGGUCACUAUCUAUGGAUGUGUCCGGGCGCGUCCGCGGACGUAUAGGGUGCCAGAUGUGGUAUGCAUGGCUGUAGAUGCUCUUAGGUGUCCGGUGCCGGUGGCAACUGGGUUGGCAGAUACAUAUUAUUUUGGACAAGGGGUUUGGUAGUUUUGUGGUAGUUCUGCAGUGAUAUCCCGAAUGACCCCCACGUCACCCCCGCCGGCGACACGGGAGCCCCUCCCAAAACUCACUCCCACGUCGCCGCCGCGCAUGGCCCUAGGAUGGUGGCAGCGGGGCUAUUGUCGACUCCCUUGCAUGUUUCCCCCUGCCUCCUCUCUCCCCCAAUAUCCGAUCUCGCGCGGUGUGGGUGCCUCGUAGUUGCCGCCCCCACCUUCUAGCCCGGUAGGCACAUUGAAUUUCGAACCCAAAACUUGAAGUUAAAACUAAAACAAAUUUCUCUCAAGAUGUAUGUCAAUUUCCCUAUGCAUUGCAAUUUUUUCUUUAUUUCGUCACCAACUAAAGAAAUAUGUUGACCAUCCUUGCCACCUGUAGCCUACACUUGAUCAUCAAAAUCUGGUUCUAGAAAUCGGAUGCCACUACCUCCACUAUCUACAAGCUUUCAUUGUAUCUCAUCCUCAAGAAAAACCAUCAUCCAUUGUCUAAUUCGGCUAUGUUGGUUUGUCUCCCAAUUCUUCAACGCAAAUGUCCACACCGCCAUCAAAAGGGAUAUGCUCUAACGGUAUCUUGCAUGUUUCAUUACUCACAAGACAACCAGUGCCAUAAAAAAAACCUUCCCCGAGCAUCGAUAAGUGCAACAUCUCUCCAUCUAAAAUAGUGUGGUGUAGCCUUAAGUGACAUUGAGUCUAUUCCAUUCCACAUCUCCCAUGGGGAAUCACAAACAAACAAUCUUCUCCUCACACAUAUCACAAUGGUUGGCCGUCAAUGAUAAAAAUUUCCAUCAAAGUGAAACCGAACUGGCAAGAUACUCCUUUCUAAACAUAAAGAAAUAAACCAAAUCAUUCAACAUUUCAAAAUUUAGAAAAUUUCAGAUUAUACCCAAAAAUGUGCACGGUGUGAAGUACAAAGAGGUAAUAGGGGAAAAGACUUGCUAAUGUGCCUCCACCAAGAUAGUGGCUUGAGAGGAGGAGGGGAUGCAAUAGCCUAUGAGUAUUGGGAUGUAGCGGGAGCUGCCGUGGCGGAGGGUUGUCCAGUGCAUGAGCGGCAAUGGGCUUAGGGCAUGGCUGGAGCAAACUUGGGGUGGGGAAGAGACGAGUUGAGGCAAAGACGUGACGUUCCGAUCAUGAUUUGUGCUGCAAGUGUCGGUUGGGCCUAACCUAGGUGUGGACAAGUAGGGGAUACAUGAGGGACAUGGUUGGAAAAGGCCGCAAGGGGACGAUGGACGAGACUAGAGGUCGGAGUGGAAUGAAGCAAGGGAGUAUCAUGUGUUUUUCUGCCCAAUGAACAAUCACUUUCAGCCUCUCUAGUUGCAUGUGGUGUGAGGAACCUGUGUAUAAGAUCAACCAGAACCAGGUGUGUCGUUGUAUAAGACUGGGCCCGGUGGACAUGGUGGAUGAUACAGGUUGUUUGACCCAAUGUAGAAUGGCAGCCGCCUGAUCCGCGCCACGACAUGGGCGGACCCUCAAAGGUUUUGGUGUUGGUCCAAGGUGCAAGACGUCACACCCAUCUUCUAGUCCACUCCGGUCUGACGUGGAGUACUGGUUGGCAUGACUAUUGUAAGAUCCGUCAUCAAAAUGAUGCUGGGAACACCGCUUCAUGUCCAGGUGAAAUUUUUGUUCUUCAUUCAUCACCCUCAGCAACGACGAACUUGCGUCGUUACUUUGUGGAAGACAUUGUUUCCUUGAUGAUAUACUGACCUUCAGUGGUUUGUCUCGACAACCAAGACGAAAAUCAAUAACGACGCGACAGGGAUAUUGUUGAAGAAGUCAACUUAGUUAUAGAUAUUAAAACCAGAUGAGCUUUGCUGAUGUGAGGGCCAAACGGCCCCUCUUAAAUGUGCGGUGUCGAGACCCGGUCCAGUUACGUUUCUGCAGAUAUACGCGAAUUCAUCCGAGACCGCGAUCCAAAUACGUUCCUUUCUUCCAUUCCAUGUCACCGCGUAGAGAAUUUCAUAGACGUCAAAAGAGCACGCGCGCCCGGCCCAUGGUAAAGUUGGUGAUUGGCAAGUGAAGACGUAGUCCGAGCUAAACGAAGGAUUUUCUAGUUGUGGUGUCUCGAGGCUCAACCAGUAAAGCACAGUACAAGUUGGCAACUUGGGUUAAAAGAAGAAACGGAGAGGGCUCCACCUUGUUUUCGUGCGGGAAAGGAAGGAGAGUGGAAGCGAGUACUGUAGGAGCCUUGAACCGGUCCAAAUGGCGCGAGCUUCCUCACGUUGCGACGACCAGCUCCGGAGUUUUCAAUGGACCCGUACUGCGGCAGCCGCUACCCAUCCGAGGAACCACGUUGUACUAUAUAAAUACACCGGCGCGCCUCAGUUACGGCACCUCAAUUGCAAACGCCUGAGAUCAAAGACGAAAGAGAGAAAGGCAUUCAUUCAGAAGGGCAGAGCAACCGGCCGGCCGUGGGAGAGGAUCGACUUCGAGUGUUGGUUAGCUUUCCGGCGAGAACGAGUGAGCAAAUACAAUGGCGCGCGGCCUUCUGGAGGUGCAUCUGGUCCACGCCAAGGGCCUCUCCGGCACCGAUUUCCUCGGUGAGUAGAAUAAUCCACUGCAGAAGCCAGUGUUCUUGGCGUCGAUUUGCUCCGUUCUGUGUUCGGUUGUGGACGGAGAUUGAUCUUCGUGUUGACCUGUAUGUAUGUAUGUGCAGGGAAGAUCGACCCGUAUGUGGUGGUGCAGUACCGGUGCCAGGAGCGCAAGAGCAGCACCGCCCGAGGUCUGUCCCUGCUUCCAUUUCAUGCAGCUCUGUUUUCUUGGUUCCUCGUCUCCACCCCGCCCAGUCCACAAAAUACUGUAUACUUUUGCUGAACGAACCAACCGUGUGCAUGUAAUGCAGAUGCUGGGAGAAACCCGAGCUGGAACGAGGUGUUGAGGUUCCAGAUCAACUCCUCCGCGGCCAACGUGCAGGAUAAGCUCUUCCUGCGGAUCAUGGACCACGACAACUUCUCCAGCGACGACUUCCUCGGCCAAGCAACGUGAGUAAACUCCUACUCCCAGUCCCAGAUGCCAAGCAUCAGCACUUCACCAGCUAAUUGAGUUGAAGUGGCAAAUUAAAGACAAAAGCAAGAUCUGAAUCAAAUUACUGAAUACGUAUAUCUAUGUGAUGCAGGAUCAAUGUGACCGACCUGAUCAGCAUGGGCAUGGAGAGCGGCACGUCGCGGCUGAACCCGGCCAAGUACAGGGUGGUCACCGCCGACAACUCGUACCACGGCGAGAUCAAGAUCGGGAUCACCUUCACCGCCGCAAAGGUUGAUUCCCAUUGCCAGGUUGAAGAAGACGGAGCACAGGUUGGGGGCUGGGUACACAGCUUUCGUGAGCAGAAGGUCUGAGGAUCCUUCGGUCGUGCAUAAUUAGCCGUGCUGGAUGUGGGCGUGGCUGCUACGUCAACGGCAUCAUAUGCCUUUGAUUAACUGAUGUGAUUCCAAGUGUAUGUACGCUCCAUUUUGUAGCACUUUAGAUGUAUAGUCACAACAGCUUAACUUAGCCAAAUUCAUUUAUGAUUAAGAUUCUUUUGAAACACCAUACAUUCUACAUUGUUGGAUUCUCCUUUGUUGAGUGUUUUUUUUUUGCGGGUGUUGUUGAGUGCUUGUUGAUGCCUUGAAAACAUGGAAGUUUGUACAAGGCGUGCAUUCAUGUACAAACCCGUUUUUGGGUUUUCUGCCAGCCUCAACCUGGGGCGCUCCUUACACGGGAGCGGCCCUGACUAAGUAUUUUAUGUACCACAAACGACAUGCUUUAAUAAUUUAUGAUAAUCUAGCUGCACUGGAUGACUGUAAUCUUGUUCUCCUUUGUAUCUUUCCUUUUUUUCGUCCCGCGUCGCUCUAUCCCCAGGGCGACACGGGCAGCAACCCAACCCCUCCUUCUCCCUUACCGUCGCUGGUGCCCCCCACCCCUCCCCCAUUAACGACAUAGCUAGGGUUGCAACAUGUUGGAUGGCAUGAAUGAAUAGAUGCAAUUCAACAUUGAUUACAUAAAUAAGAUUGUCAUCUCUCGACCCCCGUCUAAGUAUGUCAGAUGCCACGAUUACUUUGCAAUCGCCAUGUUCGACAACACCAUUGAUGCCACACAAAACCAUUGAUGCCGCCUGUGUCAACUACGUUCUCGACCAAUGGGAACUUGUUGGGUCGGAGCACAUGUCCCUUUUUCACUACGUCGAUGUUGUCCAACAUGACCAAUAGAACUCUGCGAUGACCGGUGAGGGGUAUGUAUUCGUUUAGCAUCCGCAUGAUUGGUAAUGUCCACGAUUUUGUACGUUAUGUUAGUACAAACGUUAUGCAACUACUUAUUCGAAACACACAUUUUGCUUGUCGUAAUAAACUAGACCCAUUGAGAAACCAGUCACCAGUGUUCGUAUAUCUCAAGAAACAUGCUCGGGUUAUUCUGUGGUACGGGUUCCUCAUACACUAAUGUUGGUUCAUACCCAUGGCACCAACGAAGAUGAAUUGGAGUUGCCAUAUCUAGAUCACAUUAUUCGCACUUAUGGAUCUAUGCAUUGCUUGGUCUUCGAGAUGAAUGAAAUGGCUAGAAAUCUCGUUGUAACACAGUGCCAACGAAGGUACAAUCUUGGGUUUAGUCUAUGUUCCCAGGUCUGAACAGUACAAUUAUGAUUUACGGAAAAGCAAGAGACAAUGACCACACGGUGUCGGUUUUGAUGAACAGUUGUGUUUUCAAUAGACAACAUGGUGUUCAUAGCUCGAACGGGCAUCCUAUGGUUGGCGUCAUGCUUAAGAGCAACUACAUGUGAUCACGGGAAAUACCAACCAGGUUCGUUCUAUCCCUCCAUAAUGUUGAGGACUAGAACACAAGUUUGGACGAUUAGCCCUCACCCAUUCUACUAAGUUCUAAAUAAAGUCACUUGUUUAUUCACUACAAAACCUUAACAAUGAUGAAGUUGAGUCAUUACCUUGUGGAAGAUGUUGUCCCCAUGUUGAUGUACUAACCUUCAAUGGUUGGUCUCGGCAACUAGGAACAAAAUCAACAAUGACUCCGCGGGAUUGCUAUUUAAGAAGUCCACUUAGUUGUAGGUGUUAAAACCAUAACUUGUAAUUGUUAUGCGGUACUGGUCUAUGUUAAGCACUAUGCUUGUUCAUGACUUUGACCUUGUAAUGGUUAUGCAGUAGUUGUCUAUGUUAUGUACUUCGCUGUUCACUUUAACGAAACAUAUUUGGAUUCCUUUGCUCCUUCUCGAAGCACCCGGCAAGGUGAUCAUCAUUACUCUACCUUCUUUUAUUUGUUGUUGAUUGUCAGUCUAUUCUUCUCAAUGAUGCCAUGCGAAGAGGGGUGUUCGAGGAUUUCAAACUUUGCAGACAAACUAUGGUGGUGCAUUGGCUAGCAUUAGAUAAAAUUUUCAAGCCUAAGGGGCAGGGAGACAUGGGGUUUCUUGACCUUCAUCCUUUUAACAAGGCUCUUCUGGCUAGACAUACUUGGCUUUAUUGGUGAACCCUGACUCUUUAUGUGCGCGAUUGAUGAAGGCAAAUGUUAUCGUCAUAGUCACCUCCUCGAUAUGGCUUUUGGGGUUGUGGACUUGCUCCCAAGCAUUAAGGCUACUUUGGUUCAUAGAUAUGCUAAUAGAGUUUCCCACAAUAUUAAAUCGGAUGGGAUUCUAUUAGAUGGUGUGUCGUCCUUUGUGACAAGCGGUGUUGAUUACGAUUGUAAGAAUAUUAUUAAUUAAUGUAAUGGUUGGUUUAAGAAAUAUACAUCACAAUAAUAUAGAGAGACUCAUGUACAACCUCACAUCGCUCCCGGGGGGAGGGGGUGGCUCGGUCAAACCCUAAUCGUUGUUGCCACACACACUCCUCCUUCCCAUCAAUAUCCCGUCGCCGCGGAGGUGGCCGGCACACAAAUCUCUGUCCAGCAGAUGGCGGGCCCUCGUCUCCUCGCUCCCAUGGGAGAUCUCCGGCAUGGAGCGCGGCUGCGGUUCUGGACGUCGGUCGCUCCCGAGGAGGAUCCUGAAUCCUAGCAGCGGCCUCAGGACGAUGGUGGUCAGGUUGUCGGUGGCUGCUAGGUCAGCCGGCGAUGGCCUGGCGAUGGUGUUGUGGUCACGACACCCUCGUUCUUCGGGGCGACGGGCCUAUUGACCUGGGUCGGCUGUGGCUCAUGACGGGGAGGUGGUGGCUACCGCGGCUGCUGUUUGUGUGGCCACAUGGUGGCCAGUAGUUAGUCAGGCGGAGAUCUGGCACGUCGACUACUACCGGCGGCGAGGAAGGGGAGGCGCGACUACCAGUGAAAACUUUCAGUCAUAAUGGAGGAUGGCGGCGUCUAAACAUUGUUACCCUGAUGAAUGCAUUGUCAUUGCAUGUUUUGUCUCCUUGCUUGGGCUACUCCGGGGGGAAACCCUAGAUCUGGGUCCCCAGGAUCAAGCGAUGGCGAUGUUGGCGCUAUUCUCCCUCCCGGGGGCAUCGUUUUGGAGCAGCUGCUGGAGGGGUCAGGAGAUGGAGCGGCAUCGUAUAUACCGCAUCGACAAUGACGGGUCUCAGCGGCAUGGUGUAGCGGAGUCUCUAUGGUGGAUGUGUCUUGAUGGAUGACCGUGGGGCGGUGGCGCUGUUUAGCAUCGUGGAGGCGUCGAUGGCUAGCCUAGUAAGGAUAAUGCGGAUCUCUACCCUGAAGAUGGGUCGACUAUUUGAUGAUGGUGGCAACUUUUAAAGUGUGUGCAUGUGGUGCAUGCUUAGGGUUUGCUAGACCGGAUGUGUGCUCCCAUAUGCCAUGUGACCCCGGUUCUAGAUGAUGAGGCGUUGUGAUGGCAUUCCCCAUUGUCGAGUUUGUAGGUGUGCAAGUGAUGGCUUCUGGUUGUUUGAUACAUGUUUUUGCCAAACAUUUGUUGAAUAAUUCAAUAAAAGAUGGAUAUGUGCAUUUUUUAUGUGGAGGCCUAGAGUUUUAACCUCCUUUUCUAAAAGGAAAUACAUAGAAGGAGCCAAUAAUUCAAAAUGGUGCCCAGCUCAUCUACAUCCUAUGAGUAGUAAAUUCAGGAAAAAAAUAGUAAAAUACAAAUAAAACUGAAAGUUCUAGGCAUUGAAGAUGCUCAUGUGCGCUAAGUGCGUGAUUUUUUUUACACGAACCUUGCACAUUUGAGCAUCUUCAAUGCGUAUUUUGUUUAUUUUUUAUUUUUUUACUAUUUUUCCAAAUUAAAUGUUUACCCCCGUGCAGAAUAGCCGCUCUCGUUUAGGAACCUCGGCCGUCUAGUCUUAAGGCAUCUACAAUCGGACCUCUCAAACCCGUCUCAUUCGCUUGGGCGGGCCACCCGGUCAAUGUUCGGUCACGAUUUUUUGACCCAGACGGGCCUCUCAAACGGCCCUCAAACGCCCCGGCUGGCCGGCACCCCCCAUAUCCAGACCAAAUAUGUGGCGGAUAUGGGGGCGCCCGGGCACGCCCGCCACGUCGGACCCGACAACCCGAUCCCACCCCAAAUUGCACCAAAUCCACCCCGAAGACCAGCCGGAUCCAUCUGCUAUCUUCUAUCUUCUUCCUCCUCCGCGCCGUCUGUCUCGCGCUCCGCCGCUACGCCCACUCUGCAGCCGUUCCCAGGCUCUCCGCCACCAUCUCCAGAAGAGCUCUCCCGUCCUCACCGCGGGGGAAGUCGUCGUUGGCCCUGACACCACCGUGGUACGUCCGGCAACUCUCCGGCUCCGCCUUGCGCUUGAUGUGUUCUACACAUUGUCUGACCGGAUUUUUUGUGAUUUUGUUAGGUAAAACGAUGGAUUCGGAUGCUUCGUCGGACAAGGAGUAUGGACCGAUGGAGCUUGACCAUAUGGUUCAAGAUGAGUUCUUCGAUUCGUCGGAUCGGACGAAGAAGUGGACAUGAUCAUGCUCAUGAGCAUGCAAGAGGAAAUGGACCGGAAAGUGGAGCAUAUUCUCAACUUCAAGGGCUCGAUCAAAGGGAGAAGAGUGAUCAACCGGGACAGGGUGUCCGGAGUAAAGCUACUCCACAAGGACUACUUUGCUCCCAAACCUGCUUUCCCGGAUGAUCCAUGGUUUCGUCGCCGUUUUCACAUGCGGAAACCAUUAAGGGGAGGCACACGACGACUACUUCAAGCUCAGAAGGGAUUGCUGCGGCCAGCUCUCUUUCUCGGCCAAGCAGAAGUGCACGGCUGCUCUGAGGAUGGUUGCACUUGAUACUACUGCAGAUGUCGUUGGUGAGAUGGCCAGGAUGGGGGAGAGCACGUGUUUGAAGACUACUGUCAAGUUUGCUCGCGCCAUGGUCGAGGUGUUUGGACCUGAGUAUCUCAGAGAACCAAAUGCACAGGACACGAAGAAGUUGUUGGCUAUUGAAGAGGCAAGGGGGUUUCCAGGAAUGCCCGGAUCAAUUGGUUGCAUGCAUUGGCAAUGGAGGAAUCGCCCCAAAGGUCUGCGGGGAAUGUAUCAAGGUCACACUAGAGAGGCCACCAUCAUACUAGAAAGCGGUGGCAUCACAUGACUUAUGGAUUUGGCAUGCUUUCUUUGGAAUGCCCGGUUCUGACAACGACAUCAACAUGCUUCAACGAUCUCCGGUGUUCAGGAGGCUUUGCAAUGAUGAAUCACCGUCGUGCAACUACACCGUCAACGGCCAAGACUACAACAUGGGGUACUAUCUUGUGAUGGUAUCGAUCCUCUGUGGGCGGCGUUUGUGAAGAUCAUAUUUGAGCCGCGUGGCAAUAAACAGAGCCACUUUGCAACAAUGCAGGAAGCGGCUAGGAAGGACUAGGAGAGGGCAUUUGGUGUCCUUCAGGCUCGUUGGGGAAUUGUGCGGAGCGCUGCAAUGAUGUGGGAAUCAGAAACUUUGUGGCAGCUAAUUACAUGUUGUGUUAUUCUGUAGAAUAUAAUUGUCGAGGAUGAGGGUGAUGGUGUACCCCAACCCCAUGAUUCCGAAGUACCCGUAGAACAAGUUAAAAUCCCGGAAGAUCAAGAUGUGGCUCAGCUUAUGAACUUUCUGCAUAGGCAUCAAAAUUUUCGAGAUCAAUAGGUGCACACGCGGCUACUCAAUGAUCUUGUGGAGCACAUGUAAAUUCACAAUGGCAACCAAGGAGGCAAUGCUUGAAUUUGGCAUUUAAAAUAAAUUUUAUGUAAACGCUAUCUAUGCUUGAUAACAACAAUUGCUAUUUACGUGCGACAUUGUGUCGCAUGUCGACGUGCAUGUAUUUGUAUGGAUUUGAGAGUCCGAAUUUGGGAUAUGUGGAUGCCUGAAAGGAAAUAUGAGGGCCUGUCCGGACGCGACCGGGGCAUGCCCGGUCGCGGGCGCAUGCGUUUCAGGGGCCGGAUUUGCCAAGUCCGGCUGUAGAUGCUCUAUGCAAUGUUUUCCAUAACAUUUUUGCUCACAUAAGUAUUGCGCAACUAACUCCUAUGUCAUUGAUUUUACGCGAAGAUUUGUGUGAAUUUUUUUAAAUGCUUGAUUGAGUCAUUUAGAUGUGCAAUAACUAUGAUACAUCUAAAAGUACGUAGACAGACCCUUAUGCGGUGUCAAGACCCGGUCGAGUUACGUUUUUGCACAUAUACGUGAAUUGACCCGGGACCGCGAUCCAAAUACGUUUCUUUCUUCCAUGUCACCGCGUAGAGAAUUUCAUGGACGUCAAACAGAGCAGGCACGCACGGUCCAUGGUAAAGUUGGAUUGGCAAGUGAAGACGUGGUCCGGGCGAAACGAAGGGCUCUAGUUGUCGUGUCUCGAGGCUCAACCAGUAAUAAAGUACAGUAGUUGUCAACUCGAGGCUCCACCUUGUUUCCGUGCGGGAAGGGAAGGAGCUUUGAACCGGUCCAAAUGGCGCGAGCUUCCUCACGUUGGCGACGACCAGCUCCUGUACUGCACCCGAGGAACCAAAUGGUAUAUAAAUACGCCGGCGCUCGUCAGUUUAUAGCACCUCAACUCCAAACGCGAGCUGCCUGAGAACAAAGACGAAGGAAAGAAAGACUUUCAUUCGGAAGGGCAGAGCAGCGGACCGCCGACCGGCCGUGGGAGAGGUUGGCUUCCCAGCAAGAACGAGAGAGCAAUACAAUGGCGCGCGGUCUUCUGGAGGUGCAUCUGGUCCACGCCAAGGGCCUCUCCGGCACCGAUUUCCUCGGUGAGCAUGCGUGUUCCACUGCAUAAGCCAAUGUUCUUGGCUUCGAUUUGCUCCGUUCUGUGUUCGGCUGUGGACGGAGAUUGAAUUUUGUGCUUGCCAUGUACGUGCAGGGAAGGUCGACCCGUAUGUGGUGGUGCAGUACCGGAGCCAGGAGCGCAAGAGCACCACCGCCCGAGGUCAGUCCCUGCUUCCAUUCCACACAGCUCUGUUUCUCUUGGUUCCUCGUCUGAGUCGUCUCGACCCCGGUCCACAAAAUAUAAUUUUGCUCAACGAAACAGUCGUGUUCUGUAAUGCAGAUGCGGGGAGGAACCCGAGCUGGAAUGAGGUCUUCAGAUUCCAGAUCAACUCCUCCGCGGCCAAUGUGCAAGAAAAGCUCUUCUUGCGGAUCAUGGACCGCGACAACCUCUCCAGGGACGACUUCCUCGGCCAAGCAACGUGAGUAAACUCUUACUUACUCCCAGCUGCGAAGCAUCAGCAUUUCAGUAGCCAAUUGGAAUGGUAAAUUGAAGACGAAAGCAAGAUCUGAAUCCAAUUACUGAAUAUACCUCUGUGGUGCAGGAUCAAUGUGACCGACCUGAUCAGCAUGGGCAUGGAGAGCGGCACCUCGCGGCUGAACCCGGCCAAGUACAGGGUGGUCACCGCCGACAACUCGUACCACGGCGAGAUCAAGAUCGGCAUCACCUUCACCGCUGCAAAGGUAAAGACAGGCGCGCAUUUUUCUGAUUUUGUACAUGGCUGGCCAGCCUCUGUCGAUCUCUUGUGGACUAGUGUGAGUUCUGAUUGGGUGUUGAUGCCCAUUGCCAGGUUGAAGAAGACGGAGCACAGGUUGGAGGCUGGGUGCAGAGCUUUCGUGGGCUGAAGGUCUGAGGGUCCGGUCGGGGUCCUUCGGUCGUGCAUAACUAGUGGUGAUGGAUGUGGCAUGCUGCGUGGCUACUAUGCCAACCGCAUCACAUGCCUAUGAUUGAAUGAUGUGAAUGCAAAAGUGUAUAUAUGCUGCAUUUUGUAGCUCUUUAGAUGUAUAGUCAGAGCAGCUUAACUUAUUCAAAUUCAUUUAUGAUUAAGAUUCUUUUGAAACACCAUACAUUCUACAUUGUUGGAUUCUCCAUUGUUGAAUGCUUGUUGAUGCUUUGAUAACUUGGUAGUUUGUACAAGGGGUGCGUUCAUUUACGAAGUUUUCCUGACAGCUUCAACAUGGGGCACUCCUUACAUGGGAGCGGCCUUGACCAAGUGUUUUAUGUACCACAAACGACAUGCUUUGAUAAUUUAUAAUAAUCUAGCUGCAUUGGAGGACUGUAAUUCUGUUCACCCUUGUACGUUUCUUUUUUCGUCCCGCGGCACUCCGUUCCCAGGGAGACACGGGCGGCGACCCCAAGCUGCCAAGGCGGCCGGCCCCUCCAACCCCUCCUUCCCCCUCACCAUCGCCGGUGCCUCCCCAUUAACGACAUAAGGUUGCAACAUGUUGGAUGGCUUGAAUAGAUGCAAAUCGACGUUGAUUAGAUACAUAUAUAAGAUUAUCAUCUCUCAACCCCCGUCUAUGUAUGCCGGAUACAACAAUUACUUUGUAAUCACCAUGUUCGACAAAAUCAAUGAUUCUGUUUGUGUCAGCUAUGUCUUCAACCAAAGAAAACUACUUGGGUCGGAGCACAUGUCCCUUUUCCACUACGCAGAUGUUGUCCAACAUGACCAACAGAACUUUGCUAUGACUGGGGAGGGGUAUGUAUUCGUUUAGCAUCCGCAUGACUAUGGUAAUGUCUACGAUUGUUUACGUUAGGUUGGUAAAACUGCUAUGCGAUUACUUAUUUGAAACACACAUUUUCCUUGUCGGUAUAAACUAGACCUAUCGAGAAACCAAUCACCAAUCUUCGUAUAUCUCAAGAAAGAUGCUCAAGUCAUUCUGUGGUGCGGGUUCCUCAUGCACUGAUACUGGUUCAUACCCAUGGCACCAAUGAGGAUGAGUUGCCAUAUCUGGGUCAAGUAGCACUUUUGGAUCUAUGCACAUGCGCCUCUCCCAUAUUAGUUCGGUUUCAGCUUCACUCUCUGGCUGCUUGCUAUAUGCUAGCGUUGCAUCAUGUGCAUCGAUUCCAUUGCCUGCGCGUACCGCAGCACCAAAAGAGUGAAGUGACCAUCGAGAUCAAUGUACAGUACUAGCUUGCACAAACUCGUUACGGUAGCGAGAUGGCUGGACCGGCCUAGGCCUCUGUCUCGCUGUCUCGCAGUGAGAGAUGGCAGCAUGCAAUGCACGCCGGCAGCGGCAGCGGCACGCAUUUGGGUAGGGGACGUCCAUUUUGGUGUAAACUGUACGUCGGACGUGGCAGCACCCAUCUUAUAUCAUCUACUGCAAUAUGAAAACUACUGCACACCUCUGCCCUGCGCCAAUAUUAGCUGCACGCGUGAGUCGAGUCCGGUCAUGUUCAAGUCCGGUCGUUUUGCGUAUAUAUUUCUCGUGCUAUUUUUUUGGGUAAAAGCAUUAAUUGGAACAUUUGGGCACCAUUAGAAGAGGUCUGGGGUAACCAAAAACUAACGAGUUUGGUAACUCGAUCCUUAAGAAGAAGAACACGAGUACACGACGCACAUUUUUCAUCAAACUAAUCUCGGAGAAUAAAGAAGAAGAACACAAGCCACAAACACAUCACGGCAAGCUGCAGUUUUAAUUUAGCCCAGAAUCAAACUAAGCUCCAUGCAUGCAUAUGAUAACUAGCUCUAAAGAGUACAAACUCGAUCUCAUUCUCAUCUCGAUCCCACCAUAUGCAUCAUGCAUCGAUCUAGCAUUAUAUUCCAACACAUCAGCAUGUACACCAAUUAACCCUAAUUAGUGCCACAUUGGUCAAUCAUUAGCUAGUAGCUUAGACUGGAGUGCUGGACGACAUAGCAUAGUACUGGACAAGCUUCGCUAGGCAUGGAUGGAUGGAUAUGUAGGAAUCAAAGGGCUACCACACGGCGGCGACGAGUGCGGCGAUGCCUACAAAGAAGAAGAUGAACAGGGGCACGAAGAGCAGGACGUUGUGGGCGAUGAACAUGCCCGUCUCCACGUACAUGUGGCCGGGGCAGCCGCUGAAGGCGACGGCGGCCGCAGCAGUGAAGGCGUCCUCGAGGUGGAAGUAGGUGAAGACGCUGACGACGUGCGUGAAGGCGGCGAAGGUCCAGCCGACGUGCAGCCGCCCCCAUCUCCAGGCGUCCGGCGCGAAGGCGGCCACCGUGGCCGCCGCUGCCUGGGCGCCGGCGGGGAGCAGCAACUGCAGCCCCUUCGCGCGCAUGGUCGCCGCGUCCACCUCGGUGGCCGCGCACUGGCCUCCCUGCGGCUUCAGCUGGGGUUGGAGGGUGACGGCGCAGCGGGCGAAAGUCGCCGCCGCCCAGCCGAGGGCGAGGUGCACCUUCGCCACCGCUCGGAUGGCUCCCAUCGCCGCCCUGGCACCAUCUCCGCCUGCAGCUGCUGCUUCACCGCCGCCGGCAGCAGCACCACCUCCACCAGCAUCCAUCGCCGGCGCCGCACUUCGGGCUGUGCGUGUGGAGUGUGGUUUGUGGUUUGUGGAUUGUAGUGUGGCCUGUGUGAGUGCGCGCGCGGAGUGUGGCCUGUGUCACUGUGUGUGCCGAACGUGCAGCCACGGGAAAUUCAGAGAGGAGUUAUUGGUGGGGAGAGGAGAGACAAGUAGGUUAGGUUUGUAGCUUCAAUCCGUGAUAGCCAGUUUGCAAGAUGAGCAAUUGAGGCAUUGCAGCUGGCGUGAACGACGGUAGGGUGGGGAAACUCUUUCGUUUCUAGUUUCUCUUUUGUCUCUAUGUGGCUUGACGACUAAGCGAAGUUAAUUGCUAGCAUGUACGUUUUCAUGCAUGGUCGUGAGGAUAAGAUUCACACAAGGAGUUUGCAUACCAUGCACGGUCAAUGAUCUGCGAAAUCUUGCAUGUGGGUCCCUCCACUCACAUGAAUUGAAACAUCCGACGCCAUCACGCGAGCGCUGCGCGCGGCCAUGUAGAGCGUGUGCUGCUCUUAGACGGAGUUUGGGUUCUCCGCGGCCAUGCCCGGCACGACCUUCUUAUUGGCAAACUCGUCGUAGAUUUGGCCCUCCGUCAGAGGGCGAGGUUGUAGCACUACUCCUCUUGCGCCAGCUAGAACGUCGACACUGGCUUCUCGUCCAUCAUGACGGCGUCGAGGUGUGCCUCUGUCUACUCCAUGGUGAGGCCAGCAUGGAUCGGCAUAGGCAAGGGCACCGGAUCUUCGUCAGAGGCUUCCUCCAUCGUCGGAUAGUUGUCGCUCACCUCCGGCGAGCUUACCGGCAAGCCUGCUUGUAUCGUCCGUGCACGACGGCCCUACCAACGGGCCACAAGGCCAACCACCUCAUGCUUCAUCUCCAUCGAGAGGCUCUUCCACAUCGCACUCGAGCUCGUGGUCAUGCCGGAGGUGGUGCACAAAGAAGGAUUGGAAGCAGACGUGUUGUGGUGCGGAUGGUGUCGGGCGAGGCCAUGUUUAAAUAGCAGGUGCUAGCCAUGCGAAGCGGCGGGUUGUCUCAAUGCGGGCGCCGAAGUGGGUUUCCAAGAUAUAAUUUACUUCAACCUUUGCGAGCUUAAAAUCAUGUACUAAGCAUGAAUUCUAAGUGUGUAUCCAAAACCAUGAAACCUGUUUCUUCCAUAAGUGCCCCCAUACCUACCUAUGGGUCGAGAAAAACCUUGCAAGUAAGUUGUCAUCGGUACGGGCAUCAAAGUUAUCAUUUAAUUAAGCGUGAUUUUUAUUGGAACAAAAUUGAACCUUUAUACAAACUUGUGAUAGGGGCAUAAAAUCAUAAUGAUAACACAAAUGGUCACCAUCUCAAGGGGCAAUGUAAAGCAAUGUAAAGUAAAGUUCCUUUCCAGUAUACUCUUAUGNNNNNNNNNNNNNNNNNNNNNNNNNNNNNNNNNNNNNNNNNNNNNNNNNNNNNNNNNNNNNNNNNNNNNNNNNNNNNNNNNNNNNNNNNNNNNNNNNNNNNNNNNNNNNNNNNNNNNNNNNNNNNNNNNNNNNNNNNNNNNNNNNNNNNNNNNNNNNNNNNNNNNNNNNNNNNNNNNNNNNNNNNNNNNNNNNNNNNNNNNNNNNNNNNNNNNNNNNNNNNNNNNNNNNNNNNNNNNNNNNNNNNNNNNNNNNNNNNNNCUGAUACAAGGCAACAAGACCAAAGACAUCAACAAAAGGAGUACAUAACAAGCACAAUUAUGGUAGACCCAUUACAAUACAUGAGUUUAACACCCACGAGCAAGUCAACUUUUUCUGCAACAACACCUACAAGAAGGAUACAUGCCCUCAGGCCAUCGUUUCCCUGUCUAGCCGGAGACGGUAAGCACAAGGAUUUUCAUUCUGGUUACUGAGACCGACCAAUAAAGGCCAAUAUAUUAGCAAGGAGACAACGCCUUCAACAAGACAACGAUGGAAGCAGACCUGUUGUAAAGUAGACUGAACCAAAUCAAAUUUUGAGGUUAUAAAGUAAAACUGGUACAAGUUCAGGCCGGUAAAGUAGGCUUCUUGUCGCUUUUGUUUCGCGCACGUUUGAAUUUUUUUCCCCUGUGUUUCUUGUGUUUCAUGAACAAAACAACCCUUUUCAUCCUCUCUUAGGCGCUUGUAUAAGACCAGCCAAGGUUAGCCGAGGUCAGAGGCCAACGACACCUCUUAAAUACGUGAGAGAAUUCCUUAUUUGACACGGUGUUAAAUCUUGUUUCUCUAUUUGACACCGAAAAAUAUUUUCUUCCCUAUAUAACACUGAGUCUAAAUUUUAUGCCCUUUAUAACACUUUCGUCUAUUUUAAGCCUUAAAUGUGUUAAUUGACACAUGAAAAGACCUUUUUACCCCUGAUGUGGUAUGUGAUAAAAAAAUAUCAUAGAUGCUAGUAAUAAUGCGUGGCCGGCUUGGUUUGUUGUAUGCGGCUAAGUAUAGCGGACUAGCUGCAUGUGUGAUGUCCAGCUGGUUCGGUUCAUAGCUGCGUGGGCGCGUUCUGUGCAGCGGGGAGUGUGAGCGGCCGCCGUCCUUCUUCGUGACCCCGGACUCAUGUGUACUUCGUUGGUUAAUCAGCUAGAGAUCCCCGCAAAAAAAUAAAAAUCAGCUAGAGAUUACUCAUGCGUGUGCCUGGCAUGGCAUCGGCCAGUAUCAAUAAACACGGACUACAUACUACUGUACAGUGUACGUAUUUACGAAGAGAAGAGCGGUUACACCAUACACAAGAGCUAACUUAAGCACUCGAUUGAUUUUCUUUGGAAGUUGGCUCCCGCAGCUAGGAACCGAACCAGCUGGACAGCACACACGCAGCUAGUAGUUCGCUAUACUUAGCCGCAUACAACAAACCAAGCCGGCCGGACAUUAUUAGCACGUAGUGCUAGCGUCUAUGAAUUUUUUUAUCACAUACCACAUCAGGGAUAAAAAGGUCUUUACAUAUGUCAAUUAACACCUUUAAGCCUUAAAAUAGACGAAAGUGUUAUAAAAGGCAUAAAAUUUAGACUCGUUGUUAUAUAAGGGAAAAAAAUAUUUUUUGGUGUCAAAUAGGGAAAUAAAAUUGAACACAGUGUUAAAUAAGGAAUUCUUUCUAAAUACGUAUGUGGUGUCGAGACCAAGUCGUGCUACGUUGCUAUGGAUCUAUCAACGCCAAUUCAUGCGAGACCACGGUCCAACUCCAAGUACGUGACCCUAAAAAAAAACUCCAAGUACGUUUCUCCUUCCAUCUCACCGCGUGGAAAUCUUCAUAGGCGUCAGCGGAGGCCGUAGCAACACUCGGUUUCUCGCAGAGAAGCGGUCGACGUCAGUGAUGGCAAGUGAAGGGGGGUCUUGAACCGGUCCAAAAACCGGCUAGACUGUUGCGUGCUUCCUCACGUUGGCGACGACCAGCUCCGGAGUUUUGAAUGGACCCGUAAAGCGGCAGCCGCCACCCAUCCGAGGAACCAAGUUGUAGUAUAUAAAUACGCCGGCGCGCCUCAGUUACGGCACCUCAAUUCCGAACGCCAGCCGCAGGAGAACAAGAGCGACAGGCCUAGUCCCAGACGAAAGAGAGCAAUACAGUCAGAAAGGGCAGAGAGAGCAGCCGGCCGGCCGUGUUCGCGGGAGAGGGAGAAGAGAUAUUGGUUAGCUUUGCAGCGAGAUUGACAGAGCAAUGUCGCGCGGUCUUCUGGAGGUGCAUCUGGUCGACGCCAAGGGCCUCUCCGGCACCGAUUUCCUCGGUGAGUGCUCCACCGGAGUUUGCAGAAGAGCAGCCACCACCACACGUGUUCUUGGUCUGGCUUCGAUUUGCUCUCUUCUAGUGUCUGGCUUGGAUUCAUCUAAUUUUACCUCCAUCUAUACGCGCAGGGAAGAUAGACCCGUAUGUGGUGGUGCAGUACCGGAGCCAGGAGCGCAAGAGCAGCACCGCCCGAGGUCAGUGCCUUCUUCCACAAUCACAACCCGGCUCCACCCUUGACUUUCACCAUGUCUACCAGCAAUCCAUACUAUGACUAUGACGAUUUCCUAAAUGAACCAGCGUUGGCCUGUAAUGCAGAUGCCGGGAGGAACCCGAGCUGGAACGAGGUGUUGAGGUUUCAGAUCAACUCCUCCGCUGCCAACGGGCAAGAUAAGCUCGUCUUCCGGAUCAUGGACCACGACACCUUCUCCCGCGACGAUUUCCUCGGCCAAGCAACGUGAGUAAACUCCUACUCCUAGUCCUAGCUGCCAAGCAUCACCAUCAGCAUCAGCACAUAACUAAAAUGGCAGAUUAGAUAAAAAGGAAAGGUCUAAAUCCAAUUACUCAAUAGUAUAUCUCUGUGAUGCAGGAUCAAUGUGACUGAUCUGAUCAGCAUAGGCAUGGAGAGCGGCACCUCGCGGCUGAACCCGGCCAAGUACAGGGUGGUCACCGCCGACAACUCGUACCACGGCGAGAUCAAAGUCGGCAUCACCUUCACGGCCGCAAAGGUUGAUGCCCAUUCCCAGGUUGAAGAAGACGGAGCACAGUUUGGAGGCUGGAGGCACAGCUUUCGUGAGCAGAAGGUCUGAGGGUCCUUCGGUCGUGCAUAAUUAGUGGUGUUGGAUGUGGCCUAUGACUGAAUGAUGUGGCUCCAAGUGUGUAUGCUGUAUUUUGUAGCACUUUAAUCAGAACAGCUUAAGAUCACCAAAUUCGUUUACGAUUAAGAUUCUUUUGAAACAACACAUACAUACUCCGUGUCGAAUUCUCCAUUGUUGAAUGCUUGUUGACACCAGUAUAUACAUACGGUGUACGGCCAUCUGGCAAGAACAAGAUGCUACGGAGUCCAGUUCUUCGGCACCAGUAACAAAUUUCCCCAGGAACUCAAACAAUUUCAGGUGCCUCUACAGCAUAUGCACACUGCCGCUCCAGAUAGAGAUAUCAUACACAUACACAUACACAUCAAAUUCACAGUGACAUCGAGUGAUAGCUAGAGGAUCACCAUUACCCAUCGGCGGUACAUCCGACGGAACUCCGGCGGGCGAUCAACUCCUCCAUGAGCUGCCCUACAUCGUCGUACGACGACCCGCCCUUCUCCACCGCGCCCCUCGGCAUCACCCCGAGCUCCUUGGCCUUCUUCCGCAUGGCGGCGCCGUCGCCCUCCUCCCCCAUCACUCUCCGGAUGGAUUCCGCGAUCGCCUCGCCAGCGAUCACCCGGUGGGUCUCCAGGCACGACGCGUAGUCUUCGGCGCCGACGCCCACACCCACGCCGAGCACCUCAACCACGAGUUUCUCGUUGUAGAACUGGUCGGCGUACCGCGGCCACGUCACCAUCGGCACGCCGGCGCUCACGGCCUCCAGCGUCGAGUUCCACCCGCAGUGCGUCACGAACCCGCCGACGGCAGGGUGGUUCAGGAUGAGCACCUGCGGCGCCCAUCCUCGGACGAUGUACCCACGGUUUGCCGUUGGGAACCCGUCUGGCGUAGACGGGUCAGAAGAUGCGGCGGUGGAGCCCUUGGCAAUGACCCACACGAAGUUCUUGCCGGAGAGGUCGAGGCCGCGGGCGAGCUCCCGCAUCUGCUCUGGCGAAAAGUUGGUCAUCGUGCCGAAGGAGACGUACACCACCGAGCUGGCCAGUUUGGCGUCGAGCCACCGCAGGCACACGGCGGCGUCCGGCGAGAGCGCGCCGGCGACGGCGCCUCUUGACGCCACAUCCUCGAGGCUGCCGCUUGCGAGCGCCACCGGCCCGACAAGCCACGCGCGGCGGCGGAGCUGCGUGGCACGAUAAUGCUCGGCGUAGCCCGGCUCCAGCACGCGGAAGCUAUUGAAGAGCUCGCCGUAGCUCGACCGGUCCGCGGCGUGGAUGAGCUGGAACAUAGCCCACUCAUGUGGCCGCUUUGCAGGGUCCAUCAUCUGGCUCCGCCGCUGCUCGACACGGUGCGGCAGCCCCGGCAGGGAUACGACGGCACCGUGGUCGUCAGAGCACGACUCAAACACGUUGCUCCGGAGCACGGUGUCGGUGCAGGCACGGGCGAACAUGCUGGUGGCGAGGAACGCGAUGCGCGGGAGGCCGUGCUCGGCGGUGGCGUGAGCGGACCAGUGGAAGAGGCUGUCGGAGACCACGGCGUCGAUGUCGGCGUGGUGGUCGGACAGGAACCGGCAGAAGGGCUCCCGGAGCAGCUCCACCGUCUGGAGGAACCUGUCGUGGUAGUCCCUGGAGGUAGCAAGGUCCCUCCCGCUCUGUGCGGCCAUCGGGAGCCCAACGUCGGGGAAAGGCACGACGGAGAUGGACAUCGGGGUGCCGGCGGCGCUGCUGCCGUUCGCGCGAUCGACGACGGAGCGGAUGGUGGAGGCUUGGACGGGCGUGGUGAGGACGGUGCACCUGACGCCGCGAGCGGCGAAGAGCGCGGCCAUGUCGGCCAUCGGGAUAAGGUGGCCAGGAAGGAGGAAAGGGAAGAAGAGGAUGUGCAGCGGCGGCUCGGCGUCCUUAGUUGGCGCCAUGGCUGCCAUCCAAGCAGGUCGCGCAGGUGAGCCGUUCCUGUGGCUAAUGAGAUCGGAUCGGAUGCUCGCGAGUUGUGAUCACCACGCAGACGAUUACUUUCCGCUGCGGCGGCGACUUUGACAUUGCACAAAUGGAUACCCACCGCGUGGGAAUUACAGUAUAACGGUACCCGACCGAUGAUGAUGUGCGUCAGACUCGAAUCAAUGAGUCUUUUUUAGUGCUAUAAAAUCAGUUAGUCGACAGCUGUCCUAGUGUACGACUCAGGAGUGCAGAAUACCACGAUGAAAUGCCGUGAGGCCCCGCUUGGUACGCCGUUUUGGCGCCCAAAACACUUGUAAAAUAUCGCGAGAGCUAUGUCUCGCGAAAUCGAGCACCCUUUGCAAAAAUCAUUUGCGCCACUUGUCAUAAUUUGAAAGUUUUUUUAAUCUUUUUAUUCAAAAUGUUUUAUCUCUUAAACCGUGUGUUCAAAUCUUGAACCGUUUUUACCGUUAAUUCCUCACGCCGAGAUAUUUAAAACUAGAUCUCAUAUUGAUAGGUUUGAUGAACCCUUUUUGAUUUCAAAACCGGAUGAAAAAAUUGUGCCUCUCGUAGAAGCAAAACCAUGCCUCACGAGAAAUAAAUGUGUGCCUCUCGCAGAAAAAAAAAGAUAACGCGUUUUUCUUCGUUUCCGAUAGACACGAUUGUGCCUCUCGCGAAAGCAAAUCCGUGCCUCUCGCGGAAGGAAAAAGAAAAAAGAAAACGUGUUUUCUUUCCAUUUCCGAGAGGCACGACUUGCCUCUCGCGGAAGGAUUUUGUUUGCGAAGGCACGACUGUGCCUCUCGUUGAAGGAAAACAAAAGAAAACGUGUUUUUUUUCAUUUGCGACGACAGGAUUGUGCCUCUCGCGGAAACAAAUCAGUGCUUCUCACGGAAGGAAAAACGCGUUUUUUCCGUUUUUGAGAGGCACGACUCGUGGAAGCAACAUGCCUCUCGCGGCAGAAAAAAAAAAGAAAAUGUGUCUUUUCACGAUUUUUUUUUGAUCUUUUCAGUUCCAAAACUUAAGAACGGCCAGGGGAAAACCAAAAGACAGAAAAAACGAUCUAAAAAUCCCAAACCACGUGUGAAAAAAUAAAAAUAAGAAUCGCAGGGAGCGCCCAAAACGUGACAUGUGGCAGAGGCAGAGCGCUGCCAAGUGGUGCGCUCUAAGCCCACCUAAGGUGACCCUUGCGGGGGCUCCCGAAGAAGUACUCCUUUGUUAGUUGCUUCCUAUGUCUCGCUUAUAGCGACACGAUGAUGAGUCCAAAUUAUGAGGUCUUUUUCACCGUUAUUUCUGUGCCUACUAGUUAGGCUUUGUGGAAUUUUACCGCGUUCACACACUUCUCUUUGUCAAUAAUCCCUCAGGUUGUGGCUUAUGGAGCAAUAUUAAUUUAUUGGAGAAAUCCCUAAAAGUGGCAGUGGAAUCACGUAUUAAAGGUGGUAAGCACUUUCCAUAAAAGAAUCAAGCAAGAGGACCGAAGACACCAUCGUCGCCGCGUUUCCAGAGCGAACGACAACAUUCCAUGCGACCACAAGCGCUCGCAUGAGUGGUCCUUUGGCACGAUGCCGCCUCUAGGGGAUCAGCUAUUUUCACCCCGUCGAAGCAGAUCGGGGAUGAGACGUUCAGAGCCUCCAGAAACUCAUCCCGAAGGCAGAACCCUAGCCACCGGAGCCCAUCCGGUAAAGGGAUCAACAAGGAGAAGGAGGGGAUUCUUCUCAUCUUGAGGGGAACGCAGUCAACAUCAUCAUCUUCAUCAUCACCGUCUUCCACCUCCUCCUCCUCAUCCACAUCCUUAUCAUCUGUAACACAAAGAACCCUAGUGGAUCCUAUAGUGUAUCUGUUGAUCUAUUCAUCCUUGUAUUCAUUUACCAUUUCCGUGAUGAUUGUUGUUCCCAUGUGUGAGUAGAUCUUUUGUUCCCGGGGUAUGGACGAACCCUAGUGUGUAAUCGGAUGUUUGAUAUUAGGAUUUAAUAUCCUCUUUGAAUGUUUAUGUUGAUAAUCUUCUUGACGUUCAGUGAAGUCGACCAUCCAACGUAUGUUGAAUCUGGACGGAAGGUUAUUACUGUUGGCUAACUAUGUGGUUGUGGAGUUGGGUGACGUGACAAGACCACUUUGGAUAGCGGAUAGUUGCAACAGGGGGUAUUAAUGGAGACAAGUUUGGCUGCAUCCACGGGGACCUUUUUCCCCUUAAUCACCAUUUGAUAACCGGAGUGGGGAAGAACGGUGGUGGCGUAUGGGAUACGGAGAUAGCAUGAGUAUAAAGUAUAUGUACCGGCUCUGCCCACAAAUAGAAACAUGUAAAGUGGCUUAGGAAUACAAAAUAGCUUUGUGUUUAGGCACAGUCGUAGAUGCACACUACUGGGGUAUUCGGAUCCCUGGGAACUCUUUUAAUCAUUAUGUCAAGUUAAGUCAUUUUACUUGUUAUUUAUUCUAGCUUAUUUACUCACCUUUACACUUGCAACUUUAUUAUUAUUCCUGUUCUGGAUCACUUACAAUUUAUAGGGACAUCAUUUGUACCUCGCAAAGGGCCAAAGACUAAUUCUUGUGCUCCAUGUGGGGUCGAUACUCUUACUUUGAAAAGGCUAUAACUAAACCAUGUGCACUCAGGCUAUCAAGCUUUUUCUGGUGCCGUUGCCGGGGAGUUGAGCGCUUUUCGUCUUAGUUCUGAGUUUGGUUUGAAUCUUUUGUACUAAGUUGUUUGCAGGUCUGGAACAAUCAUGAUUGAGUAUGGACACAACUAUCAUCAUGCAGCCUUGCGGCUUACAUGUCCACCUAUUCGAGAAAUGUUCACAUUGUUGGGUCCUAAUGCCACCGGUGUAGCUUAUGAGGUGAACCCAAGUGUCCUCGAAUUAUUGCAUGGUAAACAAUUUAAAGGUGAGGAAGGUGAGGAUCCUUACCAACAUUUGCAAUUUUUUGAAGAUGUACGUGGGACAUUUAAAUUGAAUGCCUUAAGUCCAGAUGAUAUGAAACUGAAAUUAUUUCCUCACACUUUGGCUAAAAAGACAAGGAAUUGGUUAGUGUCUCACCCUACAGGAACCUUUGAUACAUGGAGCAAAUUAGCAGGAAUUUUUCUAUCAUAUUUUUAUACAGAGAAGAAAUCGUAUGAAGCAAGGAGGAGUGUCGGUGUCAACACCGGCAGACCUCGGGGUAGGGGGUCCUGAGCUGUGGAUCUAGGAUCAAUGGGAAACAACGGACGACGAACACAAUGUUUACCUAGGUUAGGGCCCUCUCUAAGAGGUAAUACCAUACGUCCUACUUGAUUAUAUUGGAUGUGUAAUAUGGUUUACAGAGUAGAUCUACCUCGAGAUCAGCAUGAGAUAAACCCUAAGGUGGUGAUGUGAUGAAUGUAGCUCCAGCCCUAAAGACUACAACCCCCGGUUUAUAUAGACACCGAUAGGGUUAGGGUUACCGGAGAUAGAUUACAACAAGGGAUAAAAAGAUCCUGCCUAUCCUUAACUUGGAGGACACACCACGGCUUCAUAGAUCUUCCGUCGCUAUGCGGCUUCACUAGUCCGGCCCAUAUUCAAUGGGCCGGUGCCCCGAGGACCCCUUAGUCCAUAACUCCGUCAGUAGCCCCCGAACUUGCCUCCAACGCCAAGGGUUGUAUCCAGCAUCCGCCUACCCAACAGUAUCCGGCUUGCGAGGUGAGUUCUUCAAUGCGUUUUGUUUGUAUUCAGAGCCAAGUGAUGUCCGGAAUCUGAAACAGCAGUUUUUCUUAGCCCCAAAGGCAAAAAGUCGUUCAAGUGUAAACAGUGCCUUUAUCUGACAACUUUUUCUCCUUCAACGAAGAGUCGCGUCCAGUCAUAACACCGAGCGGUUAGUAUUUCUCGAAGCGCGGCUCGAGGCCGACCCACGCCCGUCACGUCUCAUCAAGGUGGAGAUCGUGCCCCGCCUUUCGGGGCAUAUGAUAAAUGAUUUCGUUUCCCACCCCGCACAUAACGUUGCGGGAGUAUCGGGAAGUGGAGAGGCCAACGACGUGGAAAAAGGAACCCUCGGCGUGUCAACAGCCUAUAAAGGGGGGAGUUACAAUAGUAAUAAUCCCACGCCUUCUUCAACCUUCUGCACCCACAGAUCCUCAGAGUUCAAGUGCCCCCUUCCUCUGUUCUCACAGCGAAUCCCACCCCCCUUUUCUUCAACCAUGGCUGGAUCUGGCGCGAACAGGAAGUGGGAGGCCUCCAUCGUCACCGACGGCAACAUCUUGAAGCUAAAAGAGGCCGGCUAUUUGUCGGCCGACAUUGCCCAUCGGGCCCCCGAAAAGGGCCAGAUCAUCCGCCGAAGCCGGGCGAAAGGGUCGUGUUCCUCCCCCAUUUCCUCGGAGGGCUCGGAUUUCCCCUGCACCCCUUCGUGAGGGGGUUGAUGUUCUUCUAUGGGCUAGAUUUUCAUGAUCUAGCCCCCAACUCCCUCCUUCACAUCUCAUCCUUCAUUAUCUUCUGCGAGGCCUUCCUCCGAGUCUGGCCACAUUUCGGCCUGUGGCCGAAGGUGUUCAACGUCAAGCCCAACGUGGUUGGCGGCGAGCACGCGGACUAUGGCGGGGCCAUGAUCAACAAGCUGACAAGGGUACAGUGGCCGGAGGGCCAAUUUGUUGAUACCGUGAGAAUGUGGCAAAAGGAAUGGUUCUACAUCACCGAACCAAGGGAAGACGGCUGGGCGGCGGCUCCCGUAUUCCGAUCCGGACCCCCUACCAGGCUGACCUCGUGGGUCGAGAAGAGCCAUUACUGGGGGUACCCUGAUGACUUGAAGGCGCUACAGAAGCACGUCAGUAGUGUGAUGGAGACCGGUGCAAAGCUGGUCGAUGUGAUGCAGGUCAUGCUCAAUCGCCGACUCCUCCCUUGUCAGGAGAGGGCCAAGCCCAUGUGGGAACAUGGCCCCGAAGAUCCGGCCACCGUGCGACACCUCUUCGGCACGACCCACAAGAAAGUGUGGGGGCUGCUAUUCGAGCCGCAGAAGGAGUGGCCGGCAGAGGAGGGGGAUAUUGGCCUCGAUGCCGCGCACCCUCUGAAGAAGGUGAGUGACACUUUUCCAAACAUAAGUUUAAACAUUCAUUUUGCAUGACUUAAUCUGAACCCCUUCACAUGGGUUUUGCAGGGCUGGCUCGCCAAGGCCGAGAAGAUCAGCGGCCCGACGCCGCUGCCAGAGGAGCCCCGAUCCGAACAGCUGGAGCAGUUGCUGGUCGUGGCGCCGUACAAGGCGCCUGACAAGAAGGGCAAGAAGACGGAGGUAUCGGAGGCCAGGGAGGGCCUCCAGCAUAGAGCCCAUCCAGACAGCCGGUUCGGAGAUACUGUGACCCCAUCCGCACAAGAGGGGGACAUAGAUGAGGACGAUGAGGAGGAAAGCGCCUCCUCGCAUUCCAAAAAGAGGGCGGCAUCCAGCAACGUCGAGGAGAAUCAACCUCCUCAAGCCCGGAAGAGGCAGGGCCGUCCUAAGCUGGUGCUGCCUGACAGCUCGGACUCCGACGAGGAGUCCGAAAGCAUCCGAAAAGGUUCCGGCGAAGGAACCCAGGGUCAAGCCCCUUGCGGCCAGGUACGUAUCGCGAUAUUCCCGACUGCUUUACCUUUCAUUAAUCCUCGGUAGAACGUAGACUGAUUGUUUUUCGCUUGAUGGUGCAGCCCUCAACGGGGCCACCCUGCCGAGCAAACCUUGGAGGGGACAUCUCCGCAUGCCGAACUGGCAGACAGCGGCUCCGCGUCACGUUUCGCGCCUCCCUUGGUCCCCAAAGAGAUUGGGGAGGUGCUGUCGUGAAAGACCCCUCCUCCUCUGGACACAGAGGGGGAUGUCGACACCAUAAUGGUCGAGGUUAACACCUCGGUUGCCGAAGACCAGGAGGGUGCAUCCCUCCUGGCUGAUGUGGGAAGGGAGUCCGAACCAUCCGGACCCCCACCUAUGACUGCCCCUAGGGAUGGCACCCGCAUGGUUUAGGUACGGGUGGAGCCACCCCAUACCCUUACCCAUCAUCCCAAACCUGACCCACCACCCGUACCCAUACCCAUUGAAGGGUACAUUAAAAAUUUCCUAUGAUCACGCAAGAUCUAUCUAGGAGAUGCAUAGCAACGAGACGGGAGAGUGUGUCCACGUACCCUCGUGGUCGAAAGCGGAAGCGUUUAGUAACGCGGUUGAUGUAGUCGAACGUCUUCGCGAUCCAACCGAUCCAAGUACCGAACAUACGGCACCUACGUGUUCAGCACACGUUCAGCUCGAUGACGUCCCUCGAGCUCUUGAUCUAGUUGAGGACGAGGGAGAGUUCUGUCAGCACGACAGUGUGGCGACGGUGAUGAUGAAGUUACCGGCGCAGGGCUUCGCCUAAGCACUACGAUGAUAUGACCGAGGUGUUAAACUGUGGAGGGGGGUGAUACGUCCAUUUUGCAUCAUGCUUUUAUAUCGAUAUUUAUUGCAUUAUGGGCUGUUAUUACACAUUAUGUCACAAUACUUAUGCCUAUUCUCUCUUAGUUUACAAGCUUUACAUAAGGAGGGAGAAUGCCGGCAGCAGGAAUUCUGGGCUGGAAAAGGAGCAAAUAUUAGAGACCUAUUCUGCACAACUCCAAAAGUCCUGAAACUGCACGGAAGUUAUUUUUUGGAAAUAAUGAAAAAUACUGAGCGGAAGAAAUACCAGAGGGGGCCCACACCCUGGCCACGAGGGUGGGGUGCGCGCCCUACCCCCCUGGGCGCGCCCCCUGCCUCGUGGGCCCCGUGUUGGCCCUCCGAUGCCCAUCUUCUGCUAUAUGAAGUCUUUCGUCCGAAGAAAGAAAAUCAGAAGCAAGCUUUCAGGACGAGACUCCGCCGCCACGAGGCGGAACCUUGGCGAAACCAAUCUAGGGCUCCGGCGGAGCUGUUCUGCCGGGGACACUUCCCUCCGGGAGGGGAAAAUCAUCGCCAUCGUCAUCACCAACGCUCCUCUCACCGGGAGGGGGCCAAUCUCCAUCAACAUCUUCACCAGCACCAUCUCCUCUCAAACCCUAGUUCAUCUCUUGUAUCCAAUUCUUGUCUCUAAGUCCGGGAUUGGUACUUGUAGGUUGCUCGUAGUGUUGAUUACUCCUUGUAGUUGAUGCUAGUUGGUUUAUUUGGUGGAAGAUCAUAUGUUCAGAUCCUUUAUGCAUAUUAAUACUCCUCUGAUUAUGAACAUGAAUAUGCUUUGUGAGUAGUUACGUUUGUUCCUAAGGACAUGGGAGAAGUCUUGCUAUUAUUAGUCAUGUGAAUUUGGUAUUCGUUCGAUAUUUCGAUGAGAUGUAUGUUGUCUCUCCUCUAGUGGUGUUAUGUGAACGUCGACUACAUGGCACUUCACCAUUAUUUGGGCCUAGAGGAAGGCAUUGGGAAGUAAUAAGUAGAUGAUGGGUUGCUAGAGUGACAGAAGCUUAAACCCUAGUUUAUGCGUUGCUUCGUAAGGGGCUGAUUUGGAUCCAUAUGUUUCAUGCUAUGGUUAGGUUUACCUUAAUACUUCUUUUGUAGUUGCGGAUGCUUGCAAUAGGGGUUAAUCAUAAGUGGGAUGCUUGUUCAAGUAAGGACAACACCCAAGCACCGGUCACCCACAUAUCAAAUUAUCAAAGUACCGAACGCGAAUCAUAUGAACGUGAUGAAAACUAGCUAGAUGAUAAUUUCCAUGUGUCCUCGGGAGCGCUUUCCUUUAUAUAAGAGUUUGUCCAGGCUUAUCCUUUGCUACAAAAAGGAUUGGGCCACCUUGCUGCACUUUAUUUACUUUUGUUACUUGUUGCUUGUUACAAAUUAUCUUAUCACAAAACUAUCUGUUACCUAUAAUUUCAGUGCUUGCAGAGAAUACCUUGCUGAAAACCGCUUAUCAUUUCCUUCUGCUCCUCGUUGGGUUCGGCACUCUUACUUAUCGAAAGGACUACGAUAGAUCCCCUAUACUUGUGGGUCAUCAAGACUCUUUUCUGGCGCCGUUGCCGGGGAGUGAAGCGCCUUUGGUAGGUGGAAUUUGGUAAGGAAAAUUUAUAUAGUGUGCUGAAAUUUAUUGUCACUUCUUACUAUGGAAAGUAAUCCUGUGAGGGGCUUGUUUGGGGUAUCUUCACCCCGAUCAGUAGAGCAAAGAGUUGCUCCUCAACCUACCGAACCUACUGAAAAUGAAAAUGUCUACAUUGAAAUUCCUUCUGGUAUGAUAGAAAAACUGCUAGCUAAUCCUUUGGCAGGAGAUGGAACAUUACAUCCUGAUGAGCACCUAAUAUAUGUGGAUGAAGUUUGUGGAUUAUUUAAGCUUGCAGGUAUGCCCGAUGAUGUUAUCAAGAAUAAGGUUUUCCCUUUAUCUUUGAAGGGAGAUGCAUUGACAUGGUAUAGGCUAUGUGAUGAUAUGGGAUCAUGGAACUACAAACGAUUGAAAUUUGAAUUUCAUCAGAAGUUUAUCCUAUGCAUCUUGUUCAUCGUGAUCGCAAUUAUAUAUAUAAUUUUUGGCCUUGCGAAGGAGAAAGCAUCGCUCAAGCUUGGGGGAGGCUUAAGUCAAUGUUAUAUUCAUGCCCCAAUCAUGAGCUCUCAAGAGAAAUGAUUAUUCAAAAAUUUUAUGCUCGGCUUUCUGAUAACAAUCGCACCAUGCUCGAUACUUCUUGUGCUGGCUCUUUUAUGAUGAAGACUAUUGAAUUCAAAUGGGAUUUAUUAGAAAGAAUUAAAUGCAACUCUGAAGAUUGGGAUCUCGAUGAAGGUAAGGAGUCAGGUAUGACAGCUAAGUUUGAUUGUGUUAAAUCUUUUAUGGAUACCGAUGUUUUCCGUAAAUUUAGCACUAAAUAUGGACUUGACUCUGAGAUAGUAGCUUCUUUCUGUGAAUCUUUUGCUACUCAUGUUGAUCUCCCUAAGGAGAAGUGGUUUAAAUAUCAUCCUCCCAUAGAAGUAAAAGUAGCUGCACCUAUUAAAGUUGAAGAAAAGACUAUCACUUAUAAUGAUCCUAUUGUUCCUACUGCUUAUGUUGAGAAACCACCUUUCCCUGUUAGAACAAAGGACCAUGCUAAAGCUUCAACUAUGGUUCUAAAAAGCAAUAUUAGAACUUAUACACCUCCUGAGCAAGUUAAAGUUGAACCUAAUAUUGCUAUUGUUAAAGAUCUCUUGGCUGAUAAUAUAGAUGGGCAUGUUAUUUAUUUCUGUGAUGAGACUGCUAGAAUUGCUAAACCUUGUGCUAAAGAUAAACAUAGACCUGUGGUAGGCAUGCCUGUUAUUUCUGUUAAAAUAGGAGAUCAUUGUUAUCAUGGCUUAUGUGAUAUGGGUGCUAGUGCUAGUGCAAUACCUAUUGACUUAUACAAAGAAAUUAUGCAUGAUAUUGCACCUACUGAGUUAGAAGAAAUUGAUGUUACAAUUAAGCUUGCCAAUAGAGAUACUAUAUCACCAAUUGGAAUUGUUAGAGAUGUUGAAGUCUUGUGUGGCAAAACUAAAUAUCCUGCUGAUUUUCUUGUUCUUGGUUCUCCACAAGAUAGCUUUUGUCCCAUUAUAUUUGGUAGACCCUUCUUAAACACUGUUAAUGCUAAGAUAGAUUGCGAAAAGGAUGUUGUUACUAUUGGUUUGGGUGAUAUGUCUCAUGAGUUUAAUUUUUCUAAAUUUUGUAGACAACACCGUGAAGAGGAAUUGCCUAGUAAAGAUGAAAUUAUUGGUCUUGCUUCUAUUGCCGUACCUCCUAGUGAUCCUUUAGAACAAUAUCUGCUAGACCAUGAAAAUGAUAUGUUUAUGAAUGAAAGAAGAGAAAUAUAUGAAGUGUUCUUUAAACAAGGACCUAUUCAGAAACACAACUUACUUGUUGAAAUCCUAGGGGAUCCUCCUCCACCUAAGGGUGAUCCUGUGUUUGAGCUUAAACCAUUGCCUGAUACUCUUAAAUAUGCUUAUCUUGAUGAAAAGAAGAUAUACCCUGUUAUUAUUAGUGCUAACCUUUCAAAGAAGGAGGAAGAAAGAUUAUUGAAAACUCUGAAGAAGCACCGUGCUGCUAUUGGAUAUACUCUUGAUGAUCUUAAGGGCAUCAGUCCCACUCUAUGCCAACACAAAAUAAAUUUGGAGAAAGAUGCCAAACCAGUUAUGAUCACCAACAACGGCUGAAUCCUAAGAUGAAAGAAGUGGUAAGAAAAGAAAUACUAAAGCUCCUUGAGGCAGGUAUAAUUUAUCCCGUUGCUGAUAGUCAGUGGGUAAGUCCUGUCCAUUGUGUUCCUAAGAAGGGAGGUAUUACCGUCGUUCCUAAUGAUAAAGAUGAAUUGAUUCCGCAAAGAAUUAUUACAGGUUAUAGGAUGGUAAUUUAUUUUCGCAAAUUAAAUAAAGCUACUAAAAAAGAUCAUUACCCCUUACCUUUUAUUGAUCAAAUGCUAGAAAGAUUAUCCAAACAUACACAUUUUUUUCUAGAUGGUUAUUCCAGUUUCUCUCAAAUACUUGUGUCAGCUGAUGAUCAAGCUAAGACCACUUUUACUUGCCCUUUCAGUACUUUUGCUUAUAGAAGUAUGCCUUUUGGUUUAUGUAAUGCACCUGCUACCUUUCAGAGAUGCAUGAUGGCUAUAUUCUCUGAUUUUUGUGAAAAGAUUUGCGAGGUUUUCAUGGACGAUUUCUCCGUCUAUGGAUGUUCUUUUGAUGAUUGCUUGAGCAACCUUGAUCGAGUUUUGCAGAGAUGUGAAGAAACUAACCUUGUCUUGAAUUGGGAGAAGUGCCACUUUAUGGUUAAUGAAGGCAUUGUCUUGGGGCAUAAAAUUUCUGAAAGAGGUAUUGAAGUUGAUAAAGCUAAAGUUGAUGCUAUUGAAAAGAUGCCAUGUCCCAAGGACAUCAAAGGUAUAAGAAGUUUCCUUGGUCAUGCCGGGUUUUAUAGAAGGUUCAUUAAGGAUUUCUCAAAAUUUCUCGGCCUCUGACUAAUCUAUUACAAAAAGAUAUACCAUUUGUCUUUGAUGAUGAUUGUGUAGAAGCAUUUGAAAUACUUAAGAAAGCAUUGAUUUCUGCACCUAUUGUUCAGCCACCUGAUUGGAAUUUACCCUUUGAAAUUAUGUGUGAUGCUAGCGAUUAUGCUGUAGGUGCUGUUCUAGGGCAAAGAGUUGAUAAGAAAUUAAAUGUUAUUCAAUAUGCUAGUAAAACUCUAGACAAUGCCCAGAGAAAUUAUGCUACUACUGAAAAAGAAUUCUUAGCAGUUGUAUUUGCUUGUGAUAAGUUCAGACCUUAUAUUGUUGAUUCUAAAGUAACAAUUCACACUGAUCACGCUGCUAUUAAAUAUCUUAUGGAAAAGAAAGAUGCUAAACCUAGACUUAUUAGAUGGGUCCUCUUGCUACAAGAAUUUGAUUUGCAUAUUAUUGAUAGAAAGGGAGCUGAGAACCCCGUUGCAGACAACUUGUCUAGGUUAGAAAAUGUUCUUGAUGACCCACUACCUAUUGAUGAUAGCUUUCGUGAUAAACAAUUAAAUGUCAUAAAUGCUUCUCGAACUGCUCCAUGGUAUGCUGAUUAUGCUAAUUACAUUGUUGCUAAAUUUAUACCACCUAGUUUCACAUACCAGCAAAAGAAAAAGUUUUUCUAUGAUUUGAGACAUUACUUCUGGGAUGGCCCGCAUCUGUAUAAAGAAGGAGUAGAUGGUGUUAUUAGAUGUUGUGUACCUGAGCAUGAACAGGAACAGAUCCUACGCAAGUGUCACUCCGAGGCUUAUGGAGGACACCACGCUGGGGAUAGAACUCCACAUAAGGUUUUGCAAUCCGGUUUUUAUUGGCCUACUCUCUUCAAGGAUGCCCGUAAGUUUGUCUUAUCUUGUGAUAAAUGUCAAAGAAUUGGUAAUAUUAGUAGAUGUCAAGAAAUGCCUAUGAAUUAUUCACUUGUUAUUGAACUAUUUGAUGUUUGGGGCUUUGAUUAUAUGGGACCGUUUCCUGCCUCUAAUGGAUAUACACAUAUUUUAGUUGCUGUUGAUUACGUUACUAAGUGGGUAGAAGCUAUUCCAACUAGUAGUCCUGAUCAUAACACUUCUAUUAAGAUGCUUAAAGAAGUUAUUUUUUCGAGGUUUGGAGUCCCUAGAUAUUUAAUGACUGAUGGUGGUUCACAUUUUAUUCAUGGUGCUUUCCGUAAAAAGCUUGCUAAGUAUGAUGUUAAUCAUAGAAUUGCAUCUCCCUAUCACCCACAGUCUAGUGGUCAAGUAGAAUUGAGUAAUAGAGAGCUCAAAUUAAUUUUGCAAAAUACUGUUAAUAGAUCUAGAAAGAAUUGGUCCAAGAAACUUGAUGAUGCAUUAUGGGCCUACAGAACUGCAUAUACAAAUCCUAUGGGUAUGUCUCCGUAUAAAAUGGUUUAUGGAAAAGCAUGUCACUUACCUCUCGAACUAGAACAUAAGGCAUAUUGGGCUAUUAAAGAACUCAACUAUGAUUUCAAACUUGCCGGUGAAAAGAGGUUAUUUGACAUUAGCUCACUUGAUGAAUGGAGAACCCAAGCCUAUGAGAAUGCCAAGUUGUUUAAAGAAAAAGUUAAAAGAUGGCAUGACAAAAGGAUACAAAAGCGUGAGUUUAAUGUAGGUGAUUAUGUAUUGCUAUACAACUCUCGUUUAAGAUUUUUUGCAGGAAAACUUCUCUCUAACUGGGAAGGUCCUUACGUUAUUGAGGAGGUCUACCGUUCCGGUGCCAUAAAAAUCAACAACUUCGAAGGCACAAAUACGAAGGUAGUGAACGGUCAAAGAAUCAAACACUAUAUCUCAGGUAAUCCUAUAAAUAUUGAAACCAACGUUAUUGAAACCGUAACCCCGGAGGAAUACAUACGGGACACUUUCCAAAACGUUUUAGACUCCGAAAAGGAAUAGGUAUGUGGUACGGUAAGUAAACCGACUCCAAAACAGUUCUAAUGGCAAUUUUUCUCCGUUUUGGAAUAUUUAGAAAAAUAGAAAAAUAAGAAGCAGUCCGGGAAGGACACGAGGGCUCCACGAGGGUGGAGGGCGCGCCCUACCCCCUGGGCGCGCCCCCUGCCUCGUGGGCACCUCGUGCGCUCUCCGGACUCUGUUUUCUUGCACGUUACGUAUUUUGGUCGGUAAAAAUUCAUUAUAUAAUCUCCUGAAGGUUUUGACCACCGUAGCACGCAAUUAUCUUCUGUUUUCGUUUCGAGCUGUUUCUGUAGCAGAUUUGGAGCAAGAUGUCAUCUCAGGAUUCCGACGGAGAGAGCUAUGUCUCGCACCUCAUUGCUGACCCAAAGACCUAUGGGGAUCUAUCCCCUUGUGGUCGAACUACGGAUGAGGAGGAAAUUGCCCUUCUCAAUUACAGUAUGAAGAAGCUAAAGGAACAAUUGUCAUCAUCAACAACUCCAUCAUCACCACCUCCGAGAAAGGAGACAUAAUCAUAUGGGUAUGGGCACUCCCCUUGGCAACUGCCAAGCUUGGGGGAGGUGCCCCGGUAUCGUAUCACCAACACACUCCUAUCUUUACCAGUUUUCUUAGUUCGAUCCUUUUAGUAAUAUCUUGAUCUAGUAGAAUAAAGUUUUUGGUAUGAUCUAGUUUUGAGUUUUGCUUUAUGAUUCCUCUAUGUAAUCGAGUCCGUGAGCUAUAUAAAAAAGAUUAGUGUUGAGUCAAGGGCUUGAUUAUUUUGCUAUGAUCUUGAGGGAAUAAAAGAAAAAGAAAGAAUAAAAAGAAACAAAGAGAUCAUAUUGAUCUUAUGGAGAGUAAUGACUUCACAUAGAAAGAGUAUGAUGAUUAAAAGUUGUUGAGAGUUGACAAAUUUAGUUUUGGUCAUCGUUGCAAUUAAUAGGAAGUAAUAAAGAAAGAGAGGUUUCACAUAUAAAUAUACUAUCUUGGACAUCUUUUAUGACUGUGAGCACUCAUUAAAAUAUGACAUGCUAACGAGUUGAUGUUGGACAAGGAAGACAACGUAAUGGGUUAUGUUUUCUUAUAUCUGAAAUAAAGUAUAUUGUCAUGGAUCAUCCAACAUGUUGAGCUUGCCUUUCCCCCUCAUGCUAGCCAAAUUCUUUGCACCAAGUAGAGAUACUACUUGUGCUUCCAAAAAUCCUUAAACCCAGUUUUGCCAUGAGAGUCUACCAUAUCUACCUAGGGAUUGAGUAAGAUCUUUCAAGUAAGUUGUCAUCGGUGCAAGCAAUAAAAAUUGCUCUCUAAAUAUGUAUGAUUGAUUGGUGUGGAGGAAAUAAGCUUUAUACGAUCUUGUGAUGUGGAAGAAAUAAAAGCGACAGACUGCAUAAUAAAGGUCCAUAUCACAAGUGGCAAUAUAAAGUGACGUUCUUUCGCAUUAAGAUUUUGUGCAUCCAACUCUGAAAGCGCAUGGCAACCUCUGCUUCCCUCUGUGAAGGGCCUAUCUUUUACUUUUAUCUUCUACCUUAUGCAAGAGUCAUGGUGAUCUUCACCUUUCCUUUUUAUAUUUUAUCCUUUGGCAAGCACAGUGUGUUGGAAAGAUCCAGACAUGUAUAUCUAAUUGGAUGUAAGUUAGCAUGACCUAUUAUUGUUGACAUUACCCUUGAGGUAAAAGGUUGGGAGGCGAAACUAUAAGACCCUAUCUUUCUCUGUGUCCGAUUAAAAUUCCGUAACCACAAGUAUUGCGUGAGUGUUAGCAAUUGUGAAAGACUAAAUGAUAGUUGAGUAUGCGGACUUGCUGAAAAGCUCUGACAUAGACUCUUUCUGAUGUUAUGAUAAAUUGCAAUUGCUUCAAUGACUAAGAUUAUAGUUUGUUAGUUCUCAAUAAAGUUUAUGAUUCAUACUUUGCAUUGUGAAUAGAUUAUUACUUGAGCAUAAGAAAUCAUAUGAGAUUAUCCAUAUAUGUUGCUAUUAUGAGAAUAAUCAUGAUGCCCUCAUGUCCGUAUUUUAUUUUAUCGACACCUCUACCUCUAAACAUGUGAACAUAUUUAUCGUUAUCGGCUUCCGCUUGAGGACAAGCGAGGUCUAAGCUUGGGGGAGUUGAUAUGUCCAUUUUGCAUCAUGCUUUUAUAUCGAUAUUUAUUGCUUAUGGGCUGUUAUUACACAUUAUGUCACAAUACUUAUGCCUAUUCUCUCUUAUUUUACAAGGUUUACAUAAGGAGGGAGAAUGCCGGCAGCUGGAAUUCUGGGCUGGAAAAGGAGCAAAUACUAGAGUCCUAUUCUGCACAACUCCAAAAGUCCUGAAACUCCACGGAAGUUAUUUUUGGAAAUAAUGAAAAAUACUGAGCGGAAGAAAUACCAAAGGGGGCCCACACCCUGGCCACGAGGGUGGGGGGCGCGCCCUACCCCCCUGGGCGCGCCCCCUGCCUCGUGGGCCCCCUGUUGGCCCUCCGGUGCCCAUCUUCUGCUAUAUGAAGUCUUUCGUCCGAAGAAAAAUCAGAAGCAAGCUUUCGGGAUGAGACUCCGCCGCCACGAGGCGGAACCUUGGCGGAACCAAUCUAGGGCUCCGGCGGAGCUGUUCUGCCGGGGACACUUCCCUCCGGGAGGGGGAAAUCAUCGCCAUCGUCAUCACCAAUGCUCCUCUCACCGGGAGGGGGCCAAUCUCCAUCAACAUCUUCACCAGCACCAUCUCCUCUCAAACCCUAGUUCAUCUCUUGUAUCCAAUUCUUGUCUCUAAGUUCGGGAUUGGUACUUGUAGGUUGCUAGUAGUGUUGAUUACUCCUUGUAGUUGAUACUAGUUGGUUUAUUUGGUGGAAGAUCAUAUGUUCGGAUCCUUUAUGCAUAUUAAUACUCCUACGAUUGUGAACAUGAGUAUGCUUUGUGAGUAGUUACGUUUGUUCUUGAGGACAUGGGAGAAGUCUUGCUAUUAGUAGUCAUGUGAAUUUGGUAUUUGUUUGAUAUUUUGAUGAGAUGUAUGUUGUCUCUCCUCUUGUGGUGUUAUGUGAACGUCGACUACAUGACACUUCACCAUUAUUUGGGCCUAGAGGAAGGCAUUGGGAAGUAAUAAGUAGAUGAUGGGUUGCUAGAGUGACAGAAGCUUAAACCCUAGUUUAUGCGUUGCUUCAUAAGGGGCUGAUUUGGAUCCAUAUGUUUCAUGCUAUGGUUAGGUUUACCUUAAUACUUCUUUUGUAGUUGCGGAUGCUUGCAAUAGGGGUUAAUCAUAAGUGGGAUGCUUGUUCAAGUAAGGACAGCACCCAAGCACUGGUCCACCCACAUAUCAAAUUAUCAAAGUACCGAACGCGAAUCAUAUGAACGUGAUGAAAACUCGCUAGACGAUAAUUCCCAUGUGUCCUCGGGAGCGCUUUCCUUUAUAUAAGAGUUUGUCCAGGCUUGUCCUUUGCUACAAAAAGGAUUGGGCCACCUUGCUGCACUUUAUUUACUUUUGUUACUUGUUGCUCGUUACAAAUUAUCUUAUCACAAAACUAUCUGUUACCUAUAAUUUCAGUGCUUGCAGAGAAUACCUUGCUGAAAACCGCUUAUCAUUUCCUUCUGGUCCUCGUUGGGUUCGACACUCUUACUUAUCGAAAGGACUACGAUAGAUCCCCUAUACUUGUGGGUCAUCAGGGGGCACCGCACACGGCUAAGACAAAUCUUGGUGUGCCUUUGGGGUGCCCCCUGCCCACGUAUAUAAAGGAGGGAGGGAGAGAGGCCGGCCCCCUAGGGGUGCGCCAAGAGUAUGGAGUCCUACUAGGACUUCCAAGUCCUAGUAGGAAUCCCUUUCCUUUUUGGAGUAGGAGAGAAGGAAAGAGGGAAAGAGAGAGGGAGUAGGAAAGGGCAAGGGGGGCGCCGCCCCUUCCCCUAGUCCAAUUUGGACCCAUGGGGGGGCGCGCCACCUCCCCUUUGCCUGCCUUCUCUUUUCCCGUAUGGCCCAAUAAGGCCCAUUACUUCUCCCGGUGAAUUCCCGUAACUCCCCGGUACUCUGAAAAAUACCCGAAUCACUCGGAACCUUUCCGAUGUCCGAAUAUAGCCUUCCAAUAUAUGAAUCUUUAGCUCUCGACCAUUUCAAGACUCCUCGUCAUGUCCGUGAUCUCAUUCGGGACUUCGAACAAUCUUCAGUCAUCAAAUUACAUAACUCAUAAUACAAAUCUUCAUCGAACAUUAAGCGUGCGGACCCUACGGGUUCGAGAACUAUGUAGACAUGACCAAGACACAUCUUCGGUCAAUAACCAAUAGCGGAACCUGGAUAUUGGCUCCUAUAUAUUCUACAAAGAUCUUUAUCGGUCAAACUGCAUAACAACAUACAUUGUUCCCUUUGUCAUCGGUAUGUUACUUGCCCGAGAUUCGAUCGUCGGUAUCAUCAUACCUAGUUCAAUCUCGUUACCGGCAAGUCUCUUUACUUGUUCCGUAAUGCAUCAUCCCGCAACUAACUCAUUAGUCACAUUGCUUGCAAGGCUUAUAGUGAUGUGCAUUACCGAGAGGGCCCAGAGAUACCUCUCCGAUACACGGAGUGACAAAUCCUAAUCUCGAUCUAUGCCAACUCAACAAACACCAUCGGAGACACCUGUAGAGCAUCUUUAUAAUCACCCAGUUAAGUUGUGACAUUUGAUAGCACACAAGGUGUUCCUCCGGUAUUCGGGAGUUGCAUAAUCUCAUAGUCAGAGGAACAUGUAUAAGUCAUGAUGAUAGCAAUAGCAAUAAAACUAAACGAUUUAUGCUAAGCUAACGGAUGUGUCUUGUCCAUCACAUCAUUCCCCAAUGAUGUGAUCCCGUUCAUCAAAUGACAACACAUGUCUAUGGUCAGGAAACUUAACCAUCUUUGAUUAACGAGCUAGUCAAGUAGAGGCAUACUAGGGACACUCUGUUUGUCUAUGUAUUCACACAUGUACUAAGUUUCCGGUUAAUACAAUUCUAGCAUGAAUAAUAAACAUUUAUCAUGAUAUAAGGAAAUAUAAGUAACAACUUUAUUAUUGCCUCUAGGGCAUAUUUCCUUCAGUCUCCCACUUGCACUAGAGUCAAUAAUCUAGUUCACAUCGUCAUGUGAUUUAACACCAAUAGUUCAUAUCCUUAUGCGAUUAGUUUACACCGCCAUGUGACUAAUACCCAAAGGGUUUUACUAGAGUCAAUAAUCUAGUUCACAUCGCUAUGUGAUUAACACUCAAAGAGUACUAAGGUGUGAUCAUGUUUUGCUUGUGAGAGAAGCUUAGUCAAUGGGUCUGUCACAUUCAGAGCCGUAUGUAUUUUGCAAAUUUUCUAUGUCUACAAUGCUCUGCAUGGAGCUACUCUAGCUAAUUGCUACCACUUUCAAUAUGUAUCCAGAUUGAGAUUCAGAGUCAUCCAGAUCGGUGUAAAAGCUUGCAUCGUCGUAACUCUUUAUGACGAACUCUUUAUCACCUCCAUAAUCGAGAAACAUCUCCUUAGUCUUCUAAGGACUGCUGUCCAGUGAUCCACUCCUGGAUCAAUAUCGUACGCCCUUGCCAAACUCAUGGCAAGGUACAUAGUAGGUAUGGUACACAACAUAGCAUACUUUAUAGAACCUAUGGCUGAGGCAUAGGGAAUGAAUUUCAUUCUCUUUGUAUUUUCUGCCGUGGUCGUGUUUUGAGUCUUACUCAACUUUACACCUUGCAAUAUAGGCAAGAACUCCUUCUUUGACUGUUCCAUUUUGAACUACUUCAAAAUCUUAUCAAAGUAUGUACUCAUUGAAAAAUCUUAUCAAGCAUGUUGAUCUAUCUCUAUAGAUCUUGAUGCCCAAUAUGUAAGUAGCUUCACUGAGGUCUUUCAUUGAAAAAUUCUUAUUCAAGUAUCCUUUUAUGCUAUCCAUAAAUUCUGUAUUAUUUCCAAUCAACAAUAUGUCAUCCACAUAUAAUAUCAGAAAUGCUACAGAGCUCCCACUCACUUUCUUGAAAAUACAGGCUUCUCCAAAAGUCUGUAUAAAACCAUAUGCUUUGAUCACACUAUCAAAGCGUACAUUCCAACUCCGAGAUGCUUGCACCAGUCCAUAAAUGGAUCACUAGAGCUUACACACUUUUUUAGCACCUUUCGGAUUGACAAAACCUUUUGGUUUCAUCAUAUACAACUCUUCUUUAAGAAAUCCAUUAAGGAAUGCAGUUUUGACAUCCAUUUGCCAAAUUUCAUAAAAUACGACAAUUGCUAACAUGAUUCGGACAGACUUUAUGCAUAUAUACGAGUGAGAAAUUCUCAUCGUAGUCAACACCUUGAACUUGUCGAAAAGUUUUUGCAACAAUUCGAGCUUUGUAGAUAGUAACACUAUUAUCAGCGUCAGUCUUCCUCUUGAAGAUCCAUUUAUUCUCUAUGCCUUGCCGAUCAUCGGGCAAGUCAACCAAAGUCCACACUUUGUUCUCAUACAUGGAUCCCAUCUCAGAUUUCAUGGCUUCAAGCCAUUUCAUGGAAUCUGGGCUCAUCAUCGCUUCCUCAUAGUUCGUAGGUUCGUCAUGGUCAAGUAACAUGACCUCCAGAAUAGGAUUACCGUACCACUCUGGUGCGGAUUGUACUCUGGUUGACCUACGAGGUUUGGUAGUAACUUGAUCGGAAGUUUCAUGAUCAUCAUCAUUAACUUCCUCACUAAUUGAUGUAGGAAUCACUGGAACUGAUUUCCGUGAUGAACUACUUUCCAAUUCGAGAGAAGGUACAAUUACCUCAUCAAGUUCUACUUUCCUCGCACUCACUUCUUUCGAGAGAAACUCCUUCUCUAGAAAGGAUCCAUUCUUAGCAACGAAUAUCUUGCCUUCGGAUCUGUAAUAGAAGGUGUACCCAACAGUCUCCUUUGGGUAUCCUAUGAAGACACAUUUCUCCGAUUUGGGUUCGAGCUUAUCAGGUUGAAGCUUUUUCACAUAAGCAUUGUAACCUCAAACUUUAAGAAACGACAGCUUAGGUUUCUUGCCAAAUCAUAGUUCAUACGGUGUCGUCUCAACGGAUUUAGAUGGUGCCCUAUUUAACGUGAAUGCAGCUGUCUCUAAUGCAUAACCCCAAAACGAUAGUGGUAAAUCGGUAAGAGACAUCAUAGAUCGCACCAUAUCUAAUAAAGUGUGGUUAUGACGUUCGGACACACCAUUACGCUGUGGUGUUCCAGGUGGCAUGAGUUGUGAAACUAUUCCACAUUGUUUUUAAAUGAAGACCAAACUCAUAACUCAAAUAUUUACCUCCACGAUCAGAUCGUAGAAACUUUAUUUUCUUGUUACGAUGAUUUUCUACUUCACUAUGAAAUUCUUUGAACCUUUCAAAUGUUUCAGACUUAUGUUUCAUCAAGUAGAUAUACCCAUAUCUGCUCAAAUCAUCUGUGAAGGUCAGAAAAUAACGAUACCCGCCGCGAGCCUCAACACUCAUCGGACCGCAUACAUCAGUAUGUAUUAUUUCCAAUAAGUCAGUGGCUUGCUCCAUUGUUCCGGAGAACGGAGUCUUAGUCAUCUUGCCUAUGAGGCAUUGUUCGCAAGCAUCAAGUGAUUCAUAAUCAAGUGAUUCCAAAAGCCCAUCAACAUGGAGUUUCUUCAUGCGCUUUACACCAAUAUGACCUAAACGACAGUGCCACAAAUAAGUUGCACUAUCAUUCCAACCGACGGAUGACGCUCCGGAGAUAGGUGAUAUGCUCUUGAUGCAGAAUAUUUUCGCGAGUGAGAUACUUAUUUUGUAUGCGAACUAUUUCAAUGAUGCGAAAAGCUUCAAUCUCAGCAGGAGUAAGAUGAGUAAGAUAGGGCUUAAGGAUAUCUUCUUCCUCCUCCUCAGCCAGCAGUGCUUGUGCUGCCACCGGGGGUGGAUCUAUGGUAGCCUCCUUGCCCUUGCCUCCCUUGAAAUCGUUCGUAGGCUCCUCCCUCUUCGUCUCGAUCUUCAUCAGCCAAGCAUCUUCUUCCAUGUUGUUGGAGGAGCAGGAAGACAUGAUGCCUGGCUUGACAAAUCUGACCAGAAACAGCAAGAAAAGAGAAUAGAGGAUUUCUCCGCGAUACGGUGGUUAACAGGUUCAAGAAGUAUAUAUAGAAUUUUUAUCUAAUGGGACAAACAAGACAGAAGAAAAACGGAGUCCGGAAGGUGUCCCAGGUGGGCACAACCCACCUAGGCGCGCCAGGCGGCUGGCGCGCCCUAGUGUCUUGUGCCCACCAGGGGACGCUUCCUGGAAGUUUCUUUAUUCCAAAAAUUCUAAAAUAUUCCAAAACUGACAAAAAAAUAUUUUUGCGGAUUUUUCGGAGUCCGUUUACUUACCGCAUCACAUACCUCCUUAUUUUGACGAUUCUGGAGUGUUCCGGAAGGACUCUUUUAUGUGCUCUUCCGGUGUCAAAGUUUGGAUAAUAUUACUUUCAACAUUAAUAGGCGUACCUGAGAUAUAAUGCUUUAUUCGUUGUCCAUUGACAACCUUUGGGUUAGUACCUUCAGAAUUAUUUAUUUUGAUGGUUCCAGACCGGUAAACCUCCUCGAUGACAUAUGGGCCUUCCCAUUUCGAGAGGAACUUUCCUGCAAAGAAUCUGAAAUGAGAGUUGUACAAAAGAACAAAUUCUCCGACCUUAAACUCACGCUUUUGAAUUCUUUUGUCAUGCCAUCUUUUAACUUUCUCUUUGAAUAAUUUUGCAUUUUCAUAAGCUUGGGUUCUCCAUUCAUCUAAUGAGCCUAUAUCAAAUACCCUCUUUUCACCAGCAAGUUUGGAAUCAUAGUUGAGUUCUUUAACUGCCCAGUAUGCUUUAUGUUCUAACUCAAGAGGUAAAUGACAAGCCUUUCCAUAAACCAUUUUAUAAGGAGACAUACCCAUAGGAUUUUUAUAUGCUGUCCAAUAAGCCCAAAGUGCAUCAUCUAAUUUCUUAGACCAAUUCUUCCUGGACCUAUUGACAGUCUUUUGCAAAAUUAAUUUUAUUUCUCUAUUGCUAAGCUCAACUUGACCACUAGACUGAGGAUGAUAAGGUGAUGCAAUUCUAUGGUUAACAUCAUACUUAGCAAGCAUUUUACAAAAAGCACCAUGAAUAAAGUGUGAACCACCAUCAGUCAUUAAAUAUCUAGGGACUCCAAACUUGGGAAAAUAACUUCCUUAAGCAUUUUAAUAGAGGUGUUGUGAUCAACACUACUGGUUGUAAUAGCUUCUACCCAUUUAGUAACAUAAUCAACAACAACCAAAAUAUGUAUAUACCCAUUAGAGGAGGGAAAAGGUCCCAUGUAUAAAAUCCCCAAACAUCAAAUGGUUCAACAGCAAGUGAAUAAUUCAUAGGCAUUUCUUGAUGCUUACCAAUAUUACCUAUUCUUUGGCAUUCAUCACAAGAUGAGACAUACUUACGAGCAUCCUUGAAGAGAGUAGGCCAAUAAAAUCCAGACUGCAAUAUCUUAUGACCAGUUCUAUCUCCAGAAUGAUGUCCUCCAUAUGGUUCGGAGUGACAUUUCCUAGGAUUUGUCCCUGUUCAUGCUCAGGUAGACAACGUCUAAUAAUACCAUCUACUCCUUCUUUGUAAAGAUGUGGGUCAUCCCAAAAGUAAUGUUUUAAAUCAUAGAAGAAAUUUUUCUUUUGUUGGUAAGUAAAGCUAGGUGGAAAAUAUUUAGCAACAAUGUAAUUAGCAUAGUCAACAUACCAAGGAGUACUAUUAGCAACAUUUAUUGCAGCUAACUCUCAUCAGGAAAACUAUCAUCAAUUGGAAGUGGGUCACCAAACACAUUUUCAAGCCUAGACAAGUUAUCAUCUACGGGGUUCUCAGCUCCCUUUCUAUCAAUAAUAUGCAAAACAAAUUCUUGCAACAAGAGAACCCAUCGUAUAAGUCUAGGUUUAGCAUCUUUUUUUCCCAUAAGAUAUUUAAUAGCAGCAUGGUCUAUGUGAACAGUUACUUUAGAAUCAACAAUAUAAGGUCUAAACUUAUCACAAGCAAACACCACUGCUAAGAAUUCCAUUUAAGUAGUAGCAUAAUUUCUUUGAGCACUGUCUAGAGUUUUACUAGCAUAAUGAAUAACAUUCAAUUUCUUAUCAACUCUUUGUCCUAGAACAGCACCAACAGCAUAGUCACUAGCAUCACAGAUAAUUUCAAAAGGCAAGUUACAAUCAGGUGGUUGGACAGUAGGUGCAGAGAUAAAAGCUUUCUUGAGUGUUUCAAAGGCUUGUAAAUAAUCAUCAUCAAAAACAAAAGGAACAUCCUUUUGCAAAAGACUAGUUAGAGGCCUAGAAAUUUUAGAAAAGUCUUUAAUAAACCUCCUAUAGAAACCAGCAUGACCUAGGAAACUACGAAUACCUAUUAUGUCCUUAGGACAUGGCAUUUUCUCAAUGGCAUCAACCUUAGCUUGGUCUACUUCAAUACCUCUUUCAGAAAUUUUAUGACCCAAGACAAUGCCUUCAUUAACCAUAAAGUGGCACUUCUCCCAAUUCAAGACAAGAUUUGUUUGUUCACAUCUCUGCAAAACUCGAUCAAGAUUGCUUAAACAAUCAUCAAAAGACUUUCCAUAAACUGAAAAGUCGUCCAUGAAAACCUCAACAGUCUUUUCACAAAAGUCAGAGAAUAUAGCCAUCAUGCAUCUUUGAGAGGUAGCAGGUGCAUUACAUAAACCAAAAGGCAUACGUCUAUAAGCAUAGGUUCCAAAAGGACAAGUAAAAGUAGUCUUUUCUUGAUCAGGUUGAGAAACAGGUAUUUGUGAAAAGCCAGAAUAUCCAUCAAGGAAGCAAAAGUGUGUGUGCUUAGAUAAUCUUUCAAGCAUUUGAUCAAUAAAAGGCAAAGGGUAAUGAUCUUUUCUAGUUGCUUUAUUUAAUUUUCUAAAAUCAAUUACCAUUCUAUAGCCUGUAACAAUUCUUUGUGGAAUAAGUUCUUUCUUAUCAUUAAGAACAACAAUUAUAACUCCUUUCAUAGGGACACAAUGAACAUGACUUACCCAUCUACUAUCAGCUAUAGGAUGGAUUAUACCUGCUUCCAGAAGUUUUAAUAUUUCCGUUCUUACCACUUCUUUCAUCUUCGGAUUUAACCGACGUUGGUGAUCAACAACGGGUUUAACAUCAGGUUCCAUAUUAAUUUUGUGCUGACAUAGAGUGGGACUAAUGCCCUUUAAAUCAUCAAGAGUAUAUCCAAUAGCAGCUCGAUGCUUCCUUAGAACUUUCAAUAAUCUUUCUUCUUCAUGUUCUGAAAGGUUAGCGCUGAUAAUAACAGGAUAUAUUUUCUUUUCAUCAAGAUAAGCAUAUUUCAAAGUGUCUGGCAAUUGUUUUAAUUCAAACACAUGAUCACCUUUAGGUGGAGGAGGACCUCCUAGAGUCUCAAUAGGCAAAUUGUGUUUAAGUAGAGGACGUUGUUCAAAGAAAAUCUUAUCUAUUUCAUUUCUUUCAUGCAUAUGUAAAUCAUUUUCAUGAUCUAGCAAUUAUUGCUCUAAAGGAUCAGUAGGUGGCACAACAAUAGAAGCAAGAGCAAUUAAUUCAUCCUUACUAGGCAAUUCUUUUUCAUGAUGAUUUAUACUAAACUUGGAAAAAUUAAACUCAUGAGACUCAUCACCAAAGCUAAUGCCCAUAGUUUGUUUCUUACAAUCUAUCUUAGCAUUAACUGUAUUCAAGGAAGGUCUACCAAAGAUAACGGGAUAGAAGUCAUCUUGUGGGGAACCAAGAACAAGAAAAUCAGUAGGGUAUUUUAUUUUCCCACACAAGACUUCAACAUCUCUAACAAUCCCAAUUGGUGAUAUGGUGUCUCUAUUAGCAAGUUUAAUAGUAACAUCUAUGUCUUCUAGCUCAGCAGGUGCUAUGUCUUCCAUAAUUUCUUGAUAUAAAGUGUAAGGAAUAGCACUCACAGUAGCACCCGUAUCACAUAAACCAUGAUAACAGUGAUCUCCUAUUUUAACUGAAAUGACAGGCACGCCAACAUCUGGUCUAUGUUUAUCCCUUUUAUCGGGUUAACAAUUCUAGCAGCUUCUACACAUAAGUAAAUAACAUGCCCAUCUACAUCUUCUUCCAAGAGGUCUUUAACCAUAGCAACAUUAGGUUCCACCCCAAUUUGUUCAUCUGGUUUAGGUGUUCUAACAUAGUUUUUGUUAACGACAGUCUAAACUUUAGCAUGUUCCUUUAUCCUACCAGGAAAAGGGGGUUCUCAAUAUAAGCAGUAGGAACAACUGGAUCAACAUUAUAGAGUAUAGUUUCUUCUUUAACUGGUACUGGUUCUUUAAUUUCAUCUUUAAUAGGUGGGUGAUAUUUAAGCCACUUCUCUUUAGGGAGUUCAACAUGAGUAGAAAAUUAUUCACAAAAGGAGGCUACUAUCUCAGAGUCAAGUCCAUAUUUAGUGCUAAACUUUUGAAAAGCAUCGGUAUCCAUAAAAGAUUUAACACAAUCAUAUUUAAGUUUUAUACCUGACUCUUUACCUUCGUCGAGUUCCCAAUCUUCAGAGUUGCAUUUAAUUCUUUCCAAAAGAUCCCACCGGAAUUCAAUAGUUUUCUUCAUAAAAGAACCAGCACAAGAAGUAUCAAGCAUGGUUUGUUCAUUACGAGAAAGCCGAGCAUAAAAGUUCUGAAUAAUAAUUUCUCUUGAGAGCUCAUGAUUGGGGCAUGAAUAUAACAUUGACUUAAGCCUCCCCCAAGCUAGAGCGAUACUUUCUCCUUCACGAGGCCAAAAAUUAUAUAUAUAAUUCCGAUCACGAUGAACUAGAUGCAAAGGAUAAAUUUUUUGGUGGAACUCCAAUUUCAAACGAUUCCAAUUCCAUGAUCCAAUAUCAUCGCAUAGCCUAUACCAUGGCAAUGCUUUUCCCUUCAAACAUAAAGGGAAAACCUUUUUCAUAACUUCAUCCCUGGGUAAACCUGCAAGCUUGAACAAUCCACAAAUUUGUUCUACAUAUAUCAAGUGCAUAUCAGGACGUUCGGUUCCAUCUCCUGCAUAAGGAUUAUCUAGCAGUUGUUCUAUCAUACCCGAAGGAAUUUCAUAUUCAAUAUUUUCAGUAGGUGCAGUGGAUUGAGGGGCAAUUAAUUGUGGUUGCAGACGAGGUGAAGAUACCCCAAACAAACCCCUCAAAGGAUUGCUUUCCAUAGUAGCAAGUGACAAUAAAUUUCAGCACACUAUAUAAAUGUUUCCUUACCGAAUUCCACUUACCAAAGGCGCUUCACUCCCCGACAAUGGUGCCAGAAAAUAGCUUUGAUGACCACAAGUAUAGGGGAUCAAUUGUAGCUCUUUUUGAUAAGUAAUAGUGUCGAACCCAACGAGGAGCAGAAGGAAAUGACAAGUAGUUUUCAGUAAGGUAAUGUCUGCAAGUGCUGAAACGGUAAGUAGCGAGUAGUUUGAUAGCAAGAUAAUUUGUAAUGAGCAAGUAACGAUAGUAACAAUAAGUAUACAUCAAGGUAGCCCAAUCCUUUUGAUGCAAAGGACAGGCCAAAACGGUCUCUUAUAAUAAGCAAAGCGUUCUUGAGGGUACACGGGAAUUUCAUCUAGUCACUUUCAUCAGGUUGGUUUGAUUUGUGUUUGCUACUUGGAUAAUAUGUGGGUGGAUCGGUGCUUAGGUGCUGUUCUUACUUGAACAAACCUCCUACUUAUGAUUAACCCUCCCGCAAGCAUCUGGAAAUACGAGAAAAGUAUUAAGAAUAAAUUCUAACCAUAGCAUUAAACUCUAGGAUCCAAUCGGUCCCUUACGAAAUAUUGCAUAAACUGGGGUUUAAGUUUCUGUCACUCUCACAACCCACCAUCUAUUUACUACUCCACAAUGCAUUCCAUUAGGCCCAAAUAUGGUGAAGUUUCAUGUAGUCGACGUUCACAUGACACCACUAAGGGAAUCAAAAAACAUACAUACUAUCAAAAUAUCGAACACAUAUCAAAUUCACAUGAUUACUUGCAACAUGAUUUCUCCCGUGACCUCAAGAACAAAAGUAACUACUCACAAAUAAUCAACAUGCUCAUGAUCAGAGGAGUAUUAAUAUGCAUAAUGGAUCUGAACAUAUAAUCUUGCACCAAAUAAACCAUAUAGUAAUCAACUACAAGAUGUAAUCAACACUACUAAUCACCCCCUAGCAACAAUCUUAUGUUCCGGUAACAAGAUUGAAUACAAGAGAUGAACUAGGGUUUGAGAUGAGAUGGUGCUGGUGAAGAUGUUGAUGGAGAUUGCCCUCCCCAAGGUGGGAGAGUUGUUGGUGAUGAUGAUGAUGAUGAUUUCCCCCUCCGAUAGGGAAGUUCCCCCGGCAGAAUCGCUUCGCCAAAGGGCUAAAGUGCUCCUACCCAAGUUCCGCCUCGAGAUGGCGGCGCUCUGCCCCGAAAGUCUUCUCCUUAUUUUUUCUAGGUCAAAAUGACUUAUAUACCAGAAGAUGGGCACCGGAGGUGGUCCGAGGAGGCCACAACCCACCAGGGCGCGCCUGGGGGGCCUGGCACGCCCAGGUGGGUUGUGCCCACUUGGUGCCCCCCUCUGGUGAUUAUUGGCUCCAAUAUUUCUUAAAUAAUCCAUAAAAACUCUCCGUGAAGUUUCAGCUCAUUUGGAGUUGUGCAGAAUAGGUGGCCUGACGUAGCUUUUUCAGGUCCAGAUUUCCAGCUGCCGGAAUUCUCCCUCUUGGUGUGUACCUUGCAAAUAAUAAGAGAAAAGGCAUUAGAAUUACUCCGAAAAGCAUUAUUAUGGAUAAAAAACAUUAUAAAUAACAGUAAGAAAACAUGAUGCAAAAUGGACGUAUCACAUAGCAACUGAACUGGUAUCAAAUACCCAGGGGCUACUAUGAACACUAGUAAAGUACACAUCAAUAACAUGUAUAUCAUAUAUACUUUUGUUCACUUUGCCAUCCUUCUUAUCCGCCAAGUAUUUGAGGUAGCUCCGCUUCCAGUGACCAUUCCCUUUGUAGUAGAAGCACUCAGUUUCAGGCUUAGGUCUAGACUUGGGCUUCUUCACUUGAGCAGCAACUUGCUUGCCGUUCUUCUUGAAGUUCCCCUUCUUCCCUUUGCCCUUUUUCAUGAAACUAGUGGUCUUGUUAACCAUCACCACUUGAUGCUCCUUCUUGAUUUCUACCUCCGCCGAUUUUAGCAUCACGAAGAGCUCGGGAAUCGUUUUCAUCAUCCCUUGCAUAUUAUAGUUCAUCACGAAGUUCCAGUAACUUGGUGAUAGUGACUAGGGAGCUCUAUCAAUCACUAUCUUAACUAGAAGAUUAACUCCCACUUGAUUCAAGCGAUAGUAAUACUCAGACAUUCUGAGCACAUGCUCACUGGUUGAGCUAUUCUCCUCCAUCUUGUAGGCAAAAUACUUGUCAGAGGUCUCAUACCUCUCGACUCGGGCAUGAGUCUGAAAUACCAAUUUCAGCUCUUGGAACAUCUUAUAUGCUCCAUGGCGUUCAAAACAUUUUUGAAGUCCCGGUUCUAAGCUGUAAAGCAUGGUGCACUAAACUAUCAAGUAUUCAUCAUACUGAGCUUUGCCAAAUGUUCAUAACGUCUGCAUCUGCUCAGGAAAUAGGUCCAUCACCUAGUGGUGCAUCAAGGACAUAAUUCUUCUAUGCAGCAAUGAGGAUAAUCCUCAUAUCACGGAGCCAGUCCGCAUCAUUGCUACUAUCAUCUUUCAACUUAGUUUUCUCUAGGAACAUAUCAUAAAUAAAACGGGGAAGCUAUACGCGAGCAAUUGAUCUACAACAUAGAUAUGCAAAUACUAUCAGGACUAAGUUCAUGAUAAAUUUAAAUUCAAUUAAUCAUAUUAGUUAAGAACUCCCACUUAGAUAGACAUCCCUCUAGUCAUCUAAAUGAUCAUGUGAUCCAUAUCAACUAAACCAUGUCCGAUCAUCACGUGAGAUGGAGUAGCUUUCAAUGGUUAACAUCACUAUGUUGAUCAUAUCUACUAUAUGAUUCACGUUUGACCUUUUGGUCUCAGUGUUCCGAGGCCAUAUCUGCAUAUGCUAGGCUCGUCAAGUUUAACCCGAGUAUUCUGCAUGUGCAAAACUGGCUUGCACCCGUUGUAUGUGAACAUAGAUCUUAUCACACCCGAUCAUCACGUGGUGUCUCAGCACGAAGAACUGUCGCAACAGUGCAUACUCAGGGAGAACACUUAUACCUUAAAAUUUUAGUAAGGGAUCAUCACAUAAUGCUACCGUCGUACUAAGCGAAAUAAGAUGCAUAAAAGAUAAACAUCACAUGCAAUCAAAAUAUGUGACAUGAUAUGGCCAUCAUCAUCUUGUGCCUUUGAUCUCUAUCUCCAAAGUACUGUCAUGAUCUCCAUCGUCACCGGCAUGACACCAUGAUCUCCAUCAUCUUGAUCUUUAUCAAUGUGCCGUCACAUGGUCGUGUCGCCAACUAUUACUUUUGCAACUAUUACUAUCGCAUAGCGAUAAAGUAAAGCAAUUAUAUGGUGCUUGCAUCUUAUGCAAUAAAGAGACAACCAUAAGGCUCCUGCCAGUUGCCGAUAACUUUAACAAAACAUGAUCAUCCCAUACAACAAUUUAUAUCUCAUCACGUCUUGACCAUAUCACAUCACAACAUGCCCUACAAAAACAAGUUAGACGUCCUCUACUUUGUUGUUGCAAGUUUUAUGUGGCUGCUACGGGCUUCUAGCAAGAACCAUUCUUACCUACGCAUCAAAACCAUAAUGAUUUCUCAUCAAGUGUGAUGUUUUAACCUUCAACUAGGACCAGGCAUAGUCAAACUCGAUUCAACUAAAGUUGGAGAAACAGACACCCGCCAGCCACCUGUGUGUAAUCACGUUGGUAGAACCAGUCUCAUGAACAUGGUCAUGUAAUGUCGGUCCGGGCCGCUUCAUCCAACAAUACCGCCGAAUCAAAGUAUGACAUUGCUGGUAAGCAGUAUGACUAUUAGCGCCACAACUCUUUGUGCUCUACUCGUGCAUAUAACAUCUAUGCAUAGACCUGGCUCGGAUGCCACUAUUGGGGAACACAGUAUUUCAAAAAAUAUCAUACGAUCACGCAAGAUCUAUCUAGGAGAUGCAUCUUAACGAGACGGGAGAGUGUGUCCACGUACGCUCGUAGGUUGAAAGCGGAAGUGUUUAGUAACGCGGUUGAUGUAGUCGAACGUCUUCAUGAUCCAACCAAUCCAAGUACCGAACGUACGUCACCUCCGUGUUCUGCACAUGUUUAGCUCGAUGACGUCCCUCGAGCUCUUGAUCCAGUUGAGGACGAGGGAGAGUUCCGUCAGCACAACGGUGUGGCGACGGUGAUGAUGAAGUUACCGGCGCAGGGCUUCGCCUAAGCACUACGACGAUAUGACCAAGGUGUUAAACUAUGGAGGGGGCACUGUCGGUGUCAAAACCUGCGGAUCUCGGGUAGGGGGUCCCGAACUAUGCGUCUAGGAUCGAUGGUAACAGGAGACAGGGGACACGAUGUUUACCCAGGUUCGGGCCCUCUCUAUGGAGGUAAUACCCUACUUCCUGCUUGAUUGAUCUUGAUGAAUAUGUGUGUUACAAGAGUUGAUCUACCACGAGAUCGUAAUGGCUAAACCAUAGAAGUCUAGCCGAUAUGACUAUGGUAAUGUGUGUAUCCCUUCCGGACUAACCCCUCCGGUUUUAUAUAGACACCGGGGGGAUCUAGGGUUUACAUAUAGUCGGUUACAUAAGAAGGAAUCUUUAUAAUCGGUCUCCAAGCUUGCCUUCCACGCCAAGUAGAGUCCAAUCCGGACACGGGUACAAUCUUCGGCCUUCAUGUCUUUAGAGCCCAUCAGUCCGGCCCAUGGAUAAUAGGCCGGACGCCUGAGGACCCCUUAGUCCAGGACUCCCUCAGUAGCCCCUGAACCUGGCUUCAAUGACGAGGAGUCCGGCGCGCAGAUUGUCUUCGGCAUUGCAAGGCGGGUUCCCCCUUCCGAACUCCAAGAUAGUCUUUGGAUGUAAUGAUAGAAUCCGGACCUAUCUCACACACCAUACACAACCGCAGAGAGAAUAUAUUUUUACACGAGUUCUAUCCGCUGAGAGCUUUUCACAACAUGACAUUAGGUCUGUCUGGUCAUAAUUUUGAACCGUUUUUCGUCUGCCGCUCCACGUUUUGAGACGUGGUUGCCAUUGGCACGUCUUGUCAAGGCAGAGAUUGUGUCCCCUUAUCGCGGGAUUCUCAUCAAUGCGGGCAUGGGUAACCCAACCGUGCCAUUUAUACAGCCCUUGGGAAUAGGCGAGUUUUAAGGGCGAGUGGGGAGGCGCUUGAUAUUCGCGGCCUUUAUAAGGGGAUAAGGAUUCUCUUUCUUCACCCACACCCUUUCUCUCCUUCAAUCCUUCCGUCCUUGAGCUCCAGCGCCCAAUCUUUAGCUUUUCCUCGUUCGAGAAAGCACUCCAAACAUGUCCGGAUCCGGAGCUGGAGGCAAGUGGAUGGCCUCCUCCGUCAAGAAGAAGGAAAUCACGGAGCUUCGGGAGGCCGGAUAUUUAGCCAAGGAGAUUUCUCACUGACUCCCGGCAAAAGGGCAAAUCGUACCUACUCCCGAGCCCCAUGAGAGGGUUUCUCACACACUUUGUCCGCGGGCUGGGACUCCACCCCUUUGUCCGUGGAUUGAUGUUUUACUAUGGGCUGGACUUCCACGAUCUGGCCCCAAUUUUAUCCUCAAUAUCUCAGCAUUUAUUGUCGUGUGCGAGGCCUUCCUCCGCAUCCCACCUCACUUUGACCUAUGGCUGAAGACCUUCAAUGUGAAACCGAAUGUGGUGAGCGGUCAACAAGCAGAGUGCGGAGGCGCCAUGGUGGGCAAGAUGCCCAAUGUCACUUGGCCCGAAGGCUCCUUUGCAGAGACGGUGAAGGGAUGGCAGUCGGGGUGGUUUUACAUCACCGAGCAGCGCGACACCAACUGGGUAGCGGCCCCCGAAUUCCGAUCCGGAGUUCCGAUGCGGCUUACUUCCUGGCAAGGGAAGGGCCUGACCUGGGGAUCUUCGGACGAGAUAACUGGGCUCCAGACGUGUGUCCAGAACAUGAUGACCAAGAAGAUCAAUCUUGUCAAUGUGAUCCAGGUUAUGCUCAUUCGCCGGAUCCUUCCAUGCCAACGUCGGACCUGCUAUUUGUGGGAGUACAACCCAGCCAAGCACCGGAUGCUACUAGAGCUCUUCGGCGCGAUGCACGAAGAUAUCUGGAAAUCGCUCUUCAAAGCCGGCGAGACGCCACCACCCACGACCGAAGAUCGCGGGCUUAGCUUAAAACGCCAGGCCAAUUCGGUAAGUCUUUUAAUGUUUUUCAAGGUAUAUCCUUUACCGUCAUAUUUUGAGGAUGGAUUCUAAGUUCUCCCAUCCACUUUGCCAGGCCUGGAUCGAGGUGGCUGAGCGGAUUAACUGUCCAGCUCUGCUUCCUGAGGAGCAAGAAUUCCCACUUCUGACGAAGAUGUUGUUUCCGGCGCCUUAUGACGUGCCGGAGAAGAAGGCCAAGAAAGCGGCCAAGGGGACCAGGAGUGGUCUUCGUCGAAAAGGAGCUUCGGUCAUGAUAUCCGAGGAUGAGACUCACUCUUCGUCCACCGAAGAUGACGACAAAGAGGAGGAAGAAGAAGAUGACCCCCCACUUGAGGCGGGGAGGAAGAAGAGGGCAGCCUCCAAGAACCUGGAGGCGAAGGCGCCCAAGAGGGGAAAAGGUUCCCCCGCGGAUAACUCCGCAUGGGAUGUUGAUAGCAGUCCGGAGCGGCCUUCCCAGGCCAAGCCUCGAGCCAAAUCGUAAGUAUCAAAAAUCCUUAUGCACGCCCGAACGUCCGUCCUUUCUGCCCUGCAAUGUUUGAAUCGUGUUAUCACAGUCCGGCUCGGGACAACUCUCCGCUAUCUUCAUCAGAAGGUUCGCUGGACCCAAAGGAGAGGGCCAUCACGUCACCGCCGCCCGCUUUCUCCCCUUCGGCCAAGGGUGAUGGCGAGGAGGCAGCUCAAAGGGCCUCCUCGGACCGGGGGAAGACUCCGGAGAUCGUUAGGGCGGCGCUCCAGGAUGACUCCCGGACCACCGAAUACAUGGGGGAAAAAGCCCCUACGGAGACGAACGGUACGGGCCGAAUUCUAUUUGACCCUAAGCAGGAUUCUAUUUCGAAGACCUAUACGGCUCUGGAGUCCGGCAAACGGCCCUUCCCGAAAGGAGGGGGUGUGCUGUCGGUGUCCUCUGUCCAACCAGAGGCACCGGAUCAUCUACUGGAAGUGCUGCAAGGCGCCUCCAUUGUGGAUGAGCACCGUGCCCAUAUGGGUACGGUGAUUGAAAAGGUUCAGUCUGUAAAAAAUGGGCUGACCGAAGCCUGUGCUAGAUUUCUAGCAGGCUUUGAGGUGAGUACAUAAUUGUAAGAAGAAUAUCACAGCAUAGACAGUAGCCCCUGAUGCUCUGUUCGGUGUCCGGAAAGAAAAGCCGAGCAGAGGAUCAAAAUUAAUUUUCGCAGGAGUCUAACAUAAAGUGUCUAUGUGAAUAAGCAGGCCUCGUUGCGGGCUGCUGCCACUCAAUCUGUGGACAUCUCCGGACUGAAGCAGAAACUGGAGCGGGCUAAGGAAGAGCUCGGCCGCGUGAAGAAGCAGCUAGAGGAUAGCCAAGGUAUGCAGUAACCUGCGCGUAUAUUGAAGAGUAAAUUGUUCAAGCGGACUGAAGUGUCAUGAACUUUAUUAGGGGCCACGACCGAGGUGGCGGCCCUAAAAAAGGCGUUAGCCAAGGCCGAGGAUAAAGCGGCCAAGUAACGCGCCGCGCGUGAGAAGCACGAGGCCCAGGUUGGCGAGGCGCAGCAAUAGCUCCAUGGCGCGAUCGAGAGAUUUGAGUCCUUGGAGCGUGAUUGUAAGGCAUAGGAGUCCGAACUGGCGAAGGCUCGCCAGAGCGCACAGGAUGCACGAGCCGAAGCCCAGAACGCCCUCCAGGAAAUUCAGGCGGCCAAGAAGAUUGCGGCGGGUAAGUCUUUCGCCGUGCAAAGCAAGUAUGUAGAAGAAAACGUUUCCUUGUACUUAUCCGAAUUUGGGUUUUCCAGGGGCGUUUACGGAUUUGCCGCGCAGUGUAUCAGAUGUUGCCGAGCAUUAGAGAGCCGAAGAAGGGAUGUCUACAGAGAAGCUAUUCUGGUCCCAAUAUCUUGGACCCGAACAUCCGGUGCCCUUCAGCUACCAGCUAAAGCAGUUGGUCGAGCUGCACAGGUCGGCAGAGCUAGCCAUGAAGGACCUAAUAGUCCGGCUAUGGCCUGCCGAGCCUAUACCUAGCAACUACUUCGGUCUUGUUAAGCGACUUGUAAGUGCAUGUCCGCAGCUCGAAGCCGUGAAGCGGUCAGUCUGUAUUGAAGGUGCGCGCAUGGCAUUUGCCCGCGUCAAGACGCAUUGGGCAAAGAUGGAUGCCAAGAAGCUAAUGACCGAGGGGCCGCCGGAGGGCAAGGAGCAUCGUCGACCCGAGCUCUAUUUUGAUGGUGUCCUGGAGGGGUCCCGCCUUGUGGCGGAGCAAUGUUCAAAGGAUGUCAUAUUCCCAUGAAAACAUUUGUAUUAUCUUGUCCUGUAAUAUGGAACAAUGAUGUUAUGUAUUAUAAUAUUUGCGAUUUUCAUUUUACCUCCUAUGCGACCGUUUAUGAAAUCUGAGGGUUGACCAGUCGUCAGCUUCUGCCCCCACGUAGAUAGUACGAGGGUGUUCGGGAUAAAUCUAAACACUCUUUACUCCACAGUCUGGUCCUUAAAGGAGGUGUUUAGCGCAACGAACAAGGCAAUUAGACUAUGCGGCCUUUACCGCCCUCACUUAGCCAUAGGAGUUUGACAAUUAAGAAAGUUGGCGAAGACCCUGGUAUUCGGAAGGCCGAACUAGGGGCGUUGUUUACGCCUAAUCGGAAGAACCGAUUCUUCGCAGGAAGCGGAAAAAAUCUCUAACGAUUUGGAACCUCUCGAACAGCUGACUAGCUCUCACCGCAUCAUGACAGUCAGUUUUCGGCUUUCUCUACUGAGGUGCUCGUCCGGAAGAACCGGGACACAAUCGCAGUAGUUCUCCCUUUACUACCCUAGCCGAUAUAGCAGAAUGUAAGGUAGUAAGCACAGGAGCCGGGCAACCCACUAUUUACCAAAGACAUGAUUCGAAGCCGAUGCAUAUAAUGCUAUAAGUUCGGGGUGCCGAACUAUACUGGAAAAGUGUUCGGACUUAUAUUGCCGUGAUGUGGGGUGUAAUGAAGCCCCUGGCGUAGUAAUACGUACCAUCGUGUACAUGUGCAAUAAGUAGUGUAUACAAAGGUGAGGAAACAGGAAAAUUAAGUAAUAAGCUGAUGCUACCAUUUAUUCACCAUAGUGAUGUAAUUAGUACGUUGAGGCGUACUUUGUGCAAGUAAUGCGAUAAGCAAGUAAAGCUAUUUAACACGUCGCAACCAAGGGCGAGAUGCGUACCGGUAUGUAAAACAAGUAUGGCAAUCGUUUAGUAGAGACCACCUGGGGAUUCCCUUGUAUGCCAGAGCUCCUUGCCUCCUUGAUGUGUUCUGCAGGCGGGUCGUCCGCAUAGACCUCGAAAAGAGUAAAAACCCGUAAUAAUAAAAAGAAAAAGUAAAGGUGUCAGGACCCCGGUUCCAAGUCACAUCGAUCUAGACGGUAACACCUCAUAUCACUUUGCGGCCUCACGCAAGGUAUUCCCACGGGUGUCGCCUUACCAUGGCCCGGGACCGUUUGCGCCUUUUGGCUCACGUAUAUGAUAGUGUCGCUAGCAUCCGUAUGACAGAGAACCCGGGCCGACAUGACUAGUCAUGAACCCAAAGUGGCACUAACUUACGGGGACAGGCAUACAUGAAUCAACAUCGAGCAUGUCGGUCAGCAGCGUGCGAGUCCGGGCUGUAGUACUGGGCUAACAGGACUCCGGUGAACCGCGCUGUAGCAGGCUAGGCAGGACUCCGGAUGUCACCGCGUGACAUUUCCCCGAAGGGAUAGACACAUGAACGAAGUGAAUCACAUGCCGGCCAGUCAAGUGUUCCGGAGCAGUAGUGCUGGGCUAGCAGGACUCCGGUGAACUGGGCUGUAGCGGAUUACUAUGGCUCAUGGAAGCACAAGACUACAUUUCCCCAUAAGAGAGGCUACCAAGGAUAAACAACCAGGUUGUCGGAUCCCACACAUAGCAAGCAUUUCAAUCAUACACACAAUAUGCUCGAUAUGUGUAAAUACAACAUGGCAUCACAACAAGACUCUACGACUCAACUAUUUAUUCAUUAGGCUCCGAGGAGUAAGAUAUUACAAACAUGGGUCUCAUGACCCCACAUUCAGAGCAUACAAGUCAAAGCACAUGCGGAAGCUUAACAUGUCUCAGUACAGACAUCUACGAAUGGAAAAGGCUGAGAAGCCUGACUAUCUACCAGAUCGUGCCGAGGGCACAAGAUCGUAGCUGAGGUAACAAGCUAAACAUCGAUGUCCACGUGGAACUACUAGUGAGACUGACGUCUCUCUGCAAAACAUAAGAUAGGCAAACGUGAGUACAAAUGUACCCAGCAAGACUUACAUCAGAACUAACUACAUAUGCAUCGGUAUCAAUAAAGGGGUGGUGGAGUUUGACUGCAGCAAGCCAGCUUUGACUCGAUGGCUAUCCUGAACUACGAUUGCAAAUAACUCUUUUGAGGUGGCGCACACGAGUCCACAUAUUCACCAUACCAAUACACCAAUAUGGAUCCGCUCCCGUCUCCCUACGAGAACGCCAUCCAUAGCACUCACGCUUAUCUUGCGCAUUUUAGAGUAUCCACUUCAAGUUAUCUAUGAACUGUUAUAGGCAACCCAGAAGUCCUUUACCGCGGACACGCUAUUCGAAUAGAUCAUUAUAACCCUACACGGGUGUACUUCUUCACACAUGUUUCCACCACUUAGCGUCUGCACACGACAUGUGCUCGGCAGACUUCAAGCGAAAGUCGACGUGGGUGUAGACCACGACCUGACUAACCACACAAGUCUCUAGUCCAGGUUUAUCGCCUAUUCGGGUUCCAUCCGCGAGGAGAUCCGGCCGGAGUUUCGCUCACAGCCGCAAACGAUGUGUGCAGGGUUCCCGAGACACCAAACGGGCGCCCGGUACACCAUGCCAUGAUGUAUCUACCGCAUCAUUGCCCACCCCUAGGGUCAGCGCUACGCACGGCCUCCAACACAUAUGCUACAAACACCAGAAACUAGUUGCAACUCCUGGACAGAGGGCAAGGGCGGUUAAUAAGUCGAGCGGGGUCAUAUUUCAGGGCCCAACGUGUGGUAGUAGCUGUUCAUGGAUCAAAAACACAGAACUUAGUUCCUGAGGACGGUUUCAAUGAGGCAACCCACCAUGUACUCCUACAUGGCCUCCCACCGCUACCUUUACCAAAUCUUGUUCACACACUUAGCUCACACACAGUAGGACAUGUUCAUCACCAUUCCAAUUCAUCCGCGAUGAAUCAGACCUGACUCAACUCUAAGCAGUAGCAGGCAUGACAAACAAUCAUGAAUGAGUAGGCACAUCAGGGCUCAAACAACUCCUACUCAUGCUAGUGGGUUUCAUCUAUUUACUGUGGCAAUGACAGGUCAUGCAGAGGAAAGGGGUUCAACUACCACAUCAUGUAACAGUUGAAUCGUUGUUGUCCUAAUGCAGUAAAAGAGAUCAGGAGCGAGAGAGUGGGAUUGUAUCGGAAUGAACAUGGGGGUUUUGCUUGCGUGCACUUCUGAAGAUAGCAUUGGGUCUUCAUCAGUGUCAACGAUCACAGCGUCGGAACAACGUCUACCAAGGGGGGACAACACCGGCAACAAAGAAAGAACACAAUCAAUGCAAUGCACAAUAUGAUGCAUGAUCAUGACAUGGCAAAAUGAGUGUGUUUUGGCUAAUGCAACUUAGAAUAGAUCGGUUUGAGUUCAUUUGAAUCAAGGAUUCAAAUGCAAACCCAAAAUAAGAGGUCAUAUUAGUGCAUUAACUUGUUUCACCUAAACAGCAAGGUUAAAGUGUUCUAACAUGCAUGAAACCAGUACAGAUGGAAAGAUUGAAUUUUUCUGAUCAAAUUUCAUAUAUAAAUCUUUGCAUUUGGAGUUACAGAUUAAUUUCUAUGAAUUUUUGAAGUUUGUAGCAUUUUCUGGAAUUUCCUAUAUAAGAAUAAAUCCAGUAAAUGCUUUAUUGCGUCAGCAGUGCUUCAGGGUGACGUCAGCGGUCAAUGGGGAUGGUUCAGGUGAAACCUAACCAGUGGGUCCCGCGUGUCAGUGUCAUUAGUCUAACUAAUUUUUAGUUAGUCCUAAUCCUAACUUAAUUAGCAGGUGGGUCCCACCUUUCAUAGACCCAGGGGGGUCAAACCAGUGGUCAAACCCUGGUCAAACGAGUCAAACCUGCCAGCGACGCGAUGCCGGCGAGGCCAGACGCGGUGGGGCACCUCGGAUUUCACCUACAGGGCACCGUUCGAGGCGCCGUUGGGCUCUACGGGUAGCUGGCGCAACGGCGCGUCCGUUGGUGGUCGUGGCUGGGCCUGGGGUGGCCGGAGUCAACGACGGCGAGCUCGGUUGCGGCCGCCGGAGUUCGGGCGCGAGCGGGGACGCGGUUGCAGUGGCCGUGGCGAUGUGCGUUUAGCACCUACGGUGUCUACGUGGUGGGGUGAGUUCGAUGGGCGCAUGCCCAGGACCAAAUGGUCACCAGAGCAUCACCGGAGACGAGCGCGGGCGGCGACGCGUUCGGUUGCAGGCGAGGCGGCGGCUACGACGCAUGAGGGGAAAAAGGAGAGGGGGAGCAGGAGCAGGGGCUCACGGUGGGUGCGACGAGCUGCUCAGCGGGCUCGGGGAAGGUCAGAAGCGAGCGGGGCGGCGGAGGUGAUCUCGUCGUCAGGAGGUCGAAGACGAGCUCGGUGAUGACGUUCGGGGGCCUCCGACGGGGCGUGGCUUGGUGAGGCGGUCGAGGAAGAAGUGGCGAAGCUUCUGGGCGCGUCGGCGAGGCGUGGGGUGGCCGGUGGCUGCGGGUUUCACGUCGGCACGAGCGCGGCAGCGUCGGCCGUGGUGAGGAGAGGCGAGGGAGAGAGGCAGGGGGCGUGUGAGGUGUCCACGGGGUCGAGGUGCCACCGCGGAGGCGUUUCGAGGCGUCACGCUGGCGUGAGCGAGGGCAGGCAUGCAGGGAGGUGGCGUGGCGAGCUCGGCGGUGUCGCGGUGUCCCUCCUCUGCCUACUGGCAGAGGUAGGUGAUGACUGGCACAUGCCAGAUGGGCCGGGCCAGCCAGGUAAGUGGCCUUUCUGUUUUCUAUUUUUCUGCAACUGUUGGGCUUUAUUAAAAAUACUAAAACGUUUCCAGAAAUCCUGAAAAUAAUUGUGGGCUCUGUUGGGAUUAUUCCUAACAGCCCUCACUUAAAUCCAGAAUUAUUUGGGCAUUUAAAAUAUUUUAUAGCAUUUAAAUGCCCAAAUGCAAAUAGGUAAUGAUUUAAUCCAGUGACCUUACGUGUCCUAUAAAAGUGUGAACCAAUUUUGGCAGAGGUUCAAGACCAAGGCAAAAAUAAUGGAAAUUUUUGAAGGGCAUUUCAGGUUCAUUGGAAAAGAUUUUAGUAAACCCUAGUUGUUUUCAGGGGGUUGCUGGGGGUUCUGUCAUCCCCAUUUCAACUUCUUGAGAAAAUUUAACAUGAUGACAUGAUGAACAUGCAAGGACAAGCAAAGGCUAAGCUAGGGCUGUGACAACUCACCCCCACUAAACAAGAAUCUCGUCCCGAGAUUCAAGACGUGAGGUAAGAAGACAGAGGGGGCACAAGACCAACACAAUCUUCGCGAUCCAGGUUGCACCUCAUAAGGUUGUUGAUUCGUUGCAUACGUUGAUCUUGACAUCCUCGCUUUUGAGAUCUUCAUCCACGCAAUGACGACGGAAAGAAACUCUACUAGGAUUGAUCUUCUCGAAGAUCGAGCUAUACAAGAUCAACUCGUGGAAUGAGAUGUUGAAACAUCUCGGGUUGAGACACAAAACACAUCGAGAGGGAUGGAAGAACAAAUGACGAGGUUUGAUUUAGUGGGCAACAAUCCCACGCUUAGAGAGAUGGUGGGUGGUGUCAAGGUGGCCUGGAAAUAAUUGCCAUGAUCCUAUAAAGGGGCACCUCGGGGGAGGUGACUCGUAGAGUUAUUCCCUUAAAUGGCAAAAAGAAUUACUUUUGAUAUCUAGAUCAUUGAAACUCUUUAUACCAGCCUAAGGCAAUCACAAAUGAUCGUUUGGCAGAGUUCAAAGGAAUGGCAUAUCUGGAUUCGAAUGGAUGAUGUGGACUACCUUGUUGAAGACAACGCGAUGGAUGAUUUUGCUUAUCAUCAGAAAUGGAUGGGAUCCAUGGUAGGACCACUUUUGAAGAUGAUCCUAAACAACAAUUACUGAGAGGGCAACCCAUGAGAAUUGGUACAAUGGCGGUGCAAGCUGGGAACAAAAUGCAACUGUUGGGAAUGUUCCAACGAUCAUAUCUGCCUGAGAUUCAGAUCCGAUUGGUGAUAGGAUACUUCAGACUCAGCAUCUCCGAAAAGAAAGUUUGCACACAAAUCUACGAGACGAUCUUGCGAGAUUCUCGAGAUAUGAACUAUGAUAGCAAGCUCCAAAACAUGAGAUGGUUCUGCUACAUACAUGUGAGCAUGUUGUCCAAGACAAGAAUGACCACAUAGUAGUCUUAUAAUAAAACACUAUCGAGUUCUGGUCGGGAACCAUUAUCAAGGAUUUCAAAGUCUUUAUGCAUGUCCAUGGAUUAGAUCCCAAGCAUAGACUUCUUUUCCUUGAACAAGUCAAUCAGUGGCUUGGUGUGCUAGGGAAUACAUAUGGAGUGGAGGUAAUUAAUCUACCAAACCAUAGAAUACAUUCGCACAUGCAUAACUGACUUGGGAUGGUACUGGAGGAAACAAAAACAAUCUUUCUCGAACUCACGGCAGCAACUUGCACCAAAUGUACAUGAAUUCGAGGAAGUCACUUCUUCCAUCCAAGCAUAAGCUUCAUGAACGGAACACGAAGGCAUUGCUUACAAAGUUUCCAACACUAGGUUGAUGUUCAACAUGAAUCAUGGAGGAGACAAAAUGCUGCUGAUGGGCUCAACAACAACUCAUCGGAAUUUCCAUAUCACUGGACUUCCACCAUCAUGUGAACACGGUGAUAGCAUUGGUCGGACCAAACGAUGUAAUGGUGUAUGCUCGAGGGAUCAACCACGAGUAAGACAACAUUACGAACAUCGUUGGUUCUGAUUUGACUUGACGAUAGCCCAUACUCAAGUCAAAGUUUUGACAAGACAAUAGAUCCAACAACUGAUCACGAGGACCAAUCGAUGGAGAUAUCAUCUUUCUUCAACACACACACACACAAAAAGAUAUCCCUUAACAUGAACUAAGUCAGACAAGCUUUUAUCUUCCAACUCUCCAAGUUGUUGUUUGGCUUAACCAACUAGCUCAGGGGUAUCCAACACAGAUUCUUGGAGAAUGGGUGGUUUGGAGGAAAACCAACAUGAUCACGAACUCAACAUAGCGGUCAGGUGACAACCUGAUAGUACUUCCGAGAAGAUAUCCGGAACAUCACGAACCACCGAUAUGUUAAUAAGCUCGAUAACAAUCUUGCUUUUCAGGGAAAGACGUUGUGACCAAGAGAGUGAUGGAUUGACACAAUCCUAUCUCAUUGAUCGGAGAGUGCACCAGGAAAUAUGGACUAGGUAGCACGAUCAAUCUUAGGAUGAUGAUUCAAUAACCAGCACGCUAAGAGUGAGAGUAUUGUCCAUUAACUACCAAGCAACGAGGUUGCUAUGAGUAUUGAUUUCACACAUCACAGUUCACUUGUCGGCAUUCCGGUUACAACAACACGGGACCGAGGAAUAUAUAAUGAUGGAGAGAAGUAUCACUACGUCAAGAAUUCAUAAGAGGUGGUGCAAUUCUCAUGACAUUCUUGACAUAAACAUGGUAACACUCCAAGGUAGAACAGAGAAAAAGCUGGAUUGGCAUUUUGAUCUGCGGAAUACAAAUACUUUGACCCAAUCCUAGAAAUGGAUGAGGUACUGAAGUUUUUUUCUCCUAGUCAUUCCGGAAUAGAAUGGCUUGACGGACCACAAGAGUAAUAGGCAUCAAUGAACAUGAAUGCACAACUAUUCCUGACUAUCAAUUGAUAGACUAGGGUCGGAAUACAGCUGAGGAGGGUCAACUCAAGGAACAUAUAACUUUCUGAGUUGUGGAUGCAUAGAUUAGUAUGUCGAACCAAGUUCAACAUGUUUCUUCCAGAUAAUCCAUGCAGAAAGGUAGGACUGGCAGAUUCACAAUGCAGAAUGGAGAAAUCAUCAAGAGCACUCUCAUUGUGAUGUUUUGGUUCAACAAGGAACUUCUGCCAUAAGUAGUUCAUGGUAUUGGGAGAAAGAUCUACCACGGACCUUGAGGACUAUCGCAAAGGUUACUAAUAUCCUAAAGGAGCUAACAAACACUAUCAACAUGAAGUAAGUAGGGUGAAUUUUGGGCUCAAAACCCAGGAGUAGAAUACCUACUACUAAGUAGCAUCACGGGAUGCUUUCGAGAGUAAUGGCCGGAAUCAUCACACUGGGGAUACAAAGCAUUGCUAGAGUACUGGGUGGUUCUCUAAGACGACUGGGGUCAUAAUAAUGGCUUGAACAUAUACGCCGAGGCAACAGAGUACCUCAACAGACCGUUUAGUGUGCUUAAUCUGGCCCAAAAGGGCAUCAGGAACGGGAGGAAGGGAUUUGCAAAUGCAUUAGACUGUUUAGAAACCUGGGAUGACUCAGACAGCAUAAUGACUGUAAAUGCUCAGAAAAAGAUUUGAGACAUUCACAAGGAUUUGCAUAGUCACUUAACAACAUCAUAUCAAGGUUCUGGUUCAGCUGACAACAUACUAAAAGUAGUAGAAACUGAAUUGAGGCCUUGAACCAACAAUCCUAUAAGUCUCUAUCAUAGUAAUUCGUCAUCCUAAUAGAUAGAUGAGAAGGCCUAGUUCUUAAUCCCCGUAGAAAAGAAGAGGAUGACUCAUAUUAGAGGAGCAUAAGGUAUAAGGAGUAAAAGAGCCUUACGUUCCCUUCCACAAUCAACUCCCUUAUAUAACUAAAGCAUUUCUACACACGACUUCGACCGGUUUGGCUUGGUAAUCCUACAGGCAGUCAGGCUCUGAUACAAAAGCUGUCAGGACCCCGAUUCCAAGUCACAUCAAUCUAGCCGGUAACACCUCAUAUCACUUUGCGGCCUCACGAACGGUAUUCCCAUGGGUGUCGCCUUACCAUGGCCCGGGACCGUUUGCGCCUUUUGGCUCAAGUAUAUGAUAGUGUCGCUAGCAUCCAUAUGACAGAGAACCCGGGCCGACAUGACUAGUCAUGAACCCAAAGUGGCACUAACUUACGGGGACAGGCAUACAUGAAUCAACAUCGAGCAUGUCGGUCAGCAGCGUGCAAAUCCGGGCUGUAGCACUGGGCUAACAGGACUCCGGUGAACCGCGCUGUAGCAGGCUAGGCAGGACUCCGGAUGUCACCGCGUGACAUUUCCCCGAAGGGACAGACACAGGAACAAAGUGAAUCACAUGCCGGCCAGUCAAGUGUUCCGGAGCAGUAGUGCUGGGCUAGCAGGACUCCGGUGAACCGGGCUGUAGCGGACUACUAUGGCUCAUGGAAGCACAAGACUACAUUUCCCCAUAAGAGAGGCUACCAAGGAUAAACAACUAGGUUGUCGGAUCCCACACAUACCAAGCAUUUCAAUCAUACACACAAUAUGCUCGAUAUGUGUAAAUACAACAUGGCAUCACAACAAGACUCUACGACUCAAGUAUUUAUUCAUUAGGCUCCGAGGAGCGAGAUAUUACAAACAUGGGUCUCAUGACCCCACAUUCAGAGCAUACAAGUCAAAGCAGAUGCGGAAGCUUAACAUGUCUGAGUACACACAUCUACAAAUGGAUAAUGCUGAGAAGGCUGACUAUCUACCAGAUCCCGCCGAGGGCACAAGAUCAUAGCUGAGGUAACAAGCUAAACAUCGAAGUCCACGUGGAACUACUAGUGAGACUGACGUCUCUCUGCAAAACAUAAAAUAGGCAAACGUGAGUACAAAUGUACCCAGCAAGACUUACAUCAGAACUAACUACAUAUGCAUCGGUAUCAAUAAAGGGGUGGUGGAGUUUGACUACAGCAAGCCAGCUUUGACUCGGUGGCUAUCCUGAACUACGAUUGCAAAUAACUCUUUUGAGGUGGCGCACACGAGUCCACAUAUUCACCAUACCAAUACACCACUAUGGAUCCGCUCCCGUCUCCCUACGAGAACGCCAUCCAUAGCACUCAUGCUUAUCUUGUGCAUUUUAGAGUAUCCACUUCAAGUUAUCUAUGAAUUGUUAUAGGCAACCCAGAAGCCCUUUACCGCAGACACGCUAUUCGAAUAGAUCAUUAUAACCCUACACGGGUGUACUUCUUCACACAUGUUUCCACCACUUAGCGUCUGCACACGACAUGUGCUCGGCACACUUCAAGCGAAAGCCGACGUGGGUGUAGACCACGACCUGACUAACCACACAAGUCUCUAGUCUAGGUUUAUUGCCUAUUCGGGUUCCAUCCGCGAGGAGAUCCGGCCGGAGUUUCGCUCACAGCCCCAAACGAUGUGUGCAGGGUUCCCGAGACACCAAACGGGCGCCCGGUACACCAUGCCAUGAUGUAUCUACCGCAUCAUAGCCCACCCCUAGGGUCAGCGCUACGCACGGCCUCCAACACAUAUCCUACAAUCACCAGAAACUAGUUGCAACUCCUGGACAGAGGGCAAGGGCGGUUAAUAAGUCGAGCGGGGUCAUAUUUCAGGGCCCAACGUGUGGUAGUAGCUGUUCAUGGAUCACAAACACAGAACUUAGUUCCUGAGGACGGUUUCAAUGAGACAACCCACCAUGUACUCCUACAUGGCCUCUCACUGCUACCUUUACCAAAUCGUGUUCGCACACUUAGCUCACACACAGUAGGACAUGUGCACCACCAUUCCAAUUCAUCCCCGAUGAAUCAGACCUGACUCAACUCUAAGCAGUAGCAGGCAUGACAAACAAGCAUGAAUGAGUAGGCACAUCAGGGCUCAAACAACUCCUACUCAUGCUAGUAGGUUUCAUCUAUUUACUGUGGCAAUGAUAGGUCAUGCAGAGGAAAGGGGUUCAACUACCGCAACAUGUAACCGUUGAAUCAUUGUUGUCCUAAUGCAGUAAAAGAGAGCAGGAGCGAGAGAGUGGGAUUGUAUCGGAAUGAACAAGGGGGUUUUGCUUGCAUGGCACUUAAGAAGAUAGCGUUGGGUCUUCAUCAGUGUCAACGAUCACAGCGUCGGAACAACGUCUACCGAGGGGGAACAACACCGGCAACAAAGAAAGAACACAAUCAAUGCAGUCCACAAUAUGAUGCAUGAUCAUGACAUGGCAAAAUGAGUGUGUUUUGGCUAAUGCAACUUAGAAUAGAUCGGUUUGAGUUCAUUUGAAUCAAGGAUUCAAAUGCAAACCCAAAAUAAGAGGUCAUAUUAGUGCAUUAACUUGUUUCACCUAAACAGCAAGGUUAAAGUGUUCUAACAUGCAUGAAACCAGUACAGAUGGAAAGAUUGGAUUUUUCUGAUCAAAUUUCAUAUAUAAAUCUUUGCAUUAGGAGUUACAGAUUAAUUUCUAUGAAUUUUUGAAGUUUGUAGCAUUUUCUGGAAUUUCCUAUAUAAGAAUAAAUCCAGUAAAUGCUUUAUUGCGUCAACAGUGCGUUAGGGUGACGUCAGCGGUUAAUGGGGAUGGUCCAGGUCAAACCUGACCAGUGGGUCCCGCGUGUCAGUGUCAUUAGUCUAACUAAUUUUUAGUUAGUCCUAAUCCUAACUUAAUUAGCAGGCGGGUCCUACUUGUCAUAGACCCAGGGGGGUCAAACCAGUGGUCAAACCCCGGUCAAACGUGUCAAACCCGCCGGCGACUCGACGCCGGCGAGGCCAGACGCGGUGGGGCACCUUGGAUUUCACCUACAGGGCACCGUUCGAGGCACCGUUGGGCUCUACCGGUAGCUGGCGCAACGGCACGUCUGUUGAUGGCCGUGGCUGGGCCUGGGGUGGCCGCAGUUAACGGUGGCGAGCUCGGUUGCGGCCGACGGAGUUCGGGCGCGAGCGGGGACGCGGUUGCGGUGGCCGUGGCGAUGUGCGUUUAGCACCUACAGCGUCUACGUGGUGCGGUGAGUUUGAUGGGCGCAUGCCUGGGACCAAAUGGUCACCGGAGCAUCACCGGAGACGAGCGCGGGCGGCGACGCGUUCUGUUGCAGGCGAGGCGACGGCUACGGCGCAUGAGGGGAAAAAAGGAGAGGGGGAGCAGGAGCAGGGGCUCACGAUGGGUGCGAUGAGCUGCUCAGCGGGCUCGGGGAAGGUCAGAAGCGAGCGGGGCGGCGGAGGCGACCUCAUCGUCGGGAGGUCGAAGACGAGCUCGGUGAUGAUGUUUGGGGGCCUCCGGCGGGGCAUGGCUCGGUGAGGCGGUCGAGGAAGAAGUGGCGGAGCUUCUGGGUGCGUCGGCGAGUUGUGGGGUGGCCGGUGGCUGCGGGUUUCACGUUGGCACGAGCGCGGCAACGUUGGCCAUGGUGAGGAGAGACGAGGGAGAGAGGCAGGGGGCGUGUGAGGUGUCCACGGGGUCGGGGCGGCGCCGCGGAGGCGUUUCGAGGCGUCGCGCUGGCGCGGGCGAGGGCAGGCAGGCAAGGAGGUGGCGUCGCGGUGUCCCUCCUCUGCCUACUGGCAGAGGUAGGUGAUGACUGGCACAGGACAGAUGGGCCGGGCCAGCCAGGUAAGUGGUCUCUGGCCUUUCUCUCUCUCUCUCUUUUCUAAAUUGUUUUCUGUUUUCUAAUUUUCUGCAACUGUUGGGCUUUAUUAAAAAUACUAAAACAUUUCCAGAAAUCCUGAAAAUAAUUGUGGGCUCUGUUGGGAUUAUUCCUAACAACCCUCACUUAAAUCCAGAAUUAUUUGGGCAUUUAAAAUAUUUUAUAGCAUUUUAAUGCCCAAAUGCAAAUAGGUAAUGAUUUAAUCCAGUGACCUUAUCUGUCCUAGAAAAAUGUGAACCAAUUUUGGUAGAGGUUCUAGACCAAGACAAAAAUGAUGGACAUUUUUGAAGGGCAUUUCAGGUUCAUUGAAAAAGAUUUUAGUAAACCCNNNNNNNNNNNNNNNNNNNNNNNNNNNNNNNNNNNNNNNNNNNNNNNNNNNNNNNNNNNNNNNNNNNNNNNNNNNNNNNNNNNNNNNNNNNNNNNNNNNNNNNNNNNNNNNNNNNNNNNNNNNNNNNNNNNNNNNNNNNNNNNNNNNNNNNNNNNNNNNNNNNNNNNNNNNNNNNNNNNNNNNNNNNNNNNNNNNNNNNNNNNNNNNNNNNNNNNNNNNNNNNNNNNNNNNNNNNNNNNNNNNNNNNNNNNNNNNNNNNNNNNNNNNNNNNNNNNNNNNNNNNNNNNNNNNNNNNNNNNNNNNNNNNNNNNNNNNNNNNNNNNNNNNNNNNNNNNNNNNNNNNNNNNNNNNNNNNNNNNNNNNNNNNNNNNNNNNNNNNNNNNNNNNNNNNNNNNNUUUCAGGGGGGGGGGGGUGCUGGGGGUUCUGUCAUCCCCAUUUCAAAUUCCUGAGAAAAUUUAACAUGAUGACAUGAUGAACAUGCAAGGACAAGCAAAGGCUAAGCUAGGGCUGUGAGAAAAGGCGUGCGAAUCCCAGGGUCGGUCAAGCCGCACUAUGGAUCGCGAGCGAGUUAUGCCUCCGUCGGUACCCAUGGGGUUUUGAGUGCGUAGUUAUGUACGCGCGGUACGGAUGCCCUUUCCUCAUCAGGGCUGGGACAGAGGACUAAUUUACUAAUUCAGCUCUUAACGAACCGAGCUGCCCUAUUUGCAGUGUAGUCCGGACCUUCUUAACGAUGUCCAGGGGCUUGGCGGCCUGAUUAUGGUACCGCUUGAGAAGGCCGCUCUGUACUUCUGCUGCAAGGGCUGCGGUGUGCUCCUCUGUAUGGAGGGAAUGUUCCGUGUUUCCAUUUACUGUAAUGACGCCGCGUGGACCGGGCAUCUUGAGCUUGAGGUAAGCAUAGUGUGGGACUGCGUUGAAUCUAGCGAACGCGGUCCGUCCGAGCAGUGCGUGGUAGCCACUGCGGAAGGGGACGGUAUCGAAGAUUAACUCUUUGCUUUGGAAGUUGUCCGGAGAACCGAAGGCCACCUCCAGCGUGAUUGAGCCCGUGCAGCGGGCCUCAACGCCUGGUAUGACUCCUUUAAAGGUAGUCUUUGUGGGCUUGAUUCAUGAGGGAUUAGUGCCCAUUUUGCAUACUGUAUCCUGAUAGAGCAGGUUGAGGCUGCUACCACCGUCCAUUAGGACUCUUGUCGUGUGAAAUCCGUCGAUGAUUGGGUCGAGUACCAAUGCGGCCGAACCGCCAUGACGGAUGCUUGUUGGAUGAUCACGACGAUCAAAGGUGAUCGGGAAUGACAACCAUGGGUUGAAUUUUGGGGCGACUGGCUCUACCUCAUAUAUCAUGUUCACCGUUUUGACUUGGGGCGGGAAUUUCUUCUGUCCCCCAGUGUUCGGCUGCCGGGGCUCCUCGUCAUCGUCCUUGCUCUACGAUUCCCCUUCCUUGUUUCUGCCAUUUACCUUGUUGGCUUGCUUAAAGACCCGACAAUCUCUGUUAGUAUGGUUGGCCGGUUUGUCUGGGGUGCCAUGUAUCUGGCACGGACGAUCGAGUAUGCGGUCCAAGCUGGAUGGUCUUCCGCCGUUCCUUUUAUAGGGCUUCUUUCGCUGACCGGACUUGGAGCCACUGAAUCCGGCGUGAACUAUAGUGUCAUCGGUGUUGUCGCCAUUGCUCCGGCGUUUGUGUUUGUUGCGCCGGAGCUUGCCGCUGCUGUUUUUGGCCUCGGAGGGGCUUGCAUCGUUGGCUAUGUUUGUACUGCGAGCCAGCCAACUAUCCUCUCCCGCACAAAAGAGGGUCAUAAGUGCCGUGAUGGCUGCCAUGGACCUCGGCUUUUCUUGGCCGAGGUGGCGGGCGAGCCAUUCGUCACGGAUGCCAAGUUUAAAGGCCGCUAAGGCUUCGGCAUCCGGACAGUCGACGAUCUGGUUCUUUUUGGUUAGGAACCUAGUCCAGAAUUUUCUGGCGGACUCUCCAGGUUGUUGAACUAUGUGACUUAAGUCAUCAGCGUCAGGUGGCCGGACAUAAGUGCCUUGGAAGUUGUCAAGAAAAGCUUCUUCCAAGUCCUCCCAGCUGCCGAUGGAAUUUUCAGGCAGGCUGUUUAGCCAGUGUCGAGAUGGUCCUUUGAGCUUUAAUGGGAGGUACUUGAUAGCGUGGAGGUCAUCUCCUCGGGCCAUAUGUAUGUGGAGAAUAAAAUCUUCGAUCCACACUGCGAGAUCGGUUGUUCCGUCGUAUGAUUCCAUGUUGACGGGCUUGAACCCCUCAGGGAAGUCGUGAUCCAGCACCUCAGCUGUGAAGCAGGGAGGGUGUGUGGCGCCUCUAUAGCGGGCCGCGUCAUGGCGCACCUCCGAUGAAGUCCGUCUGGGGUUAUCGGCCCGGGUAUGAUUAAGUUUGUCAUGUCCGAAUAGGUAGCUGUCAUCCCGAGUAGGGAAGCGUCCUCGCGAUCCGUAGAUUGAUCUGGUGUGUCCUAUUCUACUGUCCAAUUCCUACCGAAGGUCAUAUUUAUGGUCCCGAGUUGUUCUGUCCCUGUUUUUGCGAGGCAGUGGGGCGGGCUGUUGUUCGGCCUGAGUUGCCGUUUUAUCCCGACCGCGGGAUGGUCGGUCCGACGUACUAUCCCGACCACGUGGUGGUCGGUCCGCAUUGCGCGAGGGAGGUAUGGGAUCUGGUGCGUCCUCAUCGAACUGAGGUAGCAGUCUGCAUUUUGGGUAACUCUUGGCUGGGCGCUUGAGGCCGUAUUCUUCGGCUGCCAGGACAUCGGUCCAUCUAUCGAUGAGUAGGUCUUGAUCUGCUUGGAGCUGCUGCUGCUUUUUCUUCAGGCUUUUUGCAGUAGCUAUGAGCUGGCGCUUAAAGCGCUCCUGCUCGAGGGGUGCCUCAGGUACGAUGAAGUCCUCAUUGCCAAGGCUCUCAUCAUCCUCGGAGGGUGGACGAUAACUAUCAUCAUCUGGGUCAUUCGGCUUGGCCUGUUUACCAGGGUUAACUUGCCCGUUGUCUUGUUCCUCCUGUUCGGAUGCGGCCCCGACAGGGUCUUCAUUGUUUUCGGCAUCGCCCGGAGUACUAUUCUCUCCGGUGCCAGUCUUGCCAUCUUUUAAGCGACGUGACUUAGAGCGGAGUUUAGGGCGCCAGCGCCUGGACUGCGUCUCAGAGGGUUUAUUCGCAUCUGGCUAUUCUUUGUCGUCGCCAGAUCCUUUAGGUGUAUCAACCAUGUACACAUCGUGUGAGGAGGUGGCCGUCCAACGUCCAGUGAAUGGCGGGUCUUGGCCUUGCUCCUUGUCGACAUAAUUUUCCAUACCGUCGAUGUCUUCGGAGCCAUAAUAGAGUUCGUCGGUUAAGUCCUCGACGGUAGCUAUGAAGUGGGUGGCGGGUGGGAAGCAAUAUUCCCCAUCAUCAGCAUCUAACUUGAACCGAACAUAGUUCGGCUGCGAGUCCUUUUCCAAGAACAAAUUCUUUAAAGAGUUCAGGACAUCGCCCAAAGGUGAGUGAAAACGUCUGUGGCGCCGAAUUCGAAGAUCGAUAACCGAUCUAGCUCGGUGUCUGCAGGCGUACACGGUCCGGAACUUAUAGCCGGAGACGAGUCCGAAGUUCUGCUGGCGAAAAUAUUGCAGGGUGUCGAGUCCGUGUGCGGCUCGAACGCCGUGGACUCUGUGGCCUUGGAUGGGACGAUCUGCUUCGGUUCGAAGGCCAUUGCAGCGACAGGAACCAUCUCCUGGAUGUGAUGCGAUGACAGAUUUAAGUCAUGUUCAUCGGGGCGAGGGGGAGCGAUCGCCGUGGUUUCGAAUCCGUUGAAGAUCAAGUCUCCGUGGACGUCCACGACGUAGUUCAAGCUUCCAAAUCUGACCUGAUGGCAGGGGCAUAGCUGUCGACCUGCUCCAGAUGGCCAAGUGAGUUGGCCCGCAGUACGAAGCCGCCGAACACAAAAAUCUGUCCGGGGAGGAAGGUUCCUCCUUGGACAGUGUCAUUAUCGACGCUUGAAGGGGCCAUCAUACCUUUUGUCGACGGCACAGUGGAACUCUCAAUGAAAGCACCAAUGUCGGUAUCAACACCCGCAGAUCUCGGGUAGGGGGUCCCGAACUGUGCGUCUAGGAUCGAUGGUAACAUGAGACGGGGGACACGAUGUUUACCCAGGUUCGGGCCCUCUCUAUGGAGGUAAUACCCUACUUCCUGCUUGAUUGAUCUUUAUGAAUAUGAGUGUUACAAGAGUUGAUCUAUCACGAGAUCGUAAUGGCUAAACCCUAGAAGUCUAGCCUAUAUGACUAUGGUAAUGUGUGUAUCCCUUCCGGAUUAACCCCUCCGGUUUUAUAUAGACACCCGGGGGGGGGGGGGACCUAGGGUUUACAUAGAGUCAGUUACGUAAGAAGGAAUCUUUAUAAUCGGUCGCCAAGCUUGCCUUCCACGCCAAGUAGAGUCCAAUUCGGACACGGGUACAAUCUUCGGCCUUCAUGUCUUCACAGCCCAUCCGUCCGACCCAUGGAUAAUAGGCCGGACGCCCGAGGACCCCUUAGUACAUGACUCCCUCAGGCACCGCACACGGCUAAGACAAAUCUUGGUGUGCCUUUGGGGUGCCCCCUGCCCACGUAUAUAAAGGAGGGAGGGAGAGAGGCCGGCCCCCUAGGGGUGCGCCAAGAGUAUGGAGUCCUACUAGGACUUCCAAGUCCUAGUAGGAAUCCCUUUCCUUUUCGGAGUAGGAGAGAAGGAAAGAGGGAAAGAGAGAGGGAGUAGGAAAGGGUAAGGGGGGCGCCGCCCCCUUCCCCUAGUCCAAUUCGGACCCAUGGGGGGCUCCACCUCCCCUCUGCCUGCCUUCUCUUUUGCCAUAUGGCCCAAUAAGGCCCAUUACUUCUCCCGGUGAAUUCCCGUAACUCCCCGGUACUCCGAAAAAUACCCGAAUCACUCGGAACCUUUCCGAUGUCCGAAUAUAGCCUUCCAAUAUAUGAAUCUUUACCUCUCAACCAUUUCGAGACUUCUUUUCAUGUCCGUGAUCUCAUCCUAGACUCCUAACAAUAUUCGGUCAUCAAAUCACAUAACUCAUAAUACAAAUCGUCAUCGAACGUUAAGCAUGCGGACCCUACGGGUUCGAGAACCAUGUAGACAUGACCAAGACACAUCUCCGGUCAAUAACCAAUAGCGGAACUUGGAUGCUCCUAUUGGCUCCUACAUAUUCUACAAAUAUCUUUAUCGGUCAAACCGCAUAACAACAUACGUUGUUCCCUUUGUCAUCGGUAUGUUACUUGCCCGAGAUUCGGUCGGCGGUAUCAUCAUACCUAGUUCAAUCUCGUUACCGGCAAGUCUCUUUACUCGUUCCAUAAUGCAUCAUCCCGCAACUAACUCAUUAGUCACAUUGCUUGUAAGGCUUGUAGUGAUGAGCAUUAUCGAGAGGGCCCAGAGAUACCUCUCCGAUACACGGAGUGUCAAAUCCUAAUCUCGAUCUAUGCCAACUCAACAAACACCAUCGGAGACACCUGUAGAGCAUCUUUAUAAUCACCCAGUUACGUUGUGACGUUUGAUAGCACACAAGGUAUUCCUCUGGUAUUCGGGAGUUGCAUAAUCUCAUAGUCAGAGGAACAUGUAUAAGUCAUGAUGAAAGCAAUAGCAAUAAAACUAAACGAUCAUUUAUGCUAAGCUAACGGAUGGGUCUUGUCCAUCACAUCAUUCCCUAAUGAUGUGAUCCCGUUCAUCAAAUGACAACACAUGUCUAUGGUCAGGAAACUUAACCAUCUUUGAUUAACGAGCUAGUCAAGUAGAUGCAUACUAGGGACACUCUGUUUGUCUAUGUAUUCACACAUGUACUAAGUUUCCGGUUAAUACAAUUAUAACAUGAAUAAUAAACAUUUAUCAUGAUAUAAGGAAAUAUAAAUAACAACUUUAUUAUUGCCUCUAGGGCAUAUUUCCUUCACCAUGAGGGUAAAUGGGUACCCACGGGUAAAAUUACCCAGAUUUGCAACACAUUAAUUUGAGCAUUACAUAGUCAUAAACAACAACUUAUAAUAAUAAUUUACAAACAACAACACAUCAUCAUAGCAAGGCAUACUCGUUCGUGGGCUAGAUAUUGUGGUGCGGCGGCCUAGCAUGAAUGCAUGAUGAGGUCCUUUCAUGGCUGUGGCAUUUAUGUACAUGUAAUAUGUUUAAUAUGUGGAUAGAUAAUAUAUAGGGCCUAUUUCUUAGAUUAUAUGCGGGUACAUGGGUAUGGGUUAUACUAAACCAUACCCGUACCCACUAUACUCGAUGAGAAUGAAAUUUUCCUAUUUAUGUACCCAUGGGUGUUUUUUUGACGCAUACCCUAGCCUUGAUAGGGUUUUUACCCGCAGGUUACGCGGGUAAUGGGUACCCAUUGCCAUCCCUAACCGCCCCGAGCCCCCAAGGCCCUCGAUGGCACAAGUUCCUCCUUCUGGCGAAGAAGGGCGGGGGAGCCAACGCCAGCACCGAACACCUCCAAUCGGAUGGUGGCUGGCUGGCCAGACGCGCUGGAGGAGUUGGUAAAAAACUCCGUCAUCGUCGACGAACAGCACACUCUCAUGAGUGCGGUUAUGCAAGGUGUUCGGUCAGUCCAAUCUAGACUGAAAGACGCUGUCCAAGGCCUUCUAGCAGGCUUUGAGGUAAGUCGAGUAAUGAUCUUUUCCCAUAAAUUGGAUUUAGUCCUUAGUUUGGGUAGGCCGUAUACGUAGCAGCCCCCGAGACUCUUUAAGGACUUCAUAGGAGCAUGCAGAGGAUCAAAUUCAGUAGGCUGAUUGAUAAUGUCGACAUUUCUCUUGCUGACGCAGGAAUCUUCCAUGGCUGCGGCUGCUAAUGCCGCGGCACUAGAGGAGAUGGAUUGGAAGCUCAAGCUUGGAAGCUCAAGCUUUCCGAUAAAGAGUUUGACCUUGUCAACAAACUGCUUGACGAGGCGCAAGGUAAGCCCUUUGAUAAGAUAUGCAAUUUACUUGGCACCGGAUAUUGAUGAUCCAGACUGUGAGGUGAUCCUUUAUUAUGUUGAUCUUGCAGUGGCCGCCACCGAAGUUGAAGGCUUGAGGGAAGCCUUGAAGAAAGCAGAGGCGGAGGCGGCCGCAAAGAAAGAGGCUGCCGACAAGGCGGUGGCCGAGCUCAAGAAUACCCAGCGUGCUGCUGAGGGGCACAAGGCUCGAGUACCCGAGGUGCAAGGGGAGCUCCAGGAUGCCGCCAAGAAGAUGGAGGUCCUUGAAAAGGAGCAGGGGAGCAAUCCUCCAAGUUGUCCAAGGCGAAGAAGGAGUGCUAGGAGGCGAGGACCUAACUGCGAGGUGUCCGGGAGGAGCUCCACCAAGCUGGGCAAAUUGCCAAUGGUAAGAAAUACUUACUACAGAGUGUGUUUGGAGGCAACAAGUUCGCCUUGCUGACGCCCGUCUGGCACUCUGUAGGCGUCUUCACUGAACUACCAAAGAAUGCGGCGGCCGCAGCUAAAUACUAUGCCACACUCGAGGAGGACUCCAUGCAACGGCCUUUCUGGUCACAGUUUCUGGCCUCCAAGCGUCCUCCCCUCCUUAGUGAUCAGAUGAAGCAGCUGGUGGAGAUGCAUCGAAUGUCCGAGCUAGCCACAAAGGACCUCUGUCGAUCUGUGGCCUGUCGAGCCCAUUCCGGGCACAUACUUCGGCCUUGUGCAAAAGCAGCGGGUGGCGCUGCUCCGGAUUGACGCCAUGAAGCGCUCGGCGUGCCUUGAGGGGGCGAGGCUUGCGUUUGCAAAGACCAUGGUGCAUUGGCUGAAGAUUAAUCCAAUGGACAUGGCCACUGGUCCUCCGCCCAAGGGAAAGAGCAUCACCGCCCUGAGCAGUAUUUUGCGCAAGUGAUGAACGGCACGCGGGCGAUAGAGGGCCAGUGCUCAAAAGAUGUAAUGUUUGAGUAAUUGUAUCAAGUUUGUACUAAUUGGAUCUUAUGCUUUAUAAUGCGUUCCCUUGACUUGUCUUAUAUUGUCAUGAUUUAAUUUUGACUCCUAUGCUGCUGUAUGUUUAUUCUGAAAGCUACCAUUCGUUGGCUUCAGCCCCCAGGUGAAUAUCACGAGGGGUGUUUUGUCUCUGCAUUGCUAACCUUAGCCAACGUCUUGGUACCCGAAGGCGGUAGUGCGCGAGCGAAACCAGGCAAUCGGACUAUUCGGUUUUAUUGCUUUCACUUAGCCUUAGGAGCUUGACAGUGGGGGCUAAGGACUAGCCCCCCAUGUUUUGUGAUGUACUUGGGGGCCAAUACCCGCCCUUUCCGAUCACAUGGUUUGUGUUAAUACGAACCCUUCGUGUGACACGGUGAAAUCGCCAAUGAUUUGAAGAGUCAAACCUCAUCAUCGGAUCGCUGAUCAGUUUGCGCUUACUAUGACGGCCAGUUUUCAGCUUAAUCAUCCUAAGGUACUUGACCGGGCGAGCCAGAAUUACAAUCGCAGGGGGUCUCCUUUUGCCGUCUUAGCCAAACGUGCGGAACAUAAGGGGCAAACACAGGAGCCGGGCAACCCAACUAUCGACCCCAGACAUAGUUCGGUACUUGAUGCAUAUAGUGCAAUAUCUGAGAUGCCGAACACUUAGCAGGAAAGCAGUGUCGGACUUGUGAGCCAAGCUGAUGGGGAAAUCAGGCUCUAUGUAAGGUAAACGAUUGGCUAUUGGAAGAGCGAGUGGAAAAUCAAAAAGACAAUCGCAAGAUGCGGGUAUCCGAACACCAUACAGGGCGCUUUAUUAUUUCUUGCUAGCUCAAGACGUCAAACCAUACAAUUCGAAUAGCCAAGGCAUUAUUCGUAAUAAGAAAAAGAUUUUUACAGAGUAAAGGUUUACGCAGAGCCUUAAUGCGUGAGUCGAAACCUUCACUUUGCCUUGCUGCACAUCUGCGCCUUUGCUUCUGGGAAGUGGGGGUUGGGACCUUCGAUGAAACCUUAAGGGGCGAUGGUCCUGUCAAUGAAGCUUUAAGNNNNNNNNNNNNNNNNNNNNNNNNNNNNNNNNNNNNNNNNNNNNNNNNNNNNNNNNNNNNNNNNNNNNNNNNNNNNNNNNNNNNNNNNNNNNNNNNNNNNNNNNNNNNNNNNNNNNNNNNNNNNNNNNNNNNNNNNNNNNNNNNNNNNNNNNNNNNNNNNNNNNNNNNNNNNNNNNNNNNNNNNNNNNNNNNNNNNNNNNNNNAAGGUAAGUCUGAAGUUUGGGCUAGCCAAACACGUUCUUCGGAUUUAUUGAUAUAUGCCUCACGGCUGCCCAUGGUAUUUUAAGUGCGAAAUUGUGCUGACGAGGCAUGUGGAGCGCGAAGAAUGUGGGCGUGCCAUGGGGCGCGCGUCCCUAUUUGUGGCGAACGCAUGCGGGUUCCCAUGAUGGGGAGUGGGUUUGUGCCCGUUUACUGUUGUCGCCGGCCUUUACGGCGAGUCGGUGUUGGGAAGUGUACGGUACGGCUUGGUCUUCGGCUGCUAGGGCCGCAGUGUGCUCUUCGGUUCGAAGUGAGCAUUCUGUAUUGCCGUUGAUAGUUACGACGCCCGAAGGACCAGGCAUCUUCAACUUGAGGUAUGCAUAGUGCGGGACAGCAUUGAAUUUGGCGAACGCUAUUCGACUGAGGAGGACGUGGUAGCCGCUGCAAAAACGUGUAAUGUCGAAGAUCAGGUCCUCGCUUCGGAAGUUAUCUGGAGAGCCGAACACUACUUCAAGCGUCACAGUGCCUGUGCAUCGGGCCUCCACUCCCGGAAUAACCCCCUUGAAGGUGGUGUUGCUGGGUUUGAUCCUUGACGGGUCGAUCCCCAUCUUCCUCAUUGUGUCUUCGUAUAUCAGAAUGAGGCUACUACCUCCGUCCAUUAGGACUCUAGUGAGGUGAAAACCAUCGAUGAUAGGGUCGAGCACUAAGGCUGUGGACCCUCCAUGACGUAUGUUGGUCAGGUGCUCCCUGCGGUCAAACGUGAUCGGGCAGGGUGACCAUGGAUUGAACUUCAGCGCUACGCUCGACGGAAUAUACGUCUUGCAGCGCUCGCUUCCUUUCCUUCUUCGGUAUGUGGGUUGCAUAGAUCAUGUUGACCGUCUUGACAUUAGAAGGGAAGAGUUUCUGGCCUCCAUUAUUCAGUCUGCGGGGCUCGUCAUCGUCCUCGCUACGUGCGCAUUUGCCCGAGUCUUUGGCGGUGAGCUUUCCGGCCUGCUUUAUCACCCAACAGUUAUGGUUGGAGGGGUUCGCAGGCUUUUCGGAUGUGCCAUGGAUCUGGCAGGGCCUGUCCAGAAUUGUGUCUAACCUAGACGGUCCGUGGCCAUUGCCUUUAGGGUCCUUUUUUCGUUGUUCGGACUUCGGGUUUCAGAAUCCGGCGUUUACUACUGUAUCCUCACCUUCGUCGUCAUUGUGGCGACGUUUAUUUUUACUGCGUCGCGGCUUUCCAUUUUCAUCCUGGACUUCAGAGGUACCAGGGGUACCGGGAUUGGUGUUUUUUCGAGCGAGCCAACUGCCCUCGUCCGCGCAAAAGCGGGUCAUGAGAGAAGUAAGGGCUGCCAUAGUUCUUGGUUUAUCCUGGCCGAGCUGUCUUACGAGCCAUUCAUCCUUGACACUAUGCUUGAAAGCGGACAGGGCUUCAGCGUUCGAACAAUCGACAAUCUGGUUUUUCUUGGUCAGGAAUCGGUUCCAAAACCGUCGGGCAGAUUCUCCGGGCUAUUGAGUGAUGCGAUUUAGAUCGUCAGCGUCCGAAGGCCGGACAUAGGUGCCCUGAAAGUUCACUCGAAAAGCGUUGUCAAGCUCUUCCCAGCAGCCUAUAGAGUCUUCGGGAAGGCUAUUCAACCAGUGUCGAGCUGGACCAUUGAGCUUUAGUGGCAAAUAUUUAAUGGCGUGGAGGUCAUCUCCUCGUGCCAUGUGAAUAUGGAGGAGGAAAUCCUCUAUCCAUACGGCCGGAUCUGUAGUUCCGUCAUAUGGUUUGAUGUUCACAGGCUUGAAGCCUUCUGGGAAUUGGUGUUGCAUUACCCUUUCUGUGAAGCAUAGGGGGUGUGCAGUGCCCUGAACUCGGGCGACAUCACGUCAGAGGUCUUCAGACAUCCGAGUCCGCUGCUAUUCUCGAACUCUAUCGUUACGGUUCAGCCAAUCAUAAUAUCCUUCUCGGUGAGUGGGCGGAUCUUCUCUGGGUCCGUAGAUGGACCUAGAACGGCCUCCUCGAGCGUCUAGGUCGUGGCGGAGGUCGUAUUCAUAGGACGGCCGCACUUGAUCCUUGCCGUGAUGGCGAGGUGGUGCGGCGGGAUGUUCGGCCUCGUUCGUUCUUCUGUCCCAUCCUCUAGGGGGAGGUCCGGCUGUUCGGCACGUGUGUAUGCUAGAAGUGUUGGCUCUAAGGCCUCGUCUUCGAAUUGCGGCAACAAUUUUCGCUUAUGAUUGCUCUUGACUUGCUGUUCAUGGCCGUACCCUUCUUCGGCGGCUAGGACUUUGGUCCAUUGAUCAUUGAGGGUGUCCUGUUUGGCCUUAAUUUUGCGCUUUUGUUUCUUCAGGCUGCGGGCGGUGGCUAAAAGCCUCCGCUUGAACCGUUCCUGCUCCAGCGGGUCUUCGGGGAUGAUGAAAUCGUCCUCCCCGAGACUGGCCUCCUCUUCGGACAGUGGGAGAUAGUUGAUGUCUUCAGAGUCGUCGGGUUUUCCUGGGUUGAAUGGGUCCUCCUGCCCCGCGGGGUCAUCCUGAUAAUGUUGGUUGGCUGUGGCUCCGGUGAGGUCAUCCGUAUUAUUCUCGGUGCCGUUUUCCGCGAAGUCCACAUUGCUCGCAUGGCUUCGGUGUGGCUUUGACCGGCGGCGUUGUCUUCGGCGUUUGGGAGGCUCAUCUCGGGGCUUGCCUCGGUCCUGAUUGGGAGUGCCGUUGCCGUCCUUCGGGGUGUCCACCAUGUAAAUAUCAUAGGUGGACGUGGCCGUCCAGCGGCCGGUGACGGGGGGACCGGCAUCGGUGUCAGCCGUGGCUCCGCCAUCAUCAUCCAUGUAUUCGGAGUUUUCCAAAUUAUAAUCUAGCAUAUCGGUGAAAUCAUCGACAGUGGCUACCAGGUGGGUGGUGGGUGGGACAGAAAAUUCCCCGCAGUACGCCUCGAAGGGUUGAUGGUUGUGGGCGGAGGGCUGGUCCACCUAGAUGGUCAUUUUUUGGAUUUGGUCCAGUUCCUCGUUUAACAUAGCGAGGGUCGCCGGAUUCGAGGGCUCUAGGCCGAAUUCCGCUGUGACAAGGUGGGGGCAGUAAGUGCCCUAGCCGGUCCUUUGUUUCCACUGGCCGAGUUAAGCUCGGGGCGCAAUGCCGGACUAUCACUGGAGAUCAAGGACGUGCCUUGGUAUUUGUGUGUGGUCUCCCCAUCGGGGUUCGAGAUCGAGCCGCUUCGGGCCGAGGGCGGCCCCUGGCCAUUGGCUAUAGCUUCGUCGUAAGGGCUUUGUGACACCCAAAAAUUUUAUUUGGCUUUUUCAAACUUUUAUUUGAUUUGAGGGAGGUUAUUUAAAAUUUUCUUCUAAAGAACUCUCCCUCUCAAAAAUUUUCUUUUCUGACAAGUAUUUUGUUUGGAUUCACUCAAGACUUGAUCUUUGGUCUUGGAGGUUUUUCCAUCUUAUGUUGACUCAACACAAAUGUUUUUCAUUUGGAAAAGUUUUUGAAAAUCUUUUUAAAUAGCCCUAUGGCAUUUGGAGUGAUCUUUUCCCUUUCAAAAUCUCCUCUUGCCAUGACAUGAGUGGAAAUCCCCUCCCAAAAGCCAUUCCCCAUCUUUGUGUCAAAAUAAACUUCAAAUCCAGCAAGUUGAACUUCCCCAUGAUUUUUCUUCCAUUUAUUUCUUAUCAAAAAUAUUUUCUGCCUUCUACUUUGGCUCUUGGAGAUUUACAAAGGAACUACCAUUUCUCCUUUGAGUUUUGCCUCCAAACCAUUUUCCCUGGCUAGUCCUUAGAGCCCUCAACUAAGAUCCAUGAAGAUCCACUGGUCUCGAGUUCAAAAAUUUCAAAUUGUGCUUGCUGCAAGUUUGGACCAUAUUUGUCAAAUUUGAUGAAAUUCAUUUGUUUUCUCCUCCUAAAAAUCUGAGAAAAUUCAGGCAGCCUCUGGAUGCAUCGAGAGGUCACCUCACCAAGUCCCAGCUCCAGAAAUUUUUUCCUCAUGCCAAAUCAUUUCGUCGAACAACUGAAGGGCACUGUUACUGUCAAGUUCAGAAAAAUUCAGAGAUACAGUUUCAGUGGCCGAUGUCGUUUUGUUCAGAAACCUAUCUCGAUCUCUCCAGUAGCCGCGGUGGCGCCUUGCGCCCUGUGCUUCCUUCUUAUCCCUGCGCCGCACGAUCGCCUGGAAGCUUGCGGGCGUCGGCGACGAGCUGGUGAAGGUGCGCCUCCCCAUGAGCGACGGCAGCAGCGCCCUUUGCGGCUGCCAGAGAGGCGCAGCGUUGGACGGCGCCGUCCAGCGCCGCCCAAGCCACCAGAGGCCACCGCGUGGCCGUCCACUCACCCGUGCACGCUGCAGGUCCAUCAUCGUGAACUGGUAGGCGCGGAGCGCGCUCCCUGCCGCCGCCGUGCCCGUACGGCCGUUCCGUCGAGGACCGGCGUAUUACACCAAGCCCGACCGAGGUUUAGCGGAGGAACGGUGCCAGUGAUCCUCCACGAUGAUGCCUAGCCACCUAAACCCCUGCCCAACCUCUGCCUCGCCGUAAUUUCUCGCCGGCGUUAUCCCGUUCACGGCCACCCCCUCGGAUCGCCUAUAAAAGGAGGCCCCGAGCUUGAACGUGAACCCGCACCAUCUCUGCACACCACCAGUACCACGCCAAGCCACUGGGCAGCCCCCGAGGAAGUCUUCUUCCCCAACUCCGGCCGCCUCGACCCGCUUCGGGACCCAGCACGAUUCACUCCCGUGCGUGCACCCCUACUUCUCAGCUCAUGCCAGUAGUCUCCUAGUGCAUCCACCUCUCUGACCCGCGCAUCAAUUUGGAGUUUGCAGCACCCACCGGAGUAUUCCACCAUCGCCCGAACCACCGUUCGCCGGAGAUAGGGUCGCCGUCGCUGUGGUGCUCUCCGACGGUCAAGUCCACCACCCACCGACGUGGAAGAACGCCCUGAACCCGUAGGUACCCUCCGAUCACUCUGCCUCUCCGUGGUUCAACGCCGGCGACCACCGCAGCCUUCGGGCGCCGGCGAGCUCCGUUGGAAGUUUUGAACCUGACGGGUGGGACCCCCCCGUCAGCCUCUCUCCUUUCUCCUUCGAACCGUUUUCUGAAAGCGCCUUUGGGCAAAAUGUGUUUUCUCUCUGGGCUAACGUAUUUCUUACCGAAGCGUUUUCUGGUUUUUCAAACAAGUCCCUGGUUCUUUUCUGUUUCAUCAUAGAUCAGUCCUUGGACUAAAACCCUUAUAUCUUUUAAAUAAAAGAUGUUUUUUGAUUGAUUCUUUUUCUGUCAGUCUUAUAUUUUUGUCUAGUUUUUAUAGUAUUUAUUUGGAAAAAAUUUGGAACAAUUUUUAUACACGCAACGGUUUUCACGUUAGUAUACGGUUUCGUUAUACCGUAGGUUCCGGAGGAGGUGACGGAGCCGCGAACUUCGCCGAGCUAGACUCCGACUUCUCCGAACCAGGCAAGCAUGUUUGAACCUUUGAUAUGAUGAGUGUUUUGCAUGUUUUCUUGAAUGGUUUGUGCAUGGCAUAUGAGCAUCGGUGAGUGUUAUGUUGCAUGCAAGGCAACUAACCGUGUGCUUCGAAGUUUACUGUGAUCUUUGAUGAGAGAUGACCUGAUCAUGUGGUGACAUGAGAGGUAGUAAGAUGGUAUUGUUGUAGCAUGCCAGUCUUAUGUCAUCCGAUAAACUCCGACGUUAACGUGGACCGAGCCACGUUACAGUUCGUCCCCUCCUGUGCUGCCACAUGUUUUCUGCCAAGAAUACGGUUUAGUAAGUUGCUAACCUCUUUCCUUGUACACACCAAAUAGAGGGGCCGGGAUGAGGGUUCCAUGGCCCUGGAUUAAAGCCAGUCAUCCGGUCAGGGGGCAUGGGUGUUUCCGGUUGGGACCGAGAGGGGGGCACCCCUUAGAGUGCGCGGUAUAAAUUUGAUCCCAUGCUACGCAAGGUUGUAGCCUCCCCGUCUCAAGGUUUUUCUUGAACGUUGCUUGGGGUGAUUCCUGGCAACGGAAUGUUGAAUGGGUGUGUACUGGUUAGACGUGUUUCUCCUAAAACACCGUAAACGGAACUAGUCCCUUGUGACUACUGAAAUCCGUUGGCUGUGGUUAAAUAGUACAAGCUCUGCAGAGUCAAAUCCUUCCGAGUCAUCGUGUCCAUGGUCAAGGACCGUGGCUAGUAUAUCCAUAUCCAUGUCAGUCCUUGUGUCAGUCUCCGCGGUAAUCCCCGGUGAACAAGCUUGAGUGGUAAACCCGGUUGAACGUUAUUCCUGUGGAUGGACUAACCUAUUAUUAUUUCGUACCUGAGUAUCUUCUUGAAAUGAUUUGACUUCAUGAGCUACUGAAAUAUUGAGUUAUGAAAUAUAAGCCCUUUAUGUGAUGUCGCUCAGACGUCCGACUGUGGCACCCUUGUCAUUUACUUUCAAUAUAAGCCCUUUAUGUGAUGUCGCUCAGACGUCCGACUGUGGCACUCUUGUCAUUUACUUUUGAUAUAAGCCCUUUAUGUGAUGUCGCUCAGACGUCCGACUGUGGCACUCUUGUCAUUUACUUUUGAUAUAAGCCCUUUAUGUGAUGUCGCUCAGACAUCCGACUGUGGCACACUCGUNNNNNNNNNNNNNNNNNNNNNNNNNNNNNNNNNNNNNNNNNNNNNNNNNNNNNNNNNNNNNNNNNNNNNNNNNNNNNNNNNNNNNNNNNNNNNNNNNNNNNNNNNNNNNNNNNNNNNNNNNNNNNNNNNNNNNNNNNNNNNNNNNNNNNNNNNNNNNNNNNNNNNNNNNNNNNNNNNNNNNNUGGCACCCUUGUCAUUUACUUUCAAUAUAAGCCCUUUAUGUGAUGUCGCUCAGACGUCCGACUGUGGCACUCUUGUCAUUUACUUUUGAUAUAAGCCCUUUAUGUGAUGUCGCUCAGACGUCCGACUGUGGCACUUUUGAUAUAAGCCCUUUACGUGAUGUCGCUCAGACGUCCGACUGUGGCACGCACUGUCAUUUAUAUUCCAUUAUAAGCCCUUUAUGUGGUGUCGCCUUGACGCCCGACUGCGGCAUUGUUAUUUUAUUUGUAUCCUUUCCAGGAGUCAUUCAGACACUCGAUUGGCCUUCAGUAUUACAUUGGGAUUUCGGAAGGACUACCGCUCAACUUCCUUUUUAUUUCCCAUGCAAUGCUAUCUCAUUGUCUGAGUGCGCAUUAUUAAUCUGUUCAUAUGCAUCAUGUUUGCAUUUGUUAUAUCUUAUGUCCAAACUGUCUUGCGAGUACUUUCAUAGUACUCACCUGGCUUGUUGAUUUGGCCAGAUGUUGACGAAGGCGAUCUCAUGGAUGAAGAGUUUGAUAGUGAGUCCGACGCCUAGCGGAGUCCCAGUCAGUCCCGUGCGAUCCUGGAUUUUGGUCACUUGUAUUAUAUACGCUUCCGCCACCCACAAUAAGAAUCCUCGAGCCUCACUCCGACGCUCGAUGAGCUGUAAGAUUUAGGAGUCAUGUCACCCACUUCACUGUGACAUAUCCACCACCGCUUCUUUUAUUACGAGUCAGUAGUUAUGCCACCAUAUCCGCCUUUAUGUUUAAUAUCGGCGUGCUUGCAAUAAAUUGUUGAGCAGUCUCCGCUCAACCUUGUAUUAUAUUUAGUACUCCUGGUUUUUCUUCUGUGAUCAAGAAAUUGUCUACCAGUGAGAAGGAUUCUUCUCUACUGGUCCGUAAAAGGGAUCAGUUUCUCAAUAAAUAUUUUUAUUGGAAAACCGGUCGUGACAGGCUUAAAGCCGAAGGAGCGCUAUGAAGGAAAGGUUCGGUCGAGAUUGACUCUUGGCUUCUACUUCUCGAUUCUGCCACGAAGGCGAAGGAUGGGUCCUCCACCGACACGAUGGGUCCGGCCGACGGUGGAGUCUGGCCCUCGCUUGAAGAGGAGCCUUCCUGGCUCGAAGCCGUUUGGAGGGUGGAGGCCGAUCCGUAGAUCAGAUCGGAGGAGGACUCCUCACACUACAAAAAAAAGACACAUCCGUGACAUUUUGGGCCGAACGAAAUUUUUUCUAUCAUACUUAUGACACUUCUAUGACGAUAAUCGUGACAAAACCCGGUAUCAUCAUAGAUGUGGUGGGCUCCUACUUCUGUGACAAAAAAUCAUGACAGAAAAUGGGCUUUUCGUCCUGGGCGGGCCGAAGCCGCAGCUGCAUGACAUUCUUUGGGCAGUCCAUGACGAAAAAAACCGUGGUAGAAGCGAGGGCGAGGAAAAUAUCGGGGUGUUCCCGGUUACAGUGGGUGGUCGGGGCCGAGCGAUGCACGGAGGUUUGCGCGUUUCUCUCAUACACACACACACACGUGGGUGCGAGGCAUUGGGCUCUAACUGAACCCGAGCGAGGCGUUGGGCUCUAACUGCACCCGAGCAAUUGCACUGCAGGCUACGCGUUACUGAACCCGAGCGAUCAAUCGAUGGUUGUUAACUGAACCCGAUCGAGCGAUUCCUUCACUACUGCUGCUAACUGAAGCCGAUCGAUGCUACCUCUGGAUGAACAAUGAGCGUUGCUGGGGGGUUUGGAUGAACAGUUCCCGGUGGGGGUGGAUGAACAGGACCCCGUGGUGUUGCCUCUGGAUGAACAGGACCCCGAUCGGUCGAGCCGGUUGGGGCUAGAUGAACAGGACCCCGUGGAGGGCUGGAUGAACAGGACCACCCCGUGGAGGGCUGGAUGAACAGUAGACGGUGGAGGGCUGGAUGAACAGUAGCCCGUGGAGGGGUGGUUGAACAGGAGCCCGUGUGGAGAGGGCUGGUUGAACAGUAGCCGGUGGAGUAGCGCGCUGUGGAGGCUGGAUGAACAGGAGCCCAUGGAUGAACAAUCGCAGGUGGAGGCUGGAGGAGGUCGACGGUGGAUGAACAGUAGCCCGUGGAGGCUGGAGGGGGUCGACGGUGGAGAUGAACAAUAUCCCGUGGAGUCCCGUUUUGCGGUACGCCACACCCCUCCCGAUGAACAGGACCCCCGUUUCGACCGUAGCGCUCCAACACAAGUCUGUUUCCUCCGUUUUGCGGUACGCCACACCCCUCCCGAUCAAUAGGACCCCGUUUUGAUCAUAGGAGGUCCGUUUCCUCCGUUUCCUCCGUUUUGGGGUACGCCAGACCCCUCCCGAUGAACAGGAUCCAGUUUCGAACGUGGCCGGUCGAACACAAGGCCGUUUCCUCCGUUCUGUGGUACGCCAGGCCUUGUUUCCAUUGGCUGUUCCGUCCAAGCCGGUUGGCUCCCACGCGUUCCAUUGCCUCCUCAUGAACACGACGCAUUCCGCUGCCUCCCCAUGAACACGACGACGACGCUGUUUUUUUUGUGGGCGACGACGACGUUGUUUCUCUGUUCCGACCCAGCCAUGUACACGAGCCCUGGCCGUACAUACGCGCGAGUAGGCGUUCGAGACCCCGCCCGUAUGUGCGUACGUGGUCGUAUUUACUUUCUUGCACCCUGGCCGCUGUACGCAUGUGUACAUGCUACGUGUGCGCCUCUACUACAACACGUGCGAGCCUCUACAUCGACCAGUAUGUACGUACACGUUCGCGGCCAGAAUGACAACGCUACGUACUCUUCGACCAGGUGGGUCCCGACUGUCAGGCACUUCCUUGUGUGCGAAGAUGUAGCUGGUGGGUCCCACCAGUCAGGGGGGCGAAUCGUUUUUUUGCCCGGAUGCACUUCCUUGCAUGCGAAGAUGUAGCUGGUAGGUCCCAGCAGUCAGGCGGAAAUGUUUUUGCUCAUGAAAUAUGGUUGCCCAUCUGGUGGGUCCCUACUGUCAGGUGGAGGAAUCAUUAUUUUCCGCCUAAUAACGAGGCACUUCCUUGCUGCGGCUGUUCACCUAGCUGUCAACCUCUCCACGUACAGUCCACGUCCGAUGGAAGCCGUUCCUUGACCACGUUGAACACGCCGCGCCGAGAGCACCGGGGCGGUGGAUGAUGGCGAGGCCUAGGAAAGGUAUGACGCGGAGCCGGGGCAGACGCGGCAGUGGAUGCCCAUGCGAAGAGGAGUAUGAGGGUUCACUGGUUCAGCUGCGGUGUGAGGCUGCCGUCGCCGUAGAAUAACAGGGGGUGUGGGUGAGUAGAGGGAUGGUCUGGCCAGCGGUGGGAGUAGUAGGGGGCGGUGAGGCCUCCGCGGCAUCACAGCCGGCCACGGGAGGCAGGAGCACACGAUACGACCGGCGCUGGUUUGGGCGGCUGGAGCAAGAAGACUAGAGGUUGAAGAAGCUCUACGGCCGUUGGAUGGACAUCGUACGGUCACUGGAGCUAGAAUCGUUCAUAUUGACUAAGUUGACAAAGCCCUCCGUCCCCGUCAACUUAGUAGGCCCACAGGUCAGCCUCCCACCAAUGUGGGUCCCAGCUAGCAGGGGGAGUAUUCAUUUUUUUCUGCGUAAUAAGGAGGCACUUCUGGUGGGUCCGAGCUGACAGCGGGGGGAACGUUUUUUUCGUGAAAUAUGGUGGCCCAUCCGGUGGGUCCCAGCAGUCAGGGGGGAAACUUUUUUUCGCAAAAUACGGUGGCCCGUCUGGUGGGUCCCUACUGUCAGGUGGAGGAAUCAUUAUUUUCCGCGUAAUAAGGAGGCACCUCCUUGCUAAGGCCGUGGACCCAGCUGUCAGCCUCUCCACAUAUAGUACACUUCCGAUGGAAGUCGUUCCUUGACCACGUUGACCACGCCGCAUUCUGUUGCAUGCAUGCGUGCAUGGGCGUGGUGCGUCCCCACUGUCAGCCUCUCACGUACAGUCAUCUUCCGGUGACUCUCGGUUGUUCACCACAUUGAGCACACCGUGCCAAGCGCACCAAGGCCGGUGGACGACGGCGAGGCCCCAGACUGGAAUGACCAGGAGAUGGGGAAGACGGGGCAGUGGAGUCACAGAUGGAGAGGAGUGGGAAACUUAACUUGUUCGGGUGCGCGGCAGCACAGCAGCGGUGCCGCCCACGGGAGACAGGAGCAAGAACCGAGGUUGAAGAAGGAGCACGGCUGUUGGAUUAACAUCCAACGGUCCAGCUUCUAGAAUCAUUUCUUGAUUAAGUUGACAAAGCCCUGCGUACGCGUACGCUUAGUAGGCCCACAAGUCAGCCACCAAAUCUGACGGGUCCCAGCUGUCAACGGGAGGAAUAAUUUUUUUCGCAUAACAAGGAGGCACUUCCUUCCGUGCGAAGAUACAGCCGGUGGGUCCCAGCUGUCAGGUGGAGGAAACAUUUUUUCAGCUUAAUAAGGAGGAACUUCCCAUGCGUGCGACCAUGGACCUCGUGGGUCCCAGCCAUCAGGCUCUCCACGUACAGUCCUCUUCCGAUGACUCUCGUUUGUUGACCAUGCCGCACCGAGCGCAGCGAGGCGGUGGACGACGGCAAGGCCCCGGACGAGAAUGACUCGGAGAUGGGAAGACGCGGCAGUGGAGUCACAGAUUGAGUGGAGGAGAAGGGUUAUAACUGGUUCAGGUGCGGCGGGGGGCUGCAGUCGGUGGAGAAUAACAGGAGGUGUGGAGGGGUGGAGGGAUAGCCUGGCUGGCGGUGGGGUAGCGCUUCGCAGCAAUGCGUGCUAAGCAGAGCCGCUAGCCGCCGGAGGCCGGACCAGGCGGUCCCAGCGACGCUGUAGGAAGAAGACGAGAGAUUGAAGGUGCAUGCCGGCCGUAGGAUAUAAAUCCUAUGGUCGUGGAUGUCAUAAUCAUUUGUCGACCAAUUUGACAACGCCCUGCGUAGGCUUCGACCUAUUGGCCCACAUGUCAGCCUGCAAAAAUGUGGCAUAUAUUUAACCCGUGUUUUCUAGAAUGUACAGUUCAUUUGCUGGGAUGGGUGAACAAAUAAUUUCGCGUCAAUGCGGCCCAUUUAUAUUUUCUAAGGAAUCCCAGCCCAUUUGCACUUCCUUCAAAUACACGAAUUAGCCGGGCUCGUUAUAUAUAUAAUGUUAUGUUAGAAGGAGCAAUUAAUAUCAAAAAAUAAACCGGAGAGGCACAUUUUUUAUAUACAUAAUUAAAAAAUUAGCGAGUAUUGCUCAAAAUAAAAAUGAGCGCGUUAUUAUUACAUUGGUCCUUAAAAUCUUCGCAAGCUUUUGUACGCAAUCACCAGGAUUUUCCUUGCCUGUGAGUCAAAAACAACCAGGAUUUUCCUUGCCAACUUCUAUUAAACAUUUACUUUUAUAAGUUAAUAGCACAUGUGAUGUUUUUAUAAUGUAUAUAUAAGUCUCUAUAAAAUAUACGAUAAUAGUAAUAAUAUAAAUAUAUAUAAUGUGGUUAAAAAAAUACAUUGGGCUGCCGAUCUUUAAGAAAAAGCCCAUAGGCCGGUAUGGACCUCAAAAAAUAAGUUGAAACCACUGUCACCGUAUGUCAUGGGAUACGCAUGUUAAAAUACAAAACCUAGGCCUAGCUGAUACUUGUUCGCCCUCUGGAAAAAAAUGAUACCAAAUCCCCGAGCGAACUGGAUUAAAGAGGGGGCCGGCGGUAGGACUGAAGAAGCACAUCAAGAGCGAUUUCUUCUUCAGUGGAUGGCUCUCGAUGGCGUUUUUUUACUUGCCUGUGCACCAUACAACUUGUAUUUUUAGCCUCCCAGUACGUGGUGGACCAGCAGCCCAUUUGCUGGGCGGGCCAACCUACAGAAACCAGCACUCGAUUUUUCAUCAAGCCCCCAAAAAAACGCAGUACUAUGUUUGUUUUGAGGCCGAAAACAUUACGGCAGGGGUUGAGCGGGGGAGGGGCAAGACAGAGCAAAAAGAUUAAAAAGAGCUAAUGCGUCGUUGCUACCCUAACAAAGCAGGUGCAAUUCUUCUCGGGAAGAAGGUGUGCCAUUGACACCCACACAUCACAUACCCCACGGUAGGCAUACUAACAAGUUCACACACAAGUACAACAGAAAAGGUAAACAUUCGUAGCAAACUCAGGUUCACAGGGCACGUUCAUAUUCAUAGCCAACAUUCACUAUCAACAACUCAAAAGAUUCAUAUAUACACAAGUUCAGCAUGUCUAUGGAUCCAAAUGAUUGAUAGAUCACACAACAAUAUUCAUAGAUAAUUCACAAAAAGAUUCAGAUAUACACAUGUUCAGUAUGUUUAUGCAUCUAAAUGAUUGAGAUCACAGCCAAUAUGAUCCAUGGACAAACUUUAAUUACCUAGGGUACAGACUAGUAAAUGGUGUUCAGUCGGAGGUACUUCUUGCUAAAAUUAAUGCUUGUACGAGUAAACUUUCGAGUACAUAAGAGGUAGCACAGACAAUCUGAACUUUGCUUGUAGGUUUUUCCUCAAAUAGUGGCCUCGUGCCGAGGGAUGUUUGAGCAACUUGGCCACUACUUUCAUCCAACUAGUUUACUGGCUCAUCUUGGUCCUGUAGCUUGCCAAAAUUCUACAUUGCAGACUGGCAAAUGGUGUUCAGUCGGAGGUACUUCUUGCUAAAAUUAAUGCUUGUACGAGUAAACUUUCGAGUACAUAAGAGGCAGCACAAACAAUCUGAACUUUGCUUGUAGGUUUAUCCUCAAAUAAUGGCCUCGUGCCGAGGGAGGUUUGAGCAACUUGGUCACUACUUUCAUCCAACUAGUCUACUGGCUCAUCUUGGUCCUGUAGCUCGCCAAAAUUCUACAUUGCAGACAAGAAAGGAGGCGGUUGAGAAAAUGAACCACCCAAAUUUUUUGUGCAGUUCAACUGAAAUGGAGCAUCGCUGGCGUGCAGACUGAUUAAGUGCCAGAUGAAUAUAGGUGUCAACCAACUUGUCUGGAAUCUUUAGACUCCAUGCCAUAUAGUUCGCUACCAUAUCUGCCGAUAACCUAAAGGCACAAGUUAGGACCAAAGACUGGACUGCGUUUUUCUGGGCUACUCCAUGCCAUACAGUUCGCUACCAUAUCUGCCGAUAACCAAAAGGCACAAGUUGGGACUGAAGAUUGGACUGCGUUUUUCUGGGCUAUGCGCCAAGCAAUAUUUUUGGCGUUCACUCUCCUAAUAUUUGGAGUUUGACAACUGGUUGACGCUGGUUGAUACUCGAAUGAAUAUAGGCACUUCUUCUUGUCAACAUCGAUGCUUGUCUGAGUGAACUUUGGAGUACAUAGUAGCAGCAUAAGUACCUGUCCAUCUGAUCUUUUUGUGCAGUUCUACUGAAAUCACCCAAUGUAAUGAUUUGCCUGCGAGUUCAGGCUCCAAGUUACUCCUUUAUGAAAUCGACAAACAGUAGCACAAUACCAAAUUACCAAUACAUAUGACAAGCACAAUAAUUAGGAUAAAGACCAGUACCAACCUUUGUGAGGUAGCAUAUCAAUUACUAUUUCCUUUGACUGGAAGCCGAGAUAAGCCAAGCGACUGACAGUCGAGGAAGAAUGCAAGCCCAGAUUAGCGACAGACAGGAAAGGAAGGAAGCUGUUGAGGCAAUGAAACACCCAAAGUUUUUGUGCAGUUCCACCAAAAUCGAGCAUCCCUGUUGGCACAUAUAUUGAGAGAGUGAGAUUACUGUAAUAGUGGGACUAGUUGAAGAAACAUAAACUAACAAAUAGAAGCACCCUCAUUAUCUUAAUGGGUAAAGUUAGCAACAUAGUAGUCUUGCUUAAAGAGAGGUAUUUGUUUAUUUAAUCAGUGCCAAUUAGCUCAACACUCAAAGCAUUGCCAUGUAUCAUAGGUUGCAAAACUUUAAUGUGCAAAGAUAACAGAGUUUCUCAUGAUAGUAGCACGAUACAAAUAGAGAUGACAACAAACUAAUAUAGAUGAAGGCCUUAGGCCGGUACAAACCUGAGGAAAAAAGCUUAUUCACAUAGUCCCAUAAGAGAUGAUAAAGCACUCACUGGAAUCACUCAAUAGUGUAUAUUUUUGUGCACUUCAAAUGUAUGGUUGAAAUCACUCUUGUUUACCAGUGCUGAGAUUAUAUCGAAAGAUUACCAAGAACUUCUAGCAGAGUUAAAGCACUGGCUAGGAUACAGUUCAUUGUAUUGUCUUGUGUAGUUCCACUAAAAUGUAUGAUUGGCACAACAUGAUCCCUGUUUGCACAAGUAGGAACAAGGUGAAACCUUCAUUAGCUUGGUGAGAAAGGAUAGAAAGACAUUAGCAUAUUACUCUAACAGUAGCAUCAAAUUCAUGAUGGACAAUAUGCAAAACAUUGCCUCAUUAAACCAAUGGCAAUAAAUUGACAUGCAAAACAAUAGCACUAUUAUGUCAUGACACUAAUAAUAUUCCCUCCCUGCUCCACCACAUGAUUCACCUCCAUAGACAAACAUACACACGUACAUGAUUCAGCAUAAGGUGCUACUAAAGAUUUGUUUAACUCCGACAGGAAAAUUAGGCAGCAAUAAAUUAGUGGUACUUAAGUACUCCUAAUUAAUUAAGUGACCUUGCAGGAGAGACAACAUAAGUGGAAGGGCUCCCUGGAGGAUCGUCUCACAUGUAAGGUAGACAUUGCCGGAGCCCUUGAAUGGCCUCGACUGAGGCCUCUGGCUUCAGCAAGAUCACCUUGGCACUGUUUAUUCUUCUUCUUCUUCUUCUUCCUCUUCAUCCUCUGUUUCUCUUUCUCCUCACCAGUUGGUGAAACCAAGUACAUGAUUGGCCUUCUAUUUCUGAGUUGGUUUUGUCAGGGAGGGAGUACAAGUGUACUAGUAAACAAUAGCAUUAUUUUCUCAUGGGAGUCGCAGAAUAGAGAUGAACACAUGCAUUAAAUAUCAUUCUUACCUAAAGGAAGGUUAUGGUGCCAAUAUUGAUGAUGAGGAUUGGAACACAUAUCUCCCUUUGUGCAGUUCCACCGAAAUGAAUCCACUAUUCCAUUCUGACAUUCCAGUUAAACAUCACAAAAGUCACUUCUUUUAAGAAGUGUUUUGUGUAGUGCACCAAAAGGUCACAACAACAACAACCUGGUGAAAUGGAUACCCCUGUUUGCACAAAAAGCUACAAUGGAAACAGUCAAAGUCCCAAACAAUUACAAGCAAAAACAUUUGGCUAAACUUGUCAUGGCUUAUAACAGUGGCAUGGCUUCAUUUUACCAGGGGCAUUAGAUUAAGAACGGCUAAAUAUUUGGUAUAAGGGCAUGGGAUAGUGGGUGCACCAGCAGUCCAGCACCAUGUACCUAAACAGGGGCAUAAAGUGGCGAUUUAGAGUUUGUUGCCCCGAGAAACAAACAUCCAAGAAACAUAUCUGGGUUGGUCCCAUUUUUGUUCACUCUAGCCACCUACUCCUAUGUGUGGAUAGCAAAUCUACUCCUGGUCAUACCACUGUGUACAGCGUUACCCCGAGAUUUCCCUUUUCGACCAAGAGACCAGUUGGAUGACCAGUCUGUACUACUUUCACCCCCUUUCCUUCUUGUUUGUACCAAGUCCGAUGUACAUACUAAAUUACCCCACCCCCACUUUAUUUCUUGUUUGAACCAAGUACAAGAUUCGACUCCAUGAAGUAGCUUUACCUCUAACAAUAGAAGAAAAAAAUAGGUGACGUUGGACCAUCCGACCGAGAGGGGCUGAGAGGUAGAAAAUGAUGCACAUGCAGCGACGUAGCGAGAUGGGGAAGUAGAGCUAAGGCGGUUUCGAAGGAAGAUAUACCUGAAGGUCGUCAGGAUGUGGAUAGGUGGGUGGAGGGAGGCUGGAUCCGCCCACACUAGGGAAACGACGAAGGGAUCGGAGGACCUCCCGCGUCGGCGCUCCGCCAGAGAUAACGGUGCGGCCGGAAGUGGGUCUCCACCCUCGCUGUCGACAACGGCCUAAACGCUGCCCCUCCUCCCCUUCACCGGUGGAGGGGGAUACGUCCGGAUCUGUAACCAGUGGUGAGGAUAGAAAGACAGUGUUUUUUGAAGGGAGAAAGAUAGUGUUACCACCCCUAUCUUGUUUAGAUCUGGAGAGGAUGAGAGUGUGUGAAUAGAGCAACCCUAGCAAGCUAGCGCGGAGGCUCCGGCCUAUAUAUACGUAGUGGGGUAGUUUUCCUUUUUCACUCCAUCAAAACAAUCGUUUAAAAUUGUGUACUACAUGCCAGGUCGCUGUUUUUCUAGUUGUUGAUUGUUUUUUGAGAUAGCUACCCGCUUGUUCCAAGUGGUGUUACGGUGUGCCAGGUCUCACUUUGUAUCGUUCAAGUCUGGUACAAGUCCCUCCAUUAAAUGAACAACCACCCCCUCGUAAAAAUAUUGAACAAGCCCACGGCUAAAAUUAUCGGAAACGUGGGUUGCCCCAACAUGCAUUAUUAUUUAUAUUUUCUACUCCCUCCGUUCCUAAAUAUAAGUCUUUUUUAUUAGCCACACCUAAGACAAGAAUUUUUUAUUAGCAGUGAACCCCACAUGUCAUAGACACAAAAAGUGUGGCAAGAUUCCCUUAGGCAAGCCAAAGUGUGUCUAACAAUUUGAGCAACUCAAGUUAGGCAAGUGUGGCAAGUGUGGGAAAAAUAAUGUGGCAACAUAAGACAAACAUAGUCACAAUCCAAACAGCCCCGUAAUUUUUUGUGACGUGCAUGAAAAUUUGGUUAGUUAAAUUUAUAGUCAAAAUUUGGCAAGGUGAAUCAAAUCAACACAUGCAAGUAUCAAAAGGGAAGUCACGGCAUGCAUGCAUGCAUUGUACUCCCUCCGUUUCCAAAUAUAUGUCUUUUUAGAGAUUGCAACAAGUGACUACAUACGAAGCAAAAUAUGUCUACAUACAUCCGUAUGUUGUAGUCCAUUUGAAAUGUGUAAAAAGACUUAUAUCGAGUGCAGUGCUUUGAUGUGUCGCGUCAACUCGUACAAGACCGAGAAGUUUGAUUACUACAACACCCUCUCCCUCGCGGACUGAGCUCCGGUGCCUUAACUGCUACUACCUCUUGAGCACUGCGUUGGUUUUCCCUUGAAGAGGAAAGGGUGAUGCAGCAAAGUAGCGUAAGUAUUUCCCUCAGUUUUUGAGAACCAAGGUGUCAAUCCAGUAGGAGGCCACGCCCAAGUCCCUCGCACCUACACAAAAAAAAAA